This 96135-nucleotide long non-coding RNA is filed under the name Vitis vinifera (wine grape). RNAcentral describes it as "long non-coding RNA (VVIN_LNC004534)". The record is from RNAcentral. Lineage: Eukaryota; Viridiplantae; Streptophyta; Magnoliopsida; Vitales; Vitaceae.
CUUCCAAAUUAACAAGCCAUGCAAAAAUCAAAUUCCCAUACAUCAAUAUUAUUUUACAUGUCUUUUUAACAGACUGAAUUCAUUAAGACAGAAGAGUACAUAACUCAGAGGUGAAUCCUACACAGCCACUUCUACAGAACCCCAAAGAUGUAAAAGCUCAGGAACAGACACCCAAGCACAAAUGCAGAGGUUGAAAGCCCUGAGGAACUGGGUAGCACCAAAUAAAUGCCAGAAGUAAAUGCUAUCACCAUUCCUAGGAUGGAAACGUAUGUGAGUAUGGCUGAAAAUUUUAUGAAACCUAGAAGCAGAUGAUAGUUUCGUUCCAGUGAAGCAAAAAAGUGGAGAAACACUACUGCAGUUGAGCAAUAGAAAGCUAUACCAUCUGACAACAAGAAGGUCUUGAAGGCUAUCUUUGUUGAGAGAACUGCUUUACCUUUGUCGGGGUCAUCAUCAUUGUACCCACCAGGUAGAGUAAAGCCUGCUGCAAAAGUGACAGUUGCUAUGAGCGUCGCGACCAAUAAAUGGGUGUUGGAAAUGUCCUUGAGAUGAUGAGAUCGAAGUUCCUUUUCUUUCAUGAUUUCUCUGUUCCUAUCAAGAAGUAUACUCAUAUUGCUAGCAGUACGAGACGCGCCAUCACUGCUCUUUUGAUGCCCAUUGUUAUCAGUCCGCAUAUUUGCAUUUUCCUGGUAUCCUUCAUUGUCACCAUUUUGCAUAUAUGCAUUGUCUCUAAUGACCAACCGGUGUAAACUUUGUCGACCACCAGCAUGCUCCAACUUCCUCAUGAUCCAAUACUGGCAGUCAUUUGAAAGGAAUUAGAAUGAACUUGUAAAGCAAAGCUAUGGGAAAAAUUUUGAAUCAAACAUUGAACAAAAUCUAUUGGCUAGCUCUUAAAGAGGACACCAAACACAUUGAAUAAUAUUAGCCAUCCAUUUCAGAUACUUUUUUCUUUUUCUUUUUUCUCUCUUUUUUAAGUAAUCGCUUAACAGAUUGAAUGGCUAUAAUCAUUCAACAUGAUCUUUCUGCAUCAAAUAUCUUCAGAGAGAUAUGAGAAGCCUCAUCAUGUCUAAUUAAAAUUUGUCUCAAACUUUACAGUAACGUACCUUGAUUUUUUCUCCAAUAUCCAUAUUUGACUGGACAAUGUCAAUAGUCUUCAAAUACUCAUUGUUCAUUGCCCUUUUGUCCACUCUAUCGUCUGCAGCCAACAUAAUCACAACCCCGUAAUGUCCAUAAAUGGCAGCUAGAUGAAGGGGUGUGUUACCUUCCUUAUCUGGCUCAUUUAUGAUACUUUCCAAGUUUGGCUUCUUCAGGAUAUACUUAACGACUCUAGCGUUUCCAUAUUGAGCUGCAACAUGAAGAAUUGUGCGGCCUUUGUUGUCAAUCAAAUCAUAAACAUCUGGAAGACAUGUGAUAAUCUGUUCCAUUACAUUAGUGUGGCCCUCUUUGGCUGCAAUGUGGAGAGCACAACUGUGUUCUACAUCCAAUAAGCCAGCAACAGAUUUGUCAUACUUCAGUAACUUCUCAGUUGCUUUGAGGUGACCCAAGUGGGCAGCAUAGUGAAGAGGGGUCCACCCAAAUUCAUCUGCCUUUUUUAUCACAUCCUUCUUCAUUUCAAAUAGUACUUCCAUAAUAUCUAUACAUUGGGAGAAGAAGGUUAGAAAUCUUAAAAAGAAGUGGAAGAAUCUACUUAAAUAGCAUUUCAUACCUCACCAAAAAUAUGUCAAGAGAAAUGGAAAAGGCGACCAAAACACCCUUUCCCCCAUAUUUUAAGCAUAAAAAUGUCCUCAAUAAUGAUCCCCUUCAUUUCCAAAAAAAAAGGAAAAUCCUCGUACAUCUUGAUAAAUAAACACAUGGCUUAAUCAGUUGUAUGGUUUGAAGGUCCGUUCUUUUUUCUUAUAUAGGAAUGGGUGUUCAAAUAGAGUGAGAAUGGAGAGAACUCUCCACUCAUAAGCUUUUUGAAGUAAAAAGGAAAAAGGAAAAAAUCCAACUUCUUAGUAAACAAGAAUGAAAAGGGCACAGGAUCUUCUUACUUUAAAAAGGGGACAAAAGGAGUCUUAUUACCAAUUUCAUCAUUCAAUUGUUUUCCUUUGAAGUGUCCUCGUACCCUAAAGAAAAAGUUUGUAACCACACGGCGAUGUUUUUCUAGAGAUAAUUCUGGAACUUCUUGGCCUGCAGCAUGAUAUAACAAACUAAAAUCAGUGAUAUCCCCAUAAAAAUAACAAAGAAGGCCAAAAAAACAAAGGCUUGCCUUUUAGUUUGUUCAUCUUGCAUAAGGGAUUGAAAAAAGGAAAAGGAAAGAAAGAAAAUUAAUGCAAAUUAAGUCUUUUCCCAAAAGUGGUCCAUAUUCAGAAGAAAUAUUUGUUGAAAUAAUUUUCAAAACUUCAUACCAAACAAGGAAAUAAUGAAAGCUGAUAUUUUUCAUCUACUUGAUUUCUUUUCUUCAGUUUCUUCCUCAUUUUUCUCUCCAGGCAUGGUGGUAAGACUUGGGUCUUAGAAAGUAUACACCCAAAUGCCUGAAGACUUGGGUUUUUUUUUCUUUUUUUUCUUUUUUUGUCACCAGAAUUAUCACUGGACGCCCUUUGCAUGCCCAAAUUAAACUUGAAAAAGUAAAACAAAUUAACAUUAGAAAUGAAGAUUUCAGAUAUACUCCUACUAACCAACAUUGGAUUGUGUUCCUGGAAACCAUUCUCCUCGUAGAUGCAGUCCAAGUCCAUUUACAGACAGCUCGGGGGGUAUGGGUUUACCCAGCUCAGGACCUACAAGUUAGGAAGAAUCGAAGAAAUCUUUUAAGUAUACAAAAGCAAGCAUGAACAUAAACUUUUAUGCAUAGAAAGAUUUUGACCUUUAUGGGUACGAAUCACAGCUGCAUGUAAAGCGGUCAUCCCUUUCGUGCCCUCACAGGAACAUUCAGAACUGUUUCCUUUCAACAGUUCGUCAGCAAUCUUGAAAAACCCCCUUUCCACAGCCAAAUACAAGGGGGACUCUUUAUGAUUAUUAACCAAAUCCAACAACUUAGGAUUUUCUUGAACCAACCGGUUCACCACCUCAAGAUGACCAUUCCUCACAGCCACAUGCAGUGCCGUAUCAGCCCUCCCAUUCUUCAUUUCCAGUGCUUGCUUGGCAUUUUUACUUUCAAGAAAGCACUUAACCAUGUCACUACAGCCAGUUCUCGAGGCGAUAUGCAGCGGAGUGUCGCCUUUGAAGUCAGCUCUAGUCAGAAGCUCUGGAAACUUCUCAACAAGAGCUUCAGCAAAGCCUAUGCACUUGAAAUUACCAGCAAUGUGAAGAGCAUUGCGUUUCUGGGAAUGUGCUUGGCAGGGAAUACUCUGGAGGCUAUGUGGCUUNNNNNNNNNNNNNNNNNNNNNNNNNNNNNNNNNNNNNNNNNNNNNNNNNNNNNNNNNNNNNNNNNNNNNNNNNNNNNNNNNNNNNNNNNNNNNNNNNNNNUGAAUUUUGUGGCACCUCCCGUGGAAACUUGCCACCAAAGCUCCCAAUUCAGAAAUGUUGUUUUUAAAAUAAUAACAGAAUUGAGUAAUUUUCUUUCUUUCUUAUCUCCAACGUUUUUGCUAAAUACUUUCACUUUUGGAGCUUGGUUUUAUAUCUGAUUUCGUAAGUCCUAAGAUAUCUACUACCAUGUACCUUGAAAGGUUGGUGUUGAAUCUAUUGAUUAAUUGUAUAUGUUAGGGCAAUGAGUCUUCAUCAUAAGUUAGCAAUUUUGUUCCUUUUAAUUUUUGGCUUAGGAAUCUUUUUAAAUAGUGACUUACUUUCUAUUAAAAGAUUCAAGGUUAUUGUUCGAUCAACUGGAAAGUCAUAUGUAAAUCUAAAAAGGUUUAGUUUAUGGCAAAUUAGGUGUUUAAAAGGGUUAAGUGGAUUGGUAUAUUUUUUAUUGAAUUAAAAAUGUUUUAUUUAAUAUUUUGAAAAUGCAAGGGAUGCUCGAGUGGUGGAAAUAGUGCUCAAGCGUUGGGACCACUCAAACACUUAUCAACUCAAACACUUAUCCAACACUUAAGUGAUCAAGGCACUCAAGUGGUAGGUAAGUGCGCUCGAGUGCUCAUCCCAAAUCUGCUAAAAUAUGGUAGAAUAUUUUUGGAUAAUUCAUGCAAAUUGAGUUUGGAAACUUCACUAUACCAAUCCCCUAAGGCUUGGAGGCCUAUAUAAACCCAUCUAUAACCCUUUUAGUAUGAAGUGUAGUAAAACCAAAUGGAAGAAUGAAUAAUCAAAUGGAAGAAUAAGACAAUUAAGGAGAAAGAUUACAUGAAGAUAGGGCCUUAUGCUUCAACAAUAAGUAGCCUUAUGUAUGUGAUGUUGUGUCCUAGAUUAGAUAUUUGUUUUACGUAAGAAUGAUGAGUAGAUAAUAAUCCAAUCCAAGUAUAGAGCAUUGGACAACGGUCAAGUAUUAAAACCAUAAACAAAAAGCUAAAAUCAUGUUCAUUGAUUCUAAUUUUCAUAUGAAAAUUUUAAAAAUAUAACAAUAAAAUAAUAUCACAGGAUAUUUUUAUUUAAUUUAUACAUGAUUAGAUUUAUAAAACAAAUAAAUAUUUUUUUAGUAUGAAUAUAUAAAAUCUUAUAUCCUAAACCUCUAAAAAAUUUUAUUAUAUAUUUAUUUUUAUAUUAAAUUUGUUCUCAUUAAUUAUUUAUUAUAUAUUAUUAUUUUUUAUUUAAAAUAUCCAUAAAUAAUUGAAAUCAAUAACUAUAAAAAGAUGAAAUGGUAACAAAUUUUGAAAUUAAAAAGAUUUCAUGAAGCCUAUACAUUAAAAAAAAAAAAAACAUUUCACAGUGAAAAAUAAAUAAAAUUCAUAUGGUACGGUUGAUUGUCACACGAUAAAGUUUUUAAAAAAGAAAAAUUGUUAUAAAAUUGUUAUAGUUCAUGGUAGGUAGGAGGAGAAAAGGGUAAUUUUAGAAUUUUGAUGAAUAUAACUAUUUAAGUGUAUAUUUAUAGGAUUAGCUUUUGUAAGCGAGAAGUCAAGUCAAACCUCUCAAAAAAAAUCUUUUUUUUUUAAGGUGCACAUGAUUAUACGAUUCUUCCUAUCUCAAGGCUGGGGCCCAUGCUGAAAUGAUAUGUCAACAACCCUCCUUAAAGUAGAGUUGUAAAAGCUACUUCCCUUCUAUGUCUCCGGCCGAUAUUUCAGUCUAGUGUGGCGGCUUUUAACGCUUCAUCUACCUAUCUUCUUUUACGUUGAGCGUGGAAUCCACCGUUAUUUGAACUUAGGAGAUACCCACACUGACUUUUCAAGUUUUGUCCAGUUGAGGAAACUUUGAAAAUUAUUUAGCAGAAGACUGAUAAUGCAACCUUCUUCAUAAGAUGGGUGAUUUUUGAACACUACUGUACUCUAACCAAAUACCAUUUGUGCUUAUAUGUGAUACAAUGAAUGGAAUAUCUUUUCCCCUUUAUUACGCAAAUACUUGUUUAAUAAGUUCUUAUUCUCCUGCGAGUAACUUGCGAUUGAUUGUUUGAAUAGGUAGGGAAUUUUUUUAAAUUAGUCCCCCAUCCAUGCCCAUUAGAGAUUCUGAAAUUCAUUUGUAACAUUUAUGAUUUUUUGGAAAAUAAAAGACCUACUCCAAUAAUACCAAUAUGAAUGGUACCACCAAACUUUCGUACGUAUCUAUAAAGAAGGAGAAGGUGCCCAAACAAUGUAUCCAGAAAAAAACAUUCAAGAAAAUAAUCCCAACUACUAGAUUUCAACAAGUAGGAUUUUGAGCAUAAAAGAAAUAAAAUAAAAUAAAAAUAAUGACGGCUUCGAAUGACAUCACUGACCCAACGCAGGCAGAGGAGUUAGGAGUUGCGUGGAAAUUGUGAAAGGCGUAGAUCACGCCACAUGGAAGCAGUGGAGACAUGGCCAGUAGGAUAAUUAAUAUCCAUGUGGAUAACAGAGUGGAUCAAAACAAUGCCAUUCCCAUCAUGAAUGAACACUCAUUUACUUCUGCGUUUACUUGACUUUUGAGAGAUUUGCAAAACAUGUAGAGAGAGAUAUCACUGGAAGAGUUCUCUUCUCAUUAAUCAUGUUAUAAAACUGAUGAGUUAAGGCUAGUCUAUAAUUUCCAUCAGUGGUAAUAAAAUAAGUAUGCAGCUGUUUAGAAAGAAAGAUCAGCAUGGGUGGUUGCAACGCGCAACAAAAAGUCCCAUCAGACUUCUCAUCCCUGGGAAUCUUACACUCGCUAGGUAGACUAAUCAAACCAGGAUCCAACCUGGUACAAACUACUGUUUCAACCACUCAAUAUUUAAGGAAUCACUUCCUAGUCACUAAGAACAUAAACUAAUCAAACCCAACCUGGCACAGGCUACCUUAUCGACUAGUCAGUACUCAAGGGAUCAUUUCCUAGUCACCAAGAUAGUUAAUUUAGAAAAUCUUACACUGAAAAAUGACCUAUUCAUCUGCAUGAGCAUAUGCUUUUCACAUCCCACUGAAUAUAAUCUUAACAUCUGUUUCAUUAGUAUGAUUUUCUCUUAAGCUAUUGACUUCAAUAUUUACUAGGAAACGAUAUCAAAGGGAAAAAGAUUACCAAUUCAGAAAAAUGUAAAGCAAGGUACAAAAUACUAGAUGGAGAUAUCUCAAAGAAAGAAAUUCUUUUCCUAUAGCUAAACUAAUGCACACGAUCAAAUCUAACAGUGACAUUUGUUCUUGGAGCCAGACAGAAAGCCAAGUACAGAUACAGAGUGUUUUCAAGAUGGGAUUAUUUGGUGUUUUUAACUAUUUAAGUUGAAUGAUGAAAACACAUGCACUUCAACAAUGACAAACCAAAUUGGUUAGUAUCCUGCUUAAUAACCGUAGUUUGCUCCAUUCACCGGGCCAUAGCCUCCAGUGUGGCUUGCAUGUGCUGGGUUGGAUGCAGGAGAUGCAUACAUCGAACCAUGAGCUGCAUAAGAAUUAUAGCCUGGGUCAGUAGAUCCACCAGUUUGGGCCUGUGCUGGUGCAGCAGCUUCAGCCAUAAAAUUCUGCAACACAAACAAUCAUUACAAGCAGACAAGUCCAAUUUGAUUACAUAAUGAAGCAUUGACAAAGAAUAAACAAAAUUUUAAUGGAAAAAUCAACUUUUUUGGUUGAGUAAGAUCCCAAUAAAACAAUAAUUAAACAAUUCUAUAUUAUCAGUAAAAAUCAAUGAUGAAGCUAAAUGGAAAAGAAUGAAGUCCAACUGUCUGAAUUGCUGACCACACUUAACAUUUCAAUAAUAUAUAUCCUAUAAAAAAAAUUCUUUAAUUCUUUAAUUCUAGUAAUAAAGUCGGUCCCACCAUACCUACCCCCACACGCACCCAAACACCACAUACAAGGAGACAUCAGAAACAAUGAUCUAAUGCUAAGCAAUGUCAUUAUGCAAAUGGAAACUGCAAUAUUAGCAAAGACAAACCAACAACUUGGUAUCAAAAACAGGGAGGAAGAGUGCCUGUAUCAGUUGAUGAGAUGCUUGGACUUGGGAAGCAGUUGCAUUGAUUCACGUGGCUACAAAAGACUCUUUAGGAGAAAGUUGAGGAGUUCACAUGUGUAUAGGAAGAUUGAUUCACAAGGCCCUUGAAAAUUUUCUAUUUAAAGCUCUUGUAAGGAAAAUGGGAGACAUAUCUUCCUUCUCCAUCAUUCCUUCUUUUCUCAUUUCUUUUUUCUUGAUAUAAAGCUAAGGAUUCUCUCAUUUCUUUCUUCUUCAUUGUAAGUUACUUGAUUGAAGCCAAAAUAUGUGCUCCAAUGGCACAUAUAUGAUGUUAUAAUUUAUGUAAUAUAAAAAGUUCAAAUCAUCCAACUUAACUUAAUUUCAUGCUAUGGCCAUAGUUAUGGAUCUAACUUUUAUUUUGAGCCUAAUUCUAAGUUUAAGGGAUGACAUAAAUGGAUAAGUGCAAAAGUCAUUAUCAACCAAGAAAGCAGAAGGGGUUAAACUAUAACUAAGAAACUCAAGACUUAUGAACCAUGAAAGUCCAAGAAAGGGUGUAAGAAGCAAGCCAUAGGCAUGAAAUACCAAUAGUAGAUGUUAUGGAUUGAGAUAGAGGGCAAGAAACCAUAAUGGAGGAGGUUUGAAGCAAAUGUAAUCAAGUUCACAUGAAAAUUUGGAACUCAAAAUUUGGCAAUAACAUUUACUUUGACUUUGAGAUAAAGUUUAGAAUGCUUUUUGAGGUCAAUUUUGGGAAAACUAGAUAUUGUUUCGAAGCUUGAGAAGUCAAAAGUCCAACACUUCAAACGAUGCACAAAUCGGAGUUAAAAUGAGGAAGUUAUGUGCAUUUGAAGCAAACUAGGGAAAGAAAAAUGUUGAGUUUGAAAUUGACAUCCUGAAUUCGAAAUGGUUUUUGGCUAGUUAAAACUCAAAAGGAAUGCAAGGAUACUUGUCAUAGAGGCUAAGUUUUAUCCUCCUACCUAUUUCAAAUAGGAGACAAAUUUCAAACCCAAAAACAUGCAUGGUGGGCCAUUUAAAACUCAAAGGAAUGCAAGGAUACUUGUGGCAGAAGCUAAGUUUGAAUCCCCCUACAUAUUUUGAAAAAGAGACACACAUUCCCAACCCAAAAAUAUAGUGAACAUGUAUGGGCAGUGUGUGAGUUCUAAAUUCACUGUGAAUUUGUGGAUGUCACCAUUUUUUGUAAUAAACCUUUCGGAUAUCUAUCUAGCCUUCACAAUUAUUAAAAAGUAUUUAUUCCAAUAAUUAUGAUUGUAACCCUACAAAUAAGGUUAAGAAUAUUAGGGGAAAUUUAUAACUUCAGAGUUCACUUUCUUAUCUAAUUUUCCUCUCCUCUUUAUUGUCUUCAUUUACAACAUCAAAAAAAUUAUUAUUGUUUCAUCUACAAAUUGUCUAAAACUCAUUAAAUUCAGAGCAUAGAAGUAUUGAACAUUCUCAUAUACAUUUGUUUGAGGCUGUGAUAACAUACAAUUUUACAUUAUAUAUUAAUGGAUAUAUUCCUACCGUCAUAUCUUGCCGUGGAUCACACUAUCAAACCUAGAAGUAUUCGAAGGAAUUACCAAAAACCUUCUAUUAAGUAAAUACGCAGAGAUUUUAGAGUUAAAUACAGGCAGUUCCUUACUAAGAGAGUAUUCCAUCUAUACAUGAACUAAUGUAUAUAUUGUCUAUAAAUUCAUUGAGAAAUUAAGAAUAUACAAUUAAUAUCACAUUCUAUUCUAUGGUUCUACAGAAUCCCAAAGAUGUAAAAACUCAAGAAUAAACACCCAAGCACAAUUGAAGUUGUUGGAGUCGGGGAGGAAUCAGGUAGCAUCACAUAAAUGCCUGAAGUAAAUGCUAUCACCAUUCCCAGUAGAGAGAUGUAAGUGAGUAGGGCGGAAAAUUUUGUGAAACGUGGAAGCAAAUGAUAGUUUUGUUCCAGUGAAGCAAAAAAGUGGAGAAACACAGCUGCAGUUGAGCAAUAGAAAGCCAUAGCAUCUGUUAUCACAAAGACUUUGAAAGCUGCCUUUGUUGAUAAAACUGACUUACCCUUGUUUGGGUUUUCUUCAUUGUACCCACCAGGUAGAGAGAAACCAGCUGCAAAAGUUACUGUUGCUAUGAGGGUUGCCACCAGUAGAUGGGAGUUUGAUACAUCCUUCAAAUACUUAGAUGUGAUCUGUUUCUUCUUUACAACUUCAUUAUUCCUGUCACGAAGCGAUUCACUUGCAUGAAGUGAUGUUCUCUCUCUGUCCUCUCUAAGCUCUAACUCAUUUAUGCCUUCAUUGUCAUUGAUUGUUCUGCCUGUGUUCUCGCUAACGAUCAGCCGCUCGAGACUUUGUUGAGCACCGCCAUUCUCCAACUUCCUCAUGAUCAAAGACUGGAAAGUUUUUUUAAAGAACUUAGAAUAAAAUGUUGUUUUUAGCUACCAAGGCACAUAUAUGACCAGAAAAUUCAAUUAAGGCAACAUAUUUCUUCUCUUUUUUUUUUUUUUCUUUUUUUUCAAGUUUCACAUGUGUAAAGAGAAAUAAAGCAGUGGAACCAAUGCAUAAUCUAAAAUCAUCAGCUUUCUAUGCACAUACCUUUUUCAUUUCUCCCAGAUCCAUAUUUGAUUGGACAAUGUCGAUAGCCUUCCAAUAUUUCUUGUUUGAUGCCUUCUUAUCCACUCUACGAUCUCCAGCCAAAAUCCGGACGCUGUUGUACUGUCCGUGCAUAGCAGCUAGAUGCAAAGCCGUGUUGCCUUGAUUAUCUGACUCAUUUAUUAGGCUUUCCCAUCUUGGUUCUUUUAGAGUAUACUUCAUCACUAUAGACUUCCCACAUUGGGCUGCAACGUGAAGAAUGGUCCGACCUUUAUUGUCAACCAAAUUAUUAGAACAUGGACAGCGUUUGAUGAUCUCUGCCAUCAUAUCAGGGUAGCCUUUUUUAGCUGCUAUGUGAAGAGCAGAACUAUCUUCUUUAUCCCACAAGUAAGCAACUGAUUUAUCACAUUCCAGCAAUUUCCUAGUCGCUUCAAGAUGUCCCAAUUGUGCAGCAUAAUGAAGGGGAGUCCACGUAAAUAUGUCUGUUUCUGUGACCAUAUCUUUCUUUUUGUCCAGUAGUAUUGCAAUAAUGUCAUCUAGCAAUUUAGACCAAGAAGAAGAAAUACAAUUAAAACAGACUUUUUCAUCCAGAGUACUUUUAGAAAAUAUAUUACGUUCUUGUUAUUUUAAUAUCAGAUAACGGCUCGGGAUUACUUCUCCAUGAGAAAGAUCAGGCAUUAUGCAAUGAAUUUUCCCAUCAAUUGUAAAGAGGGUAGCUACUAGCCAGUGUGGCAUAUAUUGUAAAAGCAAUUGUGUGAUUUUCUUUCCCUGGUCUUAUUACUUUUCUAGUUCAGUUAAGCUCUCCACCUAUCAAUUAGAGAAGGAGAAGUAAAGGUUUGGGCUUGGAUAAGUAUUCUUCAAAAACAAUUCUAAAAAAUAGUUUAUAAGAACUAUUGAAAACCAUUUUCUGAUGAUAUUUUAUAAAACAAAAGUUCUAAUGGCUGUAUUAUUAUGCUUGGUUGGAACUAAUGAAUACAAUUCUGGUGACUAUCUGUCAUAAGUAUAGGGAGGCCAUGCACUCCAUGUAGAUUUGUUCCGCGUCUGUCAGGAAUCAGGAAUUAGUUAAUGGGGCUCCGAAUGUUCUACUAGCCUUGCCAAAAAAUACUUCAUGAGGCUAAACUCAUCCACACUAAAGUGGUGUUUUUUUUUUUACUUAAUUCUAAAUAGAACUUUAAUGCUUAAUAGCGUUAAGUAUUAAGUUAUUUAUUUUUAUAAUACUUUAUUUCUAUUAAGCAUUAAAAAGUAAAAAAAAAAAAUCAACAUAUCACUUUUUCUAUUCAAUAAAAAGUUUAUAAUAAAUCAUGAAAAAAUAAAAAAACAAAUGAUCUAAAGUCUGAAAGCAAAUUGCUUUUAGCAAAAAACUAAAAAAACACUCUCUAAGUCUAUAGAUUUAUGUAUUCUUGGCUUUGUAUAUCUUAGACAUGUUGGAUAAUGGUGUAACAAAGAUUUCUCCAUUUUUUUCUUAUGCAUUUUCUUCUACAAUAUUUUUCAAGUAUCCCGUUGUAGGGAUAUUUACACAUAGUGCAAUUUUGCUUUAUUUUUGUUGGCAACUUCUUCUCUCUGUUGUAUUAUUCCAAUAUUUACACAUAGUGCAAUUUUGCUUUAUUUUUGUUGGCAACUUCUUCUCUCUGUUGUAUUAUUCCAAGUACCUUAUGUUACGUCUGACUCUAAAAAAUUAUUAAAUGAAGGAAAAAUAUCAAGAAACUUAUUAUUAUUAUUAUUAUUAUUAUUAUUAUUAUUAUUAUUAUUAUUAUUAUGUUUAGUUUAUCAAAAAUUAUUAAAGGAAGGAAAAAAUUGUUAAAAAAAAUAAUUUUUAUUAUAAAAAAAUUAGAAAAAUAAGUACAAUUAAAAUAGGUUAAAAAAAUUAUAUAUUUCCAAAUUAUUUUACAUUUGUGUAAAAAGGAAGAAAAAAAAAAUGAGAAAAAUGAAUUUGAAAAAAUAUUAUUAAUAAUUUUUUAACUUUCAAUUAAUUUUUCAUCUUCCUUUAUUUUUGUUUAUGUUUUCCUUGUCUAGUAUAUUCCUUCAAAAUUUCUAAGAAUCAAACAUGUGGGUUGCGGACUGGUUCGCUGGCCUGCUGGCCUGCUUGCCCGGUCCAAGCAUGAAGUUGGGUUGACCUCUAAUGGUCCUUUGGUGGACCAACCCACCAACCUAACCAAACGACGGUUUCUACCUUGGAAACCUUGGAUCAAGUGUCUGGGAUUUGAAUAAUAUCUUCUCCUGGGUUAUUAAAUUUUUAUUAGUUUUCAAUGGUUUUCUAUUUGUAAUGAUUAAAUUUUUAUUAUAAAAAUGGCUCAUAAAAACGUUGAUUAUCCUAUAACAAUGUUCCAGAAGCAAGAGAUUAUUUACCAUAGCUUUAAACCGCUAAUUUUGAAUAUCGAAAUAAGUAGAAAUAGAAAUAAAUACUAUUAUUAUGUUUAACUUUAUGAAAAUUGUUGUAAAUAAAGUGGUGAAUGACCACAUUGAUGGUCAUUUAUGAACUCCAUUUACUCAUCUUUAAGAUGAGUCAUGGGAGUUCAUAUUAUGAAGCCUAUAAAAGGCUUUUUACACCCCAUGUAAGCAGCAUCCCAAAAAAAAGAAAGAAAUUCUCUUCCUCUCAUUCUCUCUCUCUCUUUCUUUCAUUCUCUCAAUUUUCUCAACUCUCUUCUCUGAUUCCUUCUUCCCAUUAUAUAUAUUGUUAAAGUAAGAUAUAUUUUAUCUCUACUACUUUAUUUGUGUUGCAUUUAUCCUUGUUUUACAACAAAAAUUAUAUUUUAGAAUUAUUUUUAUAAAAAUUAUGGUGAAUAUUUGAAGGCACCCAAAGCAUACUAACUUGUACUUAAUAAAGACAAGACCAUAUUGAAUGUUUUGAUAUUGGUUUAUGAAACUACUUAGAGGAGAGUGAAUAGGCGAUCCUCUGCUGACAACCCUCAAAUUGAAGUUUUAAAUAUUUUUAUUAAUUCUUAAUUUAAUCAAUAUAUGUAAUUAAUAAAUAAAGCAAAGAAUAAUCUUACACUUGACAUGUGAUGUACAUGGAAAAUCAUCUAUAGAAUCUAUAAAAAAAACUUGACGAUGAAAAAUUCAUGGGUCAAUUGAUCGUAGAGCAAAUUCACUAAUUUUGAUAGAAUAAAUACAUAAUCUUACCUAGAUGAAAUACUACCUUCCUUCAAGCAUCUUACACAGGUCAGUACUUACACUUGCUUUCAUGUUCAUGAUGCAAAACCCAUAUAUUCCUUAGUGAAUACCUUAAAAGUUUAAGAGAUGUGAUCAACCACCAUGAGCAACUUCAAACAAGAUAUGAGCUUUUGGAGUAUCAGGAAUAUGCAAAAGAUAAUAACAAUAAAUUGUAGGGUAUGAUGAUGUAUGAAAGUACAAAGUUGAGCAAUGUAUGAUGGCAAGAAACUAACUAAAAAAGAUUUGAAAAGCUGACAAAUAUAGGAUAUUUAUGCAUAACAUCAAGACCGCUUAAGCCCAUUUUGUGGGCACUCGAGCGCUCCUUGUUAAUUUUAGCUUUUCUAAUUUAGCUUCAAGCCCAUUUUGAAUCUAAGUCCACUUUACACCUUAUGCAUGUCAUUAUAUUGUAACAAGAUAACCCUACUUACCUGAACAAUCAUGUGAAUAAAUAAAAAAUGAUCACAUAUCUUCAAGGCCAAUGCAUACGUAGAGUUGAGUAAAAAAAAUAUUUGGAAUAAAAUUGUUAACUUAAACUAAUUAGUCUAGAUCACUAACACAAAUAAUAUCAAAUUUAGUUAAAAUACAAAUGCACCUUCCCAUGAGCAACAUUAUUAUGUUUUACCUUCUUCAUCUUUUACAAGUUUUUAGUUAUAGAAAUAAUGAGAUUAAAAAAUUGAAGGGUAAAUUGCUCCGAUGACUAACUUGAGUGCCUUGGGGCAAUUUUUCUUUGCUUUACAUAUCUCAUAUACCUUAUUAUUGGGAGAUUAUUAAAGAUCGAAUCACAAUAGGACCAAUCCUAAAAUAAAUUCCCCAAAAUCAUUGAUAUUUGAGGCUAUGUAAUAUUUUUGCUCCAACAAGUUUAAUAUUUUGAAUAAGUUUAUCAUACAUGCAUGGAUGUACUUCAUUCUACUACUUGACUAGGGUAGCAAUCAAAAUAGAAGCAAACCUAAAAUCAAUGCUCCAAUAACGUUAAUGUUUGGGGCUUCAUAAUUUUUUUGCUCCAAUAAUUUUGAUAUUUUAGACAAAAUUAUUUUACAUGGAUCGACUUGCUUCUUUAUGUUUAAGUAAAGGGGGAGUUUUUCUUGCCUAAAUCUUGACACUUAGGGGGUGUUUGGUACGUUGGAAUAGGGAAUGGAAAUGAAUAUUUUGUUUCCUUUCCUAUUUCUUAGUGGAAUGGAAUGAAUUUGAUGAUUCCAUUUCUAGCAUUUGGAUGAACUUAGGAAUGCAAGAUUAGAAUGAUUAUUUGUUUCCAUUCCAAUGUUUGAUAAUAAUAGGAAUGGAAAUAAAAAUAUAUAAAUUUACAAUAAUAUCCUUUCAUAUAAUUUAAAAUAUUUUUUAUUUUUACUUUUAUUUAAAAAUAAAAUAAAAUUUGAGAGGUUUUUUGUUAUUAAAUAAUAAGACUAAAAAAUAUAUAUACUCGAUAAAUAAAAAAUUAACCAUAAAAAAUCGUAUAACCCUAAUGCACAAAUAUUCAAUUAUUAUUUUUAUUAAAAAUUUGAAUAAUUUGUCAUGCUUAAGUAGUUAAAUAUUUGUUUUUUUUUUCCUCAAAAUUUUAAAUAAUUUGUCAUGCAAAAAAAACUAUAGAAUUAUAUUUUACUAAGAAAAAAAAGGAGAAAAAAAAUAUAAGAACAUAUAAAUUGUCAAAGCUACCAAAUACUUAUUUCUUAUUUGCAAAAAAGGAAAUAAAAAAACACAAACUUCAUUCUAGUUCUCAAUAUAAGUACCAUAUCUACUAAAAUCUAUAACUAGUAUAUCCUCCAAAAUUAAGCCAUCAAAUCAAUAAAAAAGUUCCUAGGAAAGUGAUGAAACAAAAUCCAACCUAAAAUUUCUAUCAAUCCAACCUAAAGACAAUAAAUCAACAAGGAUGCAACAUGGAGAUUUAUGGGGUUUGAAGAAGUUGUUUCGCCCAUUCAACCUUGAGAUCUUCAUCUAAAUUGAACAAAAGUUUGACUUUCAUUGGGUCACUCAUAAUAAUUUGACUUAACUUCAAUAUNNNNNNNNNNNNNNNNNNNNNNNNNNNNNNNNNNNNNNNNNNNNNNNNNNNNNNNNNNNNNNNNNNNNNNNNNNNNNNNNNNNNNNNNNNNNNNNNNNNNNNNNNNNNNNNNNNNNNNNNNNNNNNNNNNNNNNNNNNNNNNNNNNNNNNNNNNNNNNNNNNNNNNNNNNNNNNNNNNNNNNNNNNNNNNNNNNNNNNNNNNNNNNNNNNNNNNNNNNNNNNNNNNNNNNNNNNNNNNNNNNNNNNNNNNNNNNNNNNNNNNNNNNNNNNNNNNNNNNNNNNNNNNNNNNNNNNNNNNNNNNNNNNNNNNNNNNNNNNNNNNNNNNNNNNNNNNNNNNNNNNNNNNNNNNNNNNNNNNNNNNNNNNNNNNNNNNNNNNNNNNNNNNNNNNNNNNNNNNNNNNNNNNNNNNNNNNNNNNNNNNNNNNNNNNNNNNNNNNNNNNNNNNNNNNNNNNNNNNNNNNNNNNNNNNNNNNNNNNNNNNNNNNNNNNNNNNNNNNNNNNNNNNNNNNNNNNNNNNNNNNNNNNNNNNNNNNNNNNNNNNNNNNNNNNNNNNNNNNNNNNNNNNNNNNNNNNNNNNNNNNNNNNNNNNCAUCCAACUCUUGUUCCAAAGGAUCCACAGGCAUCUCUCUUUUAAUGAGAUUAUGAAUAAGACAACAAGCAAGAAUGAUUUUGCAUUGUGUCUUUAUUGGAUAGAAACAAGGGCUCCUAAGUAUAGCCCAACGUAGUUUAAGCAAACCAAAACAUCUCUCGAUAACAUUUCUUGCUGCAGAAUGCUUCAUGUUGAAAAACUCUUCAUGGGUUGUUGGCAUGUGUCCAUCUCUCCAAUCAUUGAGAUGAUAUCUUUGCCCUCUAUAUGGGGCAAGAAACCCUUUUCCAUUUGUAUAGCCAGCAUCAACAAGAUAGUAAUAACCUAAAAUGAAUAUUCCAAAACAUAUUUUAAAAAAUAUAUCAUAUAUUAAAAAGAAAUCAAUUGUUUAUAAAAACCAUAUAUUUACCAUGUGGAACUGUCAGUCCAUUUCUCCUACUAACUGCAUCUCGAAGCACUCGAGAAUCAGAGGUUGAUCCCUCCCAACCUGGCAAUACAUAAAUAAAUUGCAUGUCUUGAGAACAAACUCCUAAGACAUUUGUUGCAAUUUCAUUCUUCCUUGUUCGAUAUCUAGGUUUGUCUCCCUCACGUACAUUCACUUUAAUGUAAGUUCCAUCUAAAGCUCCUAGACAAUUCUAUUUAAAUAAAAACAUUAGUAUUACUAUAAUAUGAAAUAAUUAAACCUAUAUAAACUUAAUUUUAUAAUUUAUAUACCUUAAACCAUUUCCAUCUCUCAUCUGUGGAGUUCUUAGAGACUGGUUCCGGUUUUUUGAGUAAUACUCCUUGUAGGCGAAUGACUGCAUUCAAUACUGCAUUGAAAUGUCUACUAAUAGUUUCUCCAGACCUUAAGAAUCGAAAUUUUAUAACUCGAUUCUUUACAUGAUGUGCAAGAAUAUGUAAGAAUAAUGCAACCAUUUCUUCUACAUCAAUAUAUUUUGAAUCCUUUAGUUUACCAAUAGUACGAAGCAUAGAACAUAACGUGGUGAAAGUAUGUCUAUCCAUCCUAAGUUGCUCCAUACAUGCUACAUCACUCCCAUGAAUCAAUCGAUUAAGAUUUUCAACUCGCAAAAAUUCUCUAUUUGCAGGUCUUUACAUCAAUGUUCGCCUCUGAUAAUGUUUCCUUGUAGUCGUACAAAGUGCAGUAAGCAUAUUAAGUAUGUUCACUAUAAUAUAUAGAAUCAGGAUAAGUUGUUCUUUUCUUUCCAUCUCAAUGAGGUCCAUGGCUAUGCAAGAGUCCUAAUCAUAAAGGAAGAAAACACCAUAAUAUUUAAUAUUAUUAAAUAUUAAUGUUCUAUUUAGAAUUAUGUAAAAAAAUAAACACCACCUAACUUUAAAUGCCAAUUUCAAAUUUUUAUUUUUAUUUUUUUGUAUAAAAGAAAAAUAAAAUAAAAUUAUAUAUUUUCAAAUUAUUUACACUUUACCUGAGAAAUGAAAAAUAAGCUUUAAAAGAAACUUCUCUUUUCCUUUCAUUUUUCUUUCUAUUUUUUUCCUUCUUUCUAAGAUGUUUUGCCUCAAAAUUUUCAACAACUGCCAUUGCUUGUGGAUGUGACUGUUUGAGUACAUAAUCAUUUCCCCUUACACUUUAAGCCAAUAAAAAGGGAAAAAGGUGGUAUGGGCAAUACAAAUAAGAAACUACGGCAGAGCCGAUGGUAUGGACAAUCAUCCUAUUGUGUAAUGAUAAAUUGCAACCCGGGGAAAGUGAAAGAAACCCAUUGUCAUUAAAACGAUAUGGACUUAAAUUAGCUCUGCAAAAAUUACCAUAUAAACUUUAAACCAAGGUUGGCUAGUGGGUGCUUGACAGCAGGUUAAUUUCAUUUCAAACAUUUUUCACCAUAAUCUAUGCAUUCUUUCUACCUGUCUAAUAUUAUAGUUCUUGAAUUGCAACUUUCAUAUUAAUGAUCUACGAGGUGAUUUGUGUGACACGAGAGAUAAAAGAAUUCCCGUAGGUUCUUAAAUAAAAUAAAGAAUUCUAAUUAUCACAGUCACGGAGAGCAGAACUGGGUGGUGGGGUGGGUGUGGUAAGAAGACUUCGUAUUACCGGAAUGACAACCCCAUGAUUUACUCAAUUUAAACAUAGCAGGAAGACAGUCUAAGUUGAUAAAGGAAUUAUGCUACAAUUAGUAGCUAUACCAGAGGCCUGAGUCAAAUCCCACCAGGGUCAAGGUUGGGGUUUUGUGAAUAUGGGGGGUGGUCCUCUGUGGAAAAGAAAGUUAUCUACUCCGACUUCUCAACAGCAGUACCAGAUUAUACUUAAAACUAUUAUCAAAUUGAAACAUCCGUUUAAUUUUAGAAUGACAUUAUCCUAACCAUUAAAAAUUUUAAAUAUUGCAAAGACGUGAAAUCGAAAAAUCUUUUUCCAACCAUUUCAAUUUUUCUCUCCAGUUUUCAUUAAUACAAUAUAAAGAAACAUCAAAUACAAGAUUCCAAACACAAAUUAAUAAAAAUAAAUAAAUAAUAAUCGAUUUAUAAAGAGGAAGAAACACAUAUAAAGAAGUAGAAGAAAAAAAAAAAAUAAGGUAAACCUGAUCGGAGAUGUAGAAGGGAGUUUUUAGAACUUAGUUGCAGCAAACAAUGACGAAUCCUAGACCCAACAAUCAAAAUGAACAUCCAAAACCCUAUAAAUUAGAAAUUGAUUUUUUUUUUUAAAUAUAGUGGAAGGUUUAAUUAAUUCAAUUUGGAAGAAUCACUUGUUGUAGAGAAUUGGAUGAUGAAUGGGUUUCUAGCUUUGCAAAGAAGAUAAGAAGUGGACGAUAAAUGGAUUUCUACCUUUACAAAGAAGAUAAACAUCUGGAAGGUUUAAUUAAUUCAAUUUGGAAAAAUCACUUGUUGUAGAGAAUUGGAUGAUGAGUGGGUUUCUAGCUUUGCAAAGAAGAUAAGAAGUGAACAAUAAAUGGAUUUCUACCUUUACAAAGAAGAUAAACAUCGGGUUUGAAGAACGAGAUAAGAGGGUAAAAUAGUAAUUUAGGUUAUUUUAUAUUAUCAAAUUGAUUUAAUGAAUCAGAAUACCACCUAUUUUUUAUGAAUGCAAAUCCGACUUAUAAGUUGAAUUUGAUUUCUGCCGGAAUAAUUUUUUAUUCCGUUUCCAUCAUCUUAACAUUUAUCCAAACAUAGGAAUAAGAGAAAAAAAGAAUGAGAUGUCUAUUCCCACUUCCUAUUCCCAUGUACCAAACACCCCCUUAAAGAUACUAAUAUUUGUGUUUUGAACAUGAGAUAAGGGACAAAUCACUAUCUUUAACUUGAAUUUAUGUUAAUGCAUGCUUUGAGAACUAAUACGCCAUCUUUUUUUUUUUAGUAUAAAAGCAUAAGAAGGGAGGAAAUGUAAGCAACUUGAUGUAAUUCUAGCAUUUGGGAUGGAAUGGAGGAGCAAAGAUGCAACAAGAUUAGCCCUAGUGCUUGCUAAUGUAAAUAAAUAAAUAAAUAAAUAAAUAAAUAAAUAAUAAAAGCGAAAAGGCAAAAGAAAACUACAAAGGCAUUCUAAAUUGGUUUAGGAGUAGCUAAAAGUGAUUUGGAGAAGCCAAAAUCGAUUUCAAAAGUUGAUUUAAUCAAUGUUAAAACCAAUUUGUGAAUGAGAAUUGUCAUAUUAAUGGAGUCUCACAUCAUAAAAGUGAUUUAGAGGAGGCUGAAAUCGAAAUUCCAAUCUUAGGUUAAAAGUUAAAACUGGUUUCCAUAUUGAAAUUUUGAUUUCAUCUUGUUGAAAUCAGUUUUUCCAAAAUUUACUGCAUAUGCCAAAUCAAAAUUUCACACUUUGGUUAAUUUGGUAUCAAAAUCUAGAUUUUAGGCAAUUUUGAUGUAAUUUCAACUAAUUAAGUUAUACGUUUGCUAUGGUGGCCAAUGAGAUUAGGCCAAGUGCCUUUUUAGGGUUAAGAUAUUUAUAUUUUCAUUUUUUUUUCAAGGUUACAAAGAUAACAUUUUUACAAUUUUGUUUGUAGUCACACUUUCUAGACUUUUGUUUCUUUCUUUUUAUUAAUAUCCCAUUUUUUUUCUUAUGGAAUUUGGGUGUGAAAUCUCAAUAUAAGAGAUUAAGAUCUUUAAUUUUGGAGAUGUAGCAUGAAGAUACAUGGAAGAUUUGGACAAAGAGCAUAAGAAAAGUAAUGUCAGAUUAAUUGAUCAUUAGGUUUUCAUGUUUACCUUAUUAGAAUGAGAUCAUCUAUGAAAUUAUGGUUAGACUAAGAUCCUAGUGAUACUUCUAAAACCAUUUGAUCACUAGUUAACAUAAUUUGAUAUACUAUCAUGAUUGAAUUGAAAAUUGAUUGUACAAGAUAGAUGAGUGGUACGAAUGUAUAAAUAUAAACCUCAAUUAACCAAUCUAUAUUAUUUAUUUUAGUGAAUCAUGUGAAAAGAGUAUAAAUGUCUUAAAAUUCAAUUUGAUCCCACAUUGACUUUGGUCCUAAACCCUAGAUCUAUGAUUUACUCUCUCUCUCUCUCUCUCCUUCUCUUCUUAUGAAUUUGAAGCUAAAUUUUGAAAACUCCAGAGUUGUUAUCAUAGAUUUGUCUUAAUCAAUUUAAUCUAAAUUCGGUCUUUUUAGAAAAACUUCUCUAUUAAAUUCACAAUUUUGGGUAUAAGAAUACUUUGUUCAAUACAUAAAUAGUCAAAUGUGUUAGUCUUUAAAGGAUGACAUCUAGAUACCAUACACCAUAACUAUCCUCUCUUUGUUUUUUCUUGGCUAUGAUUUCUAUAAUAAUAAAGAUUUUCGUUCUAAAACAUAGAGUAUCGAUAAAAAAAAAGUGUCAUUUUUGUUAGAGAUUGAAGAUUGUCUUAGUUUUUAGGAGCUUAGAGCUUGUUUUACGACGUGAUUUAAAAAUAGCUUUCUAUUUUUCUAAAAAAAAAUGACUUCUAAAAUUUAAUAGCAUUGUUUAGCAAUUGUUCUCUAGAAAUAGUUCAAAAAAAAAAAAUGAACGUUCUCUUCACUUGCUUUUAAAUACAAUAAGAGAACAUAGAGAAAUAAGAAUAAUAAUAAUUAAAAAAAUGAUAAUAUAAGAUUGUGGACCCCGCACUUCUGCACAUGCGUUCCACUCGAUGACGAAACUCGUUGUUUUUAUUUGUUUGGUGAAAUUUUGAUUUUUAGAAAAGAUUUGGAGUCACCACUUAUUUUUAUUUUAUUUUUAAGGGAAAACAAAAUAAGAAAGAAAACUCUAAGUGUGACUCCUUAUUUGGAAAAGACAGUCUAUGGAAAACCAAACUUGGGUUUGGGGGUCAAGUUACUUAUUGGGAAGGUAUGGUAAGGACCAUAACACCCCUCCAAACCCCUAAAAAUGGGUCUCUACUAAAUAAGGUGAAGCAAAUGUGGAAAUUGACAAGGAAAUUUUUAGCCCAAGGGUUCUCCUAAUCGGGUUUUGAUGGUAACAAACCAUGGUUAAGUGACUAAUUGGUUUAAAUGUUUAAGAAUCUCAGGUAUAAACUCGAAAAUUCAUCAAAGAACCAAAUGGAUAAAAGAUCGAGACGCUUGGAAGACUUGUGAUCAUAGGAAACUAAUGUAAGAUGAAUGCAUGAGUGCACUUAGGAUUUUCAUACGUUUCAUACACCUUAGAAAACUCGGUUUAUUCUUUAAAAUGUCGAUUUCAUUAAAACCUGAGUUUUUAACUAAUUUACCUUAGGCAAAAUGUUUCAAAAUUGGCUUAAUAAUUUACCUAAAGACCUUGCCUAAGUGUUAGAAAAAAAAAAAAGAAUCAAAAAAUAGGUUUUUCGGGGCCAAAAAGGCUCAACCGGUCGAGGCUAUGGCCAACCGGUCAACCGAUUAAGGAAUCGGUUGACCGGUUGAGGUCGUCCGAUCGAGGACCGGUCGAGGAAGGUCAAAAACCUUAUCUCUCUCCCAGUAGCCUUCUCUUCCCGGUCGAGGUGAUUCCCUUAUCGGUCGAGGUCCAGUCGAAGACCGGUCGAGGUCCGGUUGAGGCAACGGUAACCUGUCAUGCAUUAAAUGCUCCAACGGCUAGUGAACCGGUCGACCCCUAGCUCGACCGGACGAGGUUGCCUUUUGCUGUUUUUGACUCCCAAGCUUAAAAACCUAUAAAUUGAGAGCUCCACUUCAUUUAUUGACAAGAGAACACUUGCAUUCAAAGCCCACCUACCUGUUCUUGAUCAAAAAGCUCUUAUUUCUUUCAUAGUGCAUUAAAUUACCACUUGCAUAUCCUUUAGUGCACUCUUGUUUGUCAUCCUAGCUUUAUCUUGUAUUUGAGCCAUCUUUAAGCUAGGUUGAGUGAUUAUAUCUUGUAACAAUCCGAGUGUUAAAGCCUUCAAGAGGGUUGAAUCUUGAAGAGGUUGUGUAAGAGCCCAUUGGAGCCGGAUUCCAAGUGUAAGAAGAUUAGAAGCUUGGUUGAAGUUUCAUGUUAGUGGAACCUUCACUCGGUUAGAAGGUUGAGGAGAGUGGACGUAGGCAAGGAAGUGUCGAACCACUAUAAACCCAAGUUUGAAUUCUCUAAACUCUAUAUCUUUACUUUGCUCAUAUUUUGUUUAAAUUUGUUGUGAUUGAAAAGAUUUAAAAAACCCAAUUCACCCCCUAUUUUAGGUGUUUUUCUUAACUAAGCAUAGCCUUUGUUUUCUCAGAAAUCAAUGGAUACCAAUAAAAUGAUCGAAUAAUAAAACAAAUCGAGCAUGAGAAUGAAUAAAUAAAUGAAGUAGGAGUGAGAGCGUACCUUAGUAGCAAAUAAUAGUGCACUAUCAUGGAAAAAAGGUUAGCUCAAGUACAAAAUUUAUCGCAUGCAUAUCAAAGAGCAAGACAAAGAUCAAGCAAUAUUCAUUAAGGUGUGGCUCCUAUAGAGGUGCAAAAAUAAGUUUGAUAAGCCCACAAUGCAAACAAAAGCUUCUCUAACCAAUCUCGAGAAGUCUCAAUCAUCCUCUGCAAGAUCCUCUUAAUAUUCUUAUUCGCAUCCUCUACCACUUCGUUAGUCUGCGGCCUGUAUGCAGACGAUCUAUGAUGCUGGAUACCGUAUCUCUGUAAUAAAGUGUCAACAUCUGCUCUAAAAUGUACUUCUCUGCUCGAAAUCAACUCAUGAGGGACUUCAUAGCGACAAAUAAUGUGUGAUCUGAUGAAACUAGCGACCCCAAAUGAUUUCAAUCUCGCAUAUGAAGCAGCCUCCAUCCACUUGGUAAAGUAAUCAAUGAUGACCAAGAUGAACUCAUGACUACUGGAAGACUUUGGCGAAAUCUUCCCAAUAAUGUUUAUACCCCAUAUUGAAAAUGGUCAUGGUGAAUUCAGUGCAUGUAACUCUAAAAGGGGUAUGUAGAUAAGGUCUCUAUGAAUCUAGCACUCUCGACAUCUUUAAACAAACUGGCAAUAAUUUGUCUCCAUAGUCAACCAAAAAUAGUCGGUCUUCAUGACCUUACAAGCUAAUAUAUGUUCUCCCAUAUGUGGUCCACAAACUCCCACAUGAACCUCUCUCAUCACUCAAUCGGUAGAGGCGUGGUGAAAGCACAAUAGUAACAUCCCAUCAACUGAUCGUUUGUACAAUGUCUCCCCACAGAUCACAAACCGGGUAGCUAACUGUUUCAAUGCUCUCUUAUCCUUGGUUGUGGCGACCUCAAGAUAUAUGUCAAGUCUCAAAAACUGAUAUAUGUCAUGGCACCAAGGCAAACCAUCUUCCAACUCUGCCUCAUCAAUCAAGCAACAAUAGGUAGGAACUGAUCUCGACUCAAUCAGUAAAGGGCGAACAAUGGUAUCAGCGAGAAUAUCAAUCAUGGAAGCUAGAGUAGCUAAGGUAUCAACAAACUGGUUUUGCGCUCUAGGCAGAUGAGUAUAACUCAAAUCAUCAAAUUUUCCAACCACCAGCUCUAAGUAUGCAUGGUAAGGCUUAAGUUUCACAUCUUUAGUCUUCCAAUGGCCUUGAAUCUAUCUCAAUACCAGAUUGGAGUCACUAAACACCUCCAUCUGUCUAAUCUCGAGCUUAAGAGUUGUCUCUAAUCCCAAGAUACAAGCCUCAUUGUGGACCCGCAUUUUUCACGUGCGUCCCCACUCGAUCGGCGAGACUCACAUUCUAUUUGUGAAAAAUUAAUUUUAGAAAAGUUGGAGUCGCCACCUAUUUUAUUUUUAUUUUAAAGGGAAAAUAAAACAAGAAAGAAAAACCCUAAAAAGUGACUCCAUAGUUUUGGAAAAAUCAUGUCUUUGAGAAACCUAAGUCUAGGUCCGGGGAUUAGGUUACUUAUUGGGAAGGUACCUCUAGGAGAUAGCACCCCUCUAAGCCUUAAAGAGGUCUUUACUGACUAAAUUGGGGAAAUGGGGCAAUUAAUUGAUUAAUUGUAGAUACCUAAGUAAGCUAGGUGAUUUUAGAAAGUAGCAUGCUAAAUAAGGAGAUCAAUCACAAUAAAGGAGAGUUAGAGUGUGUACCUGAACCACUUCUUAAGCGCUAUCAUAAAACAUCAAUGGUUAAUUCAGAAGUAUGACACACGACAUGCAUUUUAUCAAGGAUGAUCAAACAAGCAUUGAGACAAUCAAGUAUGGCAUCAAACAAGGACAAUGACAUGCAUAUUCAUGAAAUUUUGGGAACGUACCUGGAUAGCAUAUAUAACUCCUAAUGCGCUUCCUCAGGACAUGGGGGUUAGAUAAUAAAUAAUAAAUAAUGAAUAAUAAAUCCUAGCAUGCUUAUCUAAUUAAUUAGCAAAAAUUAUCAGAAUUCGGAAUAAUUAAUUAUCAUACAUAUCUUGCAUACAAUUCCCAAAAAGAAAAAUGUAAAUAUGAUUACAAUAAAUAGCAAGGUGGUAGCAAAAAAUAAAUUUUGAAAAAGAUUUUCUUAUGUAGGGGUUUCACCAAUUCCCCAAAUUAAUAUACAUGAAUUUAGCCUAAAAUUGUCCCAUUUAUUUGGGACCACAAGCUUUGAUUCGCAUUUUGUUUAAAACCAAAAUUUUUGUUGAAAAUUGAGAAGGAUGCAAACCGAUCGAAAUAUGGUUGCAAAUUUUAAGAAAAUGAAAUUUUUUUUUUCUAAGGACUCUAAAUGAAUUCUUUUAAAAUAGAUUUUUAAAGGGAUCUUUUAAGAAAAGUGUUGGAUUUCAAAAUAAAAGAAAUUAAUUUGAAAACGACAAGACAUAAAGAACAAAAUACCAAGCAAAACAAAAGUUAUUAAAAUCGCAAAGUAGAGUUUUUGACAAUUGAGAAAAUUGAAGUGGUGGGAAUGGAGGUCAAUCUUCACUAUUUUCCAAUGGCCUCCGAAAAGUAAAUUUUACCAUAGACUACCAAAGCAAUAAACUAUUCGAACUUAGAUCAUAUAAGCUAACGAUCACUACUACAAAAAUUGAAAUUAAUGACGCUUUAUUUUAUGACGCUUUCUAAAAGCGUCAUUAUUGAGGGUAUACAAUGACGCUUAUAAGAAGUGUCAUAGUUGUAUUAUUUAUCUUGAUACUUAUUAUAAGUGUCAUUAUUUGAUGUCAUCUUUUUCCUUAUAAUCGUGUAUAUAAUGACGCUUAUAAGAAGCGUCAUAGUUUUAUUAUUUACCUUGACACUUAUUAUAAGCAUCAUUAUUUGAUGGGUAUGUAAUGACGUUCCUGAGAAGUGUCAUAGUUGUAUUGACUUUUAAAAUUUUUGUUUUAAGUUAACUUAUACAAAUUUUGAUAUUAGAAUUUUAUUCUAUAAAUUAAUUAUGGUAAAUUGACAUUAAUAUUAAUGACAUAAAGUUGCUAGAUUAAGGUUUUUUUAAAAAAAAUUGGAUAUAAAUAAAAUAAAAUCCUAAUAAAUUAUUUUUUUAUUGUUUGAUAUUAAUUUUUUUAUAGUUUGUAUCAAUACAAUCUAUUUUCAUAAACUAUUUUUCAUUUUUAUUAAAUUAGAAAUUAUCUUAUAUUUCAUUUAAAAAUAAUUUGUUAAUUUAUUUGUGGACCACAAAAAAGUGGCCUAUUUUGAGCACUUGUUCGAGCCUUGGGCCACAUUUAUUGGGUUUAACCCUUUUAUUUGAGAAUGUUUUAUAGUUAAUGAAUAUAAAUUUGAAAUUAUUUAACUAAAAUGAAAUAAAUUAAUAUUUAAAUUAAUUUAAUGAUGAUUAGACUCACAAUAAAACUAAAUGCAAUAAGAAUAUUUAUAAAAACUUUCUAAUAUUUAUGGGAAUUAAGCUCAUUCUAUUAAAUUAGUUUUUUUUUUAAAUAUCAAUAUUCAAAUUAAACCGACAUCAACCUAAAAUAUCAAAUAAUUAAACAAUAUAAAUUCAUUAUGAGUUCAAUAUAUAAAAAUUAUUAUUGGAAGAUGAAAUAAAGAAUACUAUUUUAAUAUAUUGAAAAAGGACAUGCAUGGUAUUUUAGAAUUUGUUAUAAAGUCUCCAUUGAAAACCCUAACUUUUGGAAGACAAGAAAGAAGGGAGAGAGCCACCGUUUUUAAUGAGAAAGAAGAGAAGAGAGAAAAAUGCAAGUUUUUCUCAUCAUGCCCAGAUUUCAUCAAAGGUUUGAUCCCACUUCGUCCGUGGUCCGAUCGAGCUGAAAUUUGGAGGAGAGUUUCGUGACUCAUUUAUCUUCAAUCUGAACGAUGAAGAUCGGAUUUGGAGUUUCGGAAAGUCAUUAGAAAGAAAGAGGAGAAGAGAGAAAAACGUAGGUUUUCUCAUCAUGCCCAGAUUUCAUCAAAUGUCCGAUCCCGCUUCGUCCGUGGUCCGAUCGAGUUGAAAUUUUAAGGAGAGGUUCGUGGCUCAUGUAUCUUCAAUAUGAACGGUGGAGAUCGGAUUUGGAGUUUUGGACAGUCAUUAGAGAGAAAGAGGAGAAGAGAGAAAAACGUAGGUUUUUCUCAUCAUGCCUAGAUUUCAUCAAAUGUCUGAUCCCGCUUCGUCCGUGGUCCGAUCGAGUUGAAAUUUGAAGGAGAGGUUCGUGGCUCAUGUAUCUUCAAUAUGAACGGUGAAGAUCGGAUUUGGAGUUUCGGACAGUCAUUAGAGAGAAAGAGGAGAAGAGAGAAAAAUAGUGGUUUUUUACAUCAUGCCCAGAUUUCAUCAAAUGUCCGAUGCCGCUUUUUUCAUGGUCUGAUUGAGCUGAAAUUUGAAGGAGAGGUUCAUAAGUCAUUAAUCUUAAAUUUGAACGGUGAAGAUCGGAUUUAGAGUUUUGAAAAGUCAUCUUUCAGCUAAAAACAAAACCUUUAUUUUAUCAAAGAUGACGCUUCCUGAAAGUGUCAUUGUUGCCUAAGACAUACAAUGACAGAGGCGAAGAGGACGCUUUAGAGAAGCGUCAUCUGUUACCUUUCUUGACGCUUAAAAAACGUCAUUGUUUCCCAUUUUUCUUGUAGUGGAUAUACCCACCAAGAAUUAAUGACUAUUUUCGAGAAACACAUCAAUUAAAAAUAACAAUCAAGAAUUAGCACAUGAUCAAUCAAACACACAAACGCAUCUAGACUUGUUAAAAUGGAUGAAAUUAAGUCAAGGCAAAUGUGAAUUUUCAGUCAUAAAAUUAAUUUUUUUAAUAAGCUAAUAUUAUAAAAAAUACCUAAACUAAAUAGAUGAGUUAAAUUUAACCAAGGUAGACUAAAAGAAACAUGAUUUUUUUCACAUAAAAUUGAUUAAACCAAAAAGUUAGAAACUCACAAACACAUCUAAACUAAAAGAAAAAUCAGCACUAAAGUAAAUUGAAAUGAAAAAAAUAAGAACUUUAUCAUGUAGAAUUAAUUAAACUAAUUAUAAAAAAACAUCUAAACUAACGAAAUAAAUUAAAAUUAAACUAAAAUAAAAUUUAAAAAAAGAAAAAGAAACUUGCCUUCAAGAAUGCAUAUUGCUGAAUCUAUUGUAGGAAGACCGCUCUUGGAUGCGUGCCUUUCUUUGCGUGUUUCAGGAAAUCAUCUCUUAAUGCGUGGCUUAUGUGGCGGCCAUCUUCCUCUUUCCAUAAGAUACAAUUCCAUAAGUACCCGAACCAAGUUCUUUUAUGUAUUCUAGGUCAGAAUUUUAUUUUAUUUUUUAUAAUCUGCAGCACUCUAGUGGCUAGAAGAGAAUAAAAUAUGGCCUGGUUGUGUAGUUGACAAUGACGGGAAUUGGAGGAUUCAUCGUUUUCAAAUAUGCAUGGAUGGAUGGGCUGCUGUCCAGAUGGUUCCGUCAGUGAGUUCAAACAGCCACCUCUUUGCUCUCAAAUCUCCUUGCACUAAUCCCUUCAAAACAGCCCCUCUCACACUCUCUAAACUCUCUCUUUUAUAUCCCUUGAAAUAGCCUCUCGCAUGCUCUCAAAACUCUCUCUUCGGAUCAUCUCAAACAACAACUCCUCACGCUCUGAAAAUGCGGACUGAUCUUUGUGCGGACAGCAGCCUAUGAUCCCUUCAAAACGCCUACUAAUCUCUUCCCAAACGGCAUCCUCAAAGGCUCUAAAAAAUCCCUCAUCCGUUCACUUCAAACAGCAGCCUCUCACGCUUCAAAACGCCUCCUGAUCUCCCCCCAAACGGCAGCCUCUCCUUCCAUGGAAUACUCUGUUUCUUUGUUUUAAUCUCCGCGGAUAUAUGGAAAGUGCAUAUGUGGUGACUCACUUAGAGAUUCUAUAGGAUGCAGUCGUGUGUCCUCCUUGGUAAGUAAUCAAAUCCUUACCAUGUUGACUUUUCUUUCUAAAAAAAAACAAAAAGAAUCUCCUCACAGCCCACUAUAUGCGUAUUGUGCACUAAUGGUGGACUGCAUGUCCACUUCUCCUCAUUCAUGGACUGUGUUCUCUCAUGCGGAGUGCGUGUUGUGUCCAACUCUUUCAAGCAUGCAGCCGCUUUGCUUAUGGCAGCAUGUGGAUGAAGAAUUGAUGUGCAAAUUGGAGGUGGACCAAUCAUGGAGGUUCAGGAAUCGGGAUGCCAAUGUUGCUAUCAGUUUUCCUUUCCUCUCUUCAAUGCGCCCUGAAAAUGUAUCAAAAAUGGUGCGGCUGGUUGGUGGUCGUCUUCCCAAUGGUGCAAUUGCACCUUUAUCCUGAUCAGAAUCUGUGUCCGCUCCAUUCAAAAAGCUGGUGCAUCCCUCUUCAAAAAUCUGGUGCAUCUCUCUUUCAAGAAUCCCAUCAUACUCCCUUCCAAAAUUUGGUCAUCUUUCCCCUUAACAAUCUCGUGUAUCCUUUCAAAAAUCUGAUCAUCUUUCUCUGCUCCCAUCUUGCACCCAUAGGGAUCCUUCAAUAUGUGGACUGUCCAGAUCUUUCACAUGCGUGCUGGCCACUUACCAUCCUUGCAUGGUGAUAUCUUCCUUCCUUUUUUUUACAGGAUUCUUUCCAAGUCUCUUUAUUUGGCCGUGAUCUUCUCUCAUUCAUGGCUCCAAGUCUCAUGCAAAAAUUAAAAAUAAAAUUGAAAUAAGAAAUGGGAAUUAUGAUCAAAAUGAAAUAUAACGAAAUAAAAUAAAAUCUCAAAUCACAUAGCCACAAAAUCCAAGAUAUCAAUUUAUGGGAUUAAAGAAUAAAUAAAUAAGUAGGUAAAUAAACAAAUAAAUUGAUAAAAGUAUAAAAAUAAAUAUUAGACGUAUGCAAUUAGGAAAAAUCAAGAAAUUAAAUUAAUGCAACAGAUUAUAAUAAUUUAAAUGUCAAACUCAAAACCAUUAAAAAUCAUAAAAUUCAUUCAUGCAAUAAAAAGUCAAACAACACUCAUCUUAUCCCGAAAAAUAAGUAACCAAAAUCAAGAUCAUGCCUAAGAGAACUAUGCCAAAAGAAGUGUCUAAGUGACCUAUUUUGAAAGACUGUCUAAGUAACCUAGGGUGAAUGUGUGCAAGCUAGAAGGUGCUAAGUGCAUCUAAAUUGGCCUAAGGUGGUGCCUAAUGGGCCAAAUGUAUCUAAAUGGGUCUAGGGUGCCUAAGUGGGCCUAAGUCUAAGUGAGCCUAAGUCUAAAUCAAGACUACCAAGGAUCAUAAUAAGGGGUUAGGCAAUCCCUCAACCAAAGUCUCCGAGGUGGCUCAGAAAAAGUAAGUAGUAUGAGUAGCUAUGGGUCACCAAGGAACUACUGUAGAGCCUUGGAAAUGAACUUAAAGGCAUGUGCUAAAGAGACAAAAUUAAGGGUCUACACUCAUACUCAACAAUAUUGUUCAUGGCAAGGUGUCGACCAGAGAAUGCCAAACGAACAAAUCUAGGAAUGUGGUCAUCGUGAUGGGAUAUCAGUAGAACACCUAUCCCGUAUCCAAAAUGGUUGGCCGCAACAUCAAAGUACAUGCGCCAACCUGACGAAGUAGUCACUGCAGCGAUAUCCUCAUCUAGAAAGUCAUCAUCAAUAGCUCUACCAUCAUAAAAACUAGUAAUGAGGCUAAGUGAUCUACAACAAUGCUCCAUCUGAUAGACUUUUGAGUGACAUAAUGAAUAUCGAACUCAAUCAGGAGUACCAACCAUCUCAUGAGUCGAUCAAUCAAAGCAAGCCUGUCAAACAAAUAUCUCAAAGAAUCUAGACAAGAUAUCAAGUGCACUGAAUACUCCGUCAUGUAAUGUCUCAAUCUCUUAGUAGCUCAAACCAACGCCAAACAGAAACGUUCAAUCAUGACAUAUCUUGUCUCAUAAUCAAGCAUCCUCUUACUCAAAUAAUAAAUAGCUCGCUCAUUUCUAGAAUCAUUGAGCUGAGCUAACAUGCAUCCCAAGGCUAUAUCUGAGACUGACAAGUAUAGGAAUAAGGGACAACCUGGUGUAGGAGGCACCAAGACUAGAGGCGAAAACAAGUACUCCAUGAUCCUCUCAAAUGCACGCUGACACUCAUCAUCCCAAACAGGAGGUCGACUCUUCCUCAAGAGUAAAAAAAUGGGCUUGCAAAUAUCUGUCAAUCUGGCGAUGAAUCUACUGAUGUACUGGAGUCUACCUAAAAAACCUUUGAUCUCUCUCUCAGUCCUCGGCGCAGGCAUGUCAAGGAUGGCUCUGAUUUUAUCUGGAUCUAUUUCUAUGCCUCUCUCACUGACCAUGUAUCCUAGAAGUCACUCCAAAAGUGCACUUCUUAGGAUUCAGUCCUAAUCUGAACUGUCUGAUCAUAUCAAAGAAUCUCUUUAAGGCUGUUAGGUGAUCUACUCUAUCUUGAGAUUUCACUAUUAUGUCAUCUACAUAGACCUCGACAUCCCAAUGCAUCAUGUCAUGGAAAAGGAUAGUCGUUGCUCUUUGAUAAGUAGUUCCUGCAUUCUUCAACCCAAAUGGCAUAACUUUGUAGCAGUAAGUACCCCACUCAGUAAUCAAAGAUGUCUUCUCCAUGUCCUUUAGAGCCAUCAUAAUCUGACUGUACCCAAAAAAUCCAUCCAUAAAGGACAACAUCGAAUGACCUGUUGUACUAUCAACUAGCAUGUCAAUGUGUGGGAGAGAAAAAUCAUCCUUGGGAUUGACCUUGUUGAGAUCUCAGAAAUCAACGCAGACUCUCACCUUGCCAUCCUUUUUGGGAACGGGGACGACAUUGGCCAACCACUCAGGAUACUCAACCACUGAUAAAAAUCCCACACUAAGCUGCUUCUGAAUUUUUUCUUUCACAUGCAGACUCCAACGAGGAUGCAAUCACCUCAACUUCUGCUUAAUCGGUCUAGCAAGGGGCAGUAGUGGCAAGUAAUGCUAGACUAUGGAUAGAUCAAGGCUAGAUAUGUCCUCAUAAGACUCUGCAAGUGAUGUUGGACUAUGGAUGGAUCAAGGUCAGACAUGUCCUCAUAAGACCAUGCAAAGACAUCCAAAUAUGAUAUGAGUAACUGGACAAGGCCACCACUCUCAUCUGUAAACAAAUCCAAUCCAAUCCUCAGCUCCCUAGGCUAGUCUGUUGUACCAAAAUCAACAAUCUCAACGUCUCUUGUGGUAGGUGAAACUCUCUGAUCACUAGGACUCAAAUCAGAAGCAAAAGAAGAGUCUGCAUCUGAAUCGUGAUGUACAAUCUCAUCAUCUAUAUCAAAUAUUUGUGAUGUGGGUGAAUGAGGUGCAGAUAAAGUGUUAUCACAAUAAAUAGGCAAAUACUCAAAAAGACUCAUAUCCAUAUAUGAAGAAAGAGUCAGUACAUCAUCAGAAUGGGAGACAAACCCGACAGUACAUCAAAAGAAAGUGGUGGGUCCACAUGUUUGGACUCUACCAUGACUGGGCUAUUAACACCCACAAAUACAUCAUCAUCAACUAUAUCAUCCUUUGAAAACUCCAGAGCAGGAGCAAUCUGGAUCUCCUCAGCAACCUCGAUGGCGGACACCCCAAAUAGAUCAAAUGGAGAAGCAAACUCAGGUUGGACUAUCCCAUCAAUCUGACUCAUACUCAUCGCGAGCAUCUCAUCAAUGUACCUGUCGUGUGGAACAACUCCAUCCACCAUGUCCCUAAUCUCAGCAAAUGUCCCAUGCUCGUCGACCUCAUCCUAGAAAUAGAGUGUCAUGAGGCUCAUAUGAUCUGGAGAUGAUGGGGUGGCUAAUGUAGAAGCAGAAGUGCCAGGAGCUCCAUCACUCAACCGUAGCUAAUGGACAAGACGCUGAAGCUCAGCCUCCUCAACAGUGUUGAAUCCAUCAAUAAUCCCACUUGAAUGCGUCUAUGGCUCCGGUGCCCUCACAAAGUAGUCCGCCAAGCUCAUGUUGUAUGAGCAAAUAGGAUAGUCAAAUGGUGUGUGAGUCAAUCGGGCUCUCACUCUCUCCUUGCGCAAUCACACCAUAUAUCAAUAAUCGGCCUCAGUAGGAAUAAACUCAAAUCCAAAUGGUACAUCACGAUCAACGAUAGUUAUAAGCUCAUUGGGCUCAUGCUGACAUCGCCCUAAUCCCAUGCUCGGCAGAAAAGACAUGCUCCUCAUCAUGUCAAGCACCACUGUACUACCAUGCUAAUCAAAUGACAUAGCCACAAAGUCCCUACAAAAAUCCUCAAUCUCCAGAGUUUACACCUCAUCAAAUAUGAACCCAGUAAAAAACAAAUCAUCCUCAUUGUGACUAAUCUGAAGCACUGGCUUGGAAGAAGCAAACAUAUCUCCAAUAGACCACACCGUGAUGACUUGGCCAUCAUGAAUGAACUUCACCUUCUGAUGAAGGGAAGAAGGAAUGGCCCCAGCUCUAUGAAUCCAAGGUCGGCCAAUAGUAGGUUAAAAGAUGUAGAAAUCCUCAAAACCUGGAAUAGAGUAGGAAAUGUAGUCGGACCUAUCAAUAGCUCGAUCUCCAAAGUGCCCAUGACCUUCCUCUUAAUGCUAUCAUAUGCUCUGAAUUUCUGAGUAGAGGGACCAAAGUUUGAGGACGCAUAGCCGAGGGCAAUGACAUAAGCUAAGGGACAGACGUUCAGGGUUGGGCCAUCGUCCAAAAUGACAUAUGGGACUUGGUGGCCUGAAAAACCAACUGAGAUGUAUAGAGGACAUGUAUGGUCUGAACCCUCGGGUGGCAAAUCAUCAUCUAAAAAUAUAAUGCAAGUGGCUCUGCCAACUGUCAUAAUGUGAAUCAACCCCUCGAGAAUAGUGGUAGUCUCGACUCUAAUCUAACUCAAGGCUCAAAUCAAUGCAUCUUUAUGAGUGCUAGAAGAUGCCAAUAAGCUCCAAAUAGAUAUACAAGUCUGGGUACUCUACAACUAUAUCAGAAUAUCAUCAUCAUCUCUCCUGACCUUCUCAUGAGAGGCUGCACCCUCCAAGGGUCUAGCGGUUGUGAAGGGUUGCUGUCAUACUACCCUACCUCUGUGAAUAACAUAUUGUAUAUCUGGAGUAUGAACAUCAUCAACAUAUGGAGUAUGUACCUCAUCAACGUCUGGAAUCAAAACAAACGAAGUCUGAACACUAUAACAUGGAAAAAUCAAUGGCUCGACUAUAGUCAACUAUACUGAUGUCACAUCGAGAACCAACCUGAAUAGUGUGGGCAUCCAUGGGCCCAAGGUCAUUCUACCUACCUCAUAAAUCCCAUCUACUACUAUAGGCUCUAGCACUGACUCAUCCCAACUCAGCAUGUGGAUAUGAUCAUAUGGCUUAGUGAAAUCCAUGAAAUGUAUACCGUUGGCUAGCAGAGAGACUGCAUGUGAAGUAUAAGCUAGCAGAGGGUUAGUGGUUACACUUGGCUAACCCAAUGAACCAAACCCUGAUCUAUCAAGUCCUCGAUGGCGUGCCUCAAAGUAGUGCAAUGGUCCGUGUCAUGCCCUAGACCCUGAUGGUAAGAACAAUGUAAAUCCAUCCUGAAGCGAGGUGGCAUGAGUUGAGGUAUAUGCCGAGGAGCUAACUGAGUCAACAAACCACCCUCCAUGAGCUUUUAGAAAGCUCGGCUCAAAGGCAUACCUAGUUGGGAGAACUGUUGUGUCGACCUUUGUACAAAAGAAAUAAUAGUCUGUGGGGCUCGUGGCUGAGGGUAUAAAGUAGGAGGUCUCUCUAUGACAUGUGCAGCAAAAACAGGUUGUGAGACCAGAUGUAGAUAAGUAGGAGUCAUAGGUUUGGAGGAAAUAGGUGGCCUAUACUGAACAUGAGGUGGUGGUGGGUAGUAGAAUCCAGAAGGCUGCCCAACUGUCUGAUAGCGUCUAGGAGGUCUCAACCCUGUUGAACUGAUAGCACUCACAUCUUCUAAUCUUUGUCCUCCUAAAGGCUGCUUUCCCUAAGAGUCAGUAGGGGAAGACUCGACCAUAAUCCUCUAGUUAUGUCCUCCUCUAUACCAUAUAAAUCAUGUACCAAAGAUCCAAAAUCCGUAUGAGAAAAUCCCAUCAAGUGCCUAGCAAAUCAAGGCUGCAAGCUCCUCAUGAUCAUACUAAUCUGAUCAUUCUCCGAAGGAUGAUCAAUAACCUGUGAAAUCUUCUCUCUUUAGCGAGAGAUAAAUGAGGUGAUCGACUCAUCUAGCCUCUAUCUCAAAGCCUCUAACUCUCUCAUCGAAACAUCAAUGACAAUGUUAAAUGCAAACUGUCUCAAGAACUUCUGGGCCAAAUCAUCCCAAGUUCGGCGGCGUGAUACAUCCAAUGAAGCAAACCAACGUUGUGCCACACCACUCAGGGAUAUAGGAAAAAACAUAACCAUCUGGGCCUCAUCCAAUCCAUGGGCCCUCAUAACCGUACUGUAAAGCCUCAAAUGGAUGCAAGGAAAGCCAAUGUCCGUGUAUUUCUCAAUCUUAGACAUCCUAAACUUUGUCGAUAAACUGGCCACUGGUGCUCCAUUAAAAUCCUCCUAAGUAAUAGCUCCAUCUGAAGUCUUCAUCUGUCUCAUCCUCUACUCAAGUCUAUCCAUACGAGCAUGUGGGUCCUCUGAGAUCGGGGUAGGCACUAUGACAGGAGGCAAGGCAACCUCAGUCUGACUCUAUAAAGUAAAUGAUAUAGGUUGUGAAACUAUCUGACCAAGUGGGAGAGGUGGCAGAAUAGUGGGAUCAUACUGCACACUCUCCUAAACUGGAACCUUUUGGGUUUGCUACCCAUCCAUCCUUUGAUCAAGACUAGUUAUGGCCUCCUGGAUCGAAGCCAUAGCAGCAACGAACUGAUCAAAUGUAACCACCUACGAAUCCAUAUCUAUCUGAUCUAACUGGUCUGAUACUCUGAUCAAUCUACCUUUAACUCUGAUCUAAGAAGUUAAACCCAGAUCAAACGUAUCAAUACACCUACAAUAGUGGAAAUACUAGAUAAGAUAUUGUGUAAGGGAAACUCUACAAGGAGUGUCUAUCAACUAUGCAGGAAGGUAACCUGGAAGUAUUCAAACUUAUAUCUAAUUCUGAGCAAAUAUAUAAGAGACUACUAUGAAGGUAACUAAAUUUAUCACUACUGACCCGGCUCUGAAGGCCCAUAGAUGCACCCACGUGUAGGAAAGGAAAUUCUGAUCGAAUAAUCGAAGGCUCAACCUAUAAGGUCAAGGUGGCUCUAAAAAAAAAAAAAGAUGGACUUUAAAGGAUCCCUAGCAGAAGCGAUCAUACCCUUCAACAGUAUGCAACCCUCUGCACGCCUUUGAAAAGACGAGGCGCUUCCAUGCAAGGUGGUCAUCACCUCUACACAUGCACUACCUCGACAUCGUAAGGGGUUUUGCUAUAGUGAAAGCUCUCACAACUCUCAGCACUCAGUAGUCAACUAAAGUGCAUAGUGAGUGGUGCAGGUGCAUCCGAAAAACCUAUGAAGAUAAAGUAGAAAAAGAAACACAUUAGUCACACAAAUAUCCAUGAAACCAGCUCUAGGCUAUUCAGGUCUUCAAAGAUCAGACUCCAAUCAAUGUGUCGGCCUCCUCAAGAAUGCUCCUAAACAUCAAUAUAGCCCAUCACUAUACCUUACUCCUAACCACUAGCUCGGUCAUAGAAACAAGUACACACAAGGCCUCACACUUGCAAAUAUAAGAACCGAAAUGAAGGAAAUGACCGAAACCAAAGGGUUGGAGGUAAGGGGAUAGAUGUGCGAUCCACACAGACAAGCAACAUACAAUCACAUAGGAGAAGAUUAGUUAUGCAACAAGCAAUCAAGCAGAGCGCAAAUAUAUCAUCCAUGUCCAUACACAAGCCAAACGAAAAUAUGACAAUCACAAUGACUAGCAACAAGGAUAGCAUGCUCAAAUAUAAUCAAGAUAACAUACAAGAAAGAUAAUCAACACUAAGACAAAUAAGAGAUGCAGCAAAGUGAACAUACAUGUCAAAGUGAGUAGGAUAAUCAAGGCAAGAGCAAGAUCGAUCAAUAUCAUCAGCAUGCCAAUGUCGCAAAGGGAUAUAACAAUUAAGCAAAGAAAAUCGUUGCAUCAAAAUCCUCAAUGUGCUAUGAUCACUCAAGCAUUGAAAAUUGUAAUUUUGAAAAAUUAUUUGAAAAUUGGAGUUUUGAAAAUUAAAUUUAAAAAUUAGAAUUUUGGAAAAUUAAAUUUAAGAAUUGGAAUUUUGGAAAUUAAAUUUGAAAGAAAUUGGAGUUUUGAAAAUUAAUUGAGAAUUGGAGUUUUGAAAGUUAGUUUUAAGAAUUGGAGUUUUGAAAAUUAAUUUUGAAAGAAAUUGGGGUUUUGAAAAUUAAUUGAAAAUCGGAGUUUUAAAAAUUAAAUUUAAGAAUUGGAGUUUUGAAAAUUAAUUUUGAAAGAAAUUGGUUUUUUUUUUUGUUUUCAUAUUCUCAUAAACGAAAAAUGGAAACUAAUGAAUAAAAAUAAAAAUUAAAGAAAAAAAAAAGCAUUUAAAAUAUAUAUCAAGAAAGAAAGAUAUUGAUCACCUAUUUCUUUCAACAUAAGUUCCUCUAAGUAAAAUGAUAAGGUUGCCACUAUGGUUUAAUCUCAGGAGGUUUAAGAGCACACAUCUUGGGGGAAGGUUUGAGAGCACAUCUUCAAUACGGGAAGGUUUGAGAGCACAUCUUUAAUAGGGGAAGGUUUGAGAGCACAUCUUCAAUAGGAGGAGGUUUGGGAACACAUCUUUGGUGGGAAAAUAAGAUUGAUAACUUCUUCUUUUUUAAAUAUAUACUACUAUUAAAAAUGUGAGGUGUUUGUCAAUUUUUUCAUUCCAAAAAUAUCUGACAACUCCUUUUAAUUCUAAAAAUACUUCUCAUCAAUUUAUUAAUAACAAUAUAUUAAUAUUUAAUGUUACAAAAUGUAUUCUAUUAUCAUAAUCUAUUAGUAUCAAAUGACAUUAUACAUUUUAUUCUCUUUAGAACCUAUAAUAUUCUUUGACUCUUGAUGAUGUGCCUAAGCCCCAUAUUUUCAAUGCCCACAUAAGCCUUUUCUAUCAUUUUCUCCUCUCCAUGGUCACAACAGCUUCUUCUUCAAGCUUUUAGAUUUUUCUUUGCAAAAUUGCCAUCUUAAUAUUCCUCUUCGCCACAAAUGGCAGUCGAUUCAAGACUAUGUCUAGAGUUAUGGUCAUGGUUCUGGAAGGUUUGGAUUGAUGAAAGUGUUAUGUUAGGGACAAGAGAGAGUUUCAAUGAAAUGUAAUGUUUUGGGGAAAGCUAAGAAUGACAAUGGUGGCAAAGAAGGUGUUCAUGAAAAGAACAAACAGUUUGUGUGGUGGUUUCGGGAGGCGUGGUUGUAUUUUCACAUUCAUAGGGGUGACACGUUUGUUGUCAUAAUUUUUGGUGAAAUUGUUGUCAAUUCUUACUUGGAACCCAUACUGAAGGCACAUUUUCUAUGAAUUUCUUUUCCUCUGUUAAUUUAGUUUGAAUGAAUAAACUGUUAUUGUGUUUCAUAAAAGCAAUAUGGAGGGUUGGUUUGGAUAGUGGUGAUACUCUACAUUCAGAUAUGUUUUCCUUUUGUAUUUUGGAAACUAAUGAAUCAUAACAUGCUUAUUGGUGAAAGGAGAUUGUUGUUUAUCCCCUAUUUGUUUAAAGAGAAUGAAUUGUGUUUGUGGAGUUGACAAUUGAAGAUGUUGACUGUGAUUUAAAUCCAAAUAGUUUUAGAGAAUUGGUCAAAUAAAUCUCUGAUAAAUAUUUUUUUUUAAUGAAUUUACAACUCUUAUCUAAGUAAUUUAUCGCAUUGAUGGUAUCUAUGUAUAUCAAUUAUUUGUGUUCUAAUUUAUUGUGAUUCUAUCUCGUGUUAUUAAUCAUUUGGGUUAUUGGAUUUUAACAUUUUGAUUUUUAUCAUUUCCCAUAUUUUUAAUUCAUUGCAUUUUUGUUCGUUGUGAAUGUUAUUUAUUUAUUAUUUUAGCACUCAUUGGGUUUUUUGUGAACACAAUUAGAUCAACUGUUGUUGCCAUUAGUGUUUUUGAUGAUUUUGCUUACAUGUUUAUUAGGGAAAUAUUAGAAUUCAAGGUGUUUGGUACAUUUGAGAGGUAAUCCAAUUUAGUAUUAGAGUAUACCUUUUUUUUUUAAUGAAUCCUGAUUUUUUUUUUUUAUUGGGAUCAAAAUUUGUUACUUACUCUAGAAAUUUAGUAUUUUUGUAAAUACUUUUAAUUUUUCUAAUUAUAUUUUUUUAUAAGUAUUUAGAACUUAAAGGUUUUACUGAAAAGAAAAUGAAGUUAGUAGUUUUAAAUUGAAAUUAGUCUUAUUUCUUAAGGUUUUUUUCCUUUUUCAUUUUUAGCUUAAUUGAAUCUAGAACUUUCUUGUACAUUAUAAUUCUAAAAGAAGUUUUAAUUACAACCUAUUAAUAUUUAAUGUUACAAAACGUAUUCAUCCAUUAAUAUCAAUCACAAAAUUUAUUAAUAUUUAAUGUUACCAAAAUCUAUUAAUUAUUCCCUUUAAAAUCACCCUAUAACAUUAUAAAAUAUUAUAAUUAAUACAUUAUCUAACCAACAAUUAAGAAUUACCCCUUCACUCUUCAAAUUUCUUAUGAUGACAGUUUCACUUUUCAUUUCUAAAGUUUGAAAACUUUUUAAAUUUCUCAUAACCUUUUCCUCUUUGAAGAGAAUUAAGAAGUUUUUGUAAAUUGGCACUCCCAAUUUGAAUGAAGUACUAUUUGGUGAGUUUUUAUUUAGUGUUCUGAAUGAUUUUACUUAAAUGUUUGUGUUACUUAUGAGAAUAAUUUGAUUACUUUGUUGAAUUUUAUUUUUAUGAUUUUGACCUUUUUAAAACAAUACUCAAUUCUUUGAGGAGUUUGUUGGAUGUGAGUUGGAAGAAAAUUGAAAUUUAAGGUAAUUGGUAAAUUUGAGAGGUAACUAAAUUUAGUUUUCAAGUAUACAUUUUUUUUGUAAUGAAUUUUAAUUCUUUAUUUUAUAAUUCAAUGUUUAUUAGAAUUGAAGUUUGCUACUUAUUAUAUAAAUUUAGUAUUUUUGUAAAUACUUUUAAUUUUUAUUAUUUUUAGACAAGUAUUCACAAGUUAAAUCUUUUAAUAAAAAAAAUAAAGUUAAUUGUUUCAAUUGAAAUUUGGGUAAAUGUUUCUAGAGUAUGUUUUUCUUCAUUUUUUGUCUUAUUGGAUCUUAAUUUUAGAAUAAUUAGAACUCUCUAAAAAAUAAAAUCCAUAUUUUUUUUAAUAUAAAUUACCAUUCUAGAGCUAAAUGCAUUUCCUUAUUUUAUAAUUCAAUGUCCAAUAAUAUGCAUAGGAAUUGGACAAUAUAGUUUUUUGUUUUAUAAUCCAAUAUCUAUAAUAAUUGGAAACUACAGUUCCUUAUUUUAUAAUCCAAUGUCUAUAGGAAUUAGAGAUUCUUAUUUAUGCUAUAAAUUUAGUAUUUUUACACAUUCUUUUAAUUUGUCUUAUUUUGUUUCUUUUAAAUUUUAUCUUUAACCAAUAUUCACAACUUAAAUCUUAUAAUAGGAAAAGUAAAGUUCCUUAUUUUAAUUGAAGUUGAGGUAAGUGUUUUUCAAGAUUUUUUUUUUUUUUUUCAUUUUUAGUUUAGUUGGAUCUUCACUUUGGGAUAACUAGAAUUUUCUCAUAAUUUUUGUUUGUUUGUUUUUUUUAAAUACCAACCACUAUACUAAAAUGAAUUAAAAAUAACUACAUUUAACAAUUUGAGAAUGAAAUAUCAAGUAUAUUUGAGAGAUCAAAAACAAUUUUUAUUCUUACUAAGAUAUUUGUCUUUUUAUUUGCUCAUGGUUCUUGUUGUUAUGACUUUGUAUUACAUUCCAGAAACAUAUAGUUUUUCCUUAUGUAAAUAAAUUGAUAAAAUUAAAGGAAAUUGACAAGGAAAACAUAAAAAUAAAAAGUAUGUUUGAAUAAAUAAUCCAAUUUUUUUUUUUUAAUAUUCAUCUACUUUUCAUAAAAUUAGGACAAGUAAAAGUUACAUUUUGUUGUCCCUAAAUUGCAAUGAAUUUAAAUUAACAAUAGAUAACGGGUUUAAAUAAAAUUUGGUACAUAUCAUUGCUAAGGUGACAUUUAUUUUGCCUAACUUAGAAAAAUUGAUUUUAAAAAGAAUUUUACCAUCUAAGAUUUUUGGAAUGGAAAAAUGUAACAUUAUUUAUAUUUCAUCGCAGUCCUUUUUCCUUUCUAUUUAUAUUUCAACCCAAUCAUUUUUUUUUCCUUUUUUUAUGUCUAGUUUGAUUAUUUGACUUUGAAUCUCUUCUUAGUUUCAUACAAGGAUUUUAAAAGAAUAAAUUCACAUAUUCAAUUUUUUUUAUUGGAUUUGUUUUCAUAUUACCUCACCUGCAUCGCAUGUGAACACUUCCUAACACACACACACACACAUAUAUAUAUAUAUAUGACUAUUUAGAUACGUAUGGAAGAUACACACAUAUACAUACAUAUACAUACAUACGUAUGGAAGAGUAAGAUGACUUUUUCAAAGAAUCAUUUUUAUAAAAAUGACUAUUUAGAAGAGUUAAGGAGCAAGUCUUUGAGGGGAAAUAAAAUCAAUAGCAAAAGAAUAGGAUGACGUUUUGAAAGAAUCAUCUUUAUAAAGAUGACUAUUUAAAAGAGUUAUGGUCUCUUUCACAAAGUAGAUAUUUAAUUUGAGAACGAGUGGGAAAAUAAAAUUAAUAGCAAUUUGCUUUUUAAUAUUUACAUAUAAGGGAAAGGAUAGGAUGAUUUUGUCAAAGAAUUGACUUCAUAAAAUAGAUAUUUAAAUUGCAAAGUCAUUAUUUAUCAUAUUAAUUAAAGAUAAUGAAAUUUUUUUUUAAAAAGUCAUUGAAACAACCGUCAUUAUCUCCUUUUUUGUUGUAGUGACUUUGGAUAUACUAUUAGAUACAUAAUUAACAAAUCAAAGGAUUGAGUGCAAUUAAUUACAAUAGAUUUUUUUGUAGAUAUUAGAAUUGGUAUAUAUUUUUCUCUAUCUACUGAUGGAAUGAAAAAGCAUCCUAGCCUCCUACGAGGGUCUAACCUUGUGAUUCUCCACUGUAUCAUAUCAGGGUGAUCCAUGGCUUGGUAGUCUUUUCCCUAAAACCUCUUCAUAUUGGCUCGUAACCGAUUCAAAAUUCACGAAAUUCAUAUAGAUCGUUCAAUGAAGUCCCCUAAUCAAGUUCAAGGUAGUCUUUGGUUAUUCUGGAAAUAUGACUAAUCUACUUCAGUACAAACUGUUGAAGUUACAGAAGAAACAAGCCAUGCAUAAAUCACCCACACCCCUCUUCCAAAUUAACAAGCCAUGCACAAAUCAAAUUCCCAUACAUCAAUAUUAUUUUACAUGUCUUUUUAACAGACUGAAUUCAUUAAGACAGAAGAGUAGAUAACUCAGAGGUGAAUCCUACAAAGCCACUUCUACAGAACCCCAAAGAUGUAAAAGGUCAGGAACAGACACCCAAGCACAAAUGCAGAGGUUGAAAGCUCUGAGGAACUGGGUAGCACCAAAUAAAUGCCAGAAGUAAAUGCUAUCACCAUUCCUAGGAUGGAAACGUAUGUGAGUAUGGCUGAAAAUUUUAUGAAACGUAGAAGCAGAUGAUAGCUUCGUUCCAGUGAAGCAAAAAAGUGGAGAAACACUGCUGCAGUUGAGCAAUAGAAAGCUAUACCAUCUGACAACAAGAAGGCCUUGAAGGCUAUCUUUGUUGAGAGAACUGCUUUACCUUUGUCGGGGCCUUCAUCAUUGUACCCACCAGGUAGAGUAAAGCCUGCUGCAAAAGUGACAGUUGCUAUGAGCGUCGCGACCAAUAAAUGGGUGUUGGAAAUGUCCUUGAGACGAUGAGAUCGAAGUUGCUUUUCUUUCAUGAUUUCUCUGUUCCUAUCAAGAAGUAUACUCAUAUUGCUAGCAGUACGAGACGCGCCAUCACUGCUCUGAGUACUGGUCUCGCUAGCACUACGAUAUAUGCCAUCACUGGUCUUUUGAUGUCCAUUGUUAUCAGUCCACAUAUUUGCAUUUUCCUGGUAUCCUUCAUUGUCACCAUUUUGCAUAUAUGCAUUUUCUCUAAUGACCAACCGGUGUAAACUUUGUCGACCACCAGCAUGCUCCAACUUCCUCAUGAUCCAAUACUGGCAGUAAUUUGAAAGGAAUUAGAAUGAACUUUUAAAGCAAAGCUAUGGGAAAAUUUUUGAAUCAAGCAUUGAACAAAAUCCAGUGGCUAGCUCUUAAAGAGUACAUCAAACACAUUGAAUAAUAUUAGCCAUCCAUUUCAGAUACUUUUUUUUUUUUUUUUCUCUUUUUUAAGUAAUCGCUUAACAGAUUGAAUGGCUAUAAUCAUUCAACAUGAUCUUUCUGCAUCAAAUAUCUUCAGAGAGAUAUGAGAAGCCUCACCAUGUCUAAUUAAAAUUUGUCUCAAACUUUACAGUAACGUACCUUGAUUAUUUCUCCAAUAUCCAUAUUUGACUGGACAAUGUCAAUAGUCUUCAAAUACUCAUUGUUCAUUGCCCUUUUGUCCACUCUAUCGUCUGCAGCCAACAUAAUCACAACCCCGUAAUGUCCAUAAAUGGCAGCUAGAUGAAGUGGUGUGUUACCUUCCUUAUCUGGCUCAUUUAUGAUACUUUCCAAGUUUGGCUUCUUCAGGAUAUACUUAACGACUCUAGCGUUUCCAUAUUGAGCUGCAACAUGAAGAAUUGUGCGCCCUUUGUUGUCAAUCAAAUCAUAAACAUCUGGAAGACAUGUGAUAAUCUGUUCCAUUACAUUAGUGUGGCCCUCUUUGGCUGCAAUGUGGAGAGCACAACUGUGUUCUACAUCCAAUAAGCCAGCAACAGAUUUGUCAUACUUCAGUAACUUCUCAGUUGCUUCGAGGUGACCCAAGUGGGCAGCAUAGUGAAGAGGGGUCCACCCAAAUUCAUCUGCCUUUUUUAUCACAUCCUUCUUCAUUUCAAAUAGUACUUCCAAAAUAUCUAUACAUUGGGAGAAGAAGGUUAGAAAUCUUAAAAAGAAGUGGAAGAAUCUACUUAAAUAGCAUUUCAUACCUCACCAAAAAUCUGUCAAGAGAAAUGGAAAAGGCGACCAAAACACCCUUUCCCCUAUAUUUUAAGCAUAAAAAUGUCCUCAAUAAUGAUCCCCUUCAUUUCCAAAAAAAAAGGAAAAUCCUCAUACAUCUUGAUAAAUAAACACAUGGCUUAAUCAGUUGUAUGGUUUGAAGGUCCUUUCUUUUUUCUUAUAUAGGAAUGGGUGUUCAAAUAGGGUGAGAAUGGAGAGAACUCUCCACUCAUAAGCUUUUUGCAGUAAAAAGGAAAAAGGAAAAAAUCCAACUUAUUAGUAAACAAGAAUGAAAAGGGCACAGGAUCUUCUUACUUGAGCUUAAUUAACUUUAAAAAGGGGACAAAAGGAGUCUUAUUAAAGCAGAGGAAUUUACCAAUUUCAUCAUUCAAUUGUUUUCCUUUGAAGUGUCCUCGUACCCUAAAGAAAAAGUUUGUAACCACACGGCGAAGUUUUUCUAGAGAUAAUUCUGGAACUUCUUGGCCUGCAGCAUGAUAUAACAAACUAAAAUCAGUGAUAACCCCAUAAAAAUAACAAAGAAGGCCAAAAAAACAAAGGCUUGCCUUUUAGUUUGUUCAUCUUGCAUAAGGGAUUGAAAAAAGGAAAAGGAAAGAAAGAAAAUUAAUGCAAAGUCUUUUCCCAAAAGUGGUCCAUAUUCAGAAGAAAUAUUUGUUGAAAUAAUUUUCAAAACUUCAUACCAAACAAGGAAAUAAUGAAAGCUGAUAUUUUUCAUCUACUUGAUUUCUUUUCUUCAGUUUCUUCCUCAUUUUUCUCUCCAGGCAUGGUGCUAAGACUUGGGUCUUAGAAAGCAUACACCCAAAUGCCUGAAGACUUGGGUUUUUUUUUUCUUUUUUUUCUUUUUUUGUCACCAGAAUUAUCACUGGACGCCCUUUGCAUGCCCAAAUUAAACUUGAAAAAGUAAAACAAAUUAACAUUAGAAAUGAAGAUUUCAGAUAUACUCCUACUAACCAACAUUGGAUUGUGUUCCUGGAAACCAUUCUCCUCGUAGAUGCAGUCCAAGUCCAUUUACAGACAGCUCGGGGGGUAUGGGUUUACCCAGCUCAGGACCUACAAGUUAGGAAGAAUCGAAGAAAUCUUUUAAGUAUACAAAAGCAAGCAUGAACAUAAACUUUUAUGCAUAGAAAGAUUUUGACCUUUAUGGGUACGAAUCACAGCUGCAUGUAAAGCGGUCAUCCCUUUCGUGCCCUCACAGGAACAUUCAGAACUGUUUCCUUUCAACAGUUCGUCAGCAAUCUUGAAAAACCCCCUUUCCACAGCCAAAUACAAGGGGGACUCUUUAUGAUUAUUAACCAAAUCCAACAUCUUAGGAUUUUCUUGAACCAACCGGUUCACCACCUCAAGAUGACCAUUCCUCACAGCCACAUGCAGUGCCGUAUCAGCCCUCCCAUUCUUCAUUUCCAGUGCUUGCUUGGCAUUUUUACUUUCAAGAAAGCACUUAACCAUGUCACUACAGCCAGUUCUCGAGGCAAUAUGCAGCGGAGUGUCGCCUUUGAAGUCAGCUCUAGUCAGAAGCUCUGGAAACUUCUCAACAAGAGCUUCAGCAAAGCCUAUGCACUUGAAAUUAGCAGCAAUGUGAAGAGCAUUGCGUUUCUGGGAUGUGGCUUGGCAGGGAAUACUCUGGAGGCUAUGUGGCUUCUGCAAGUAGUUCUUAUCCCCAGUUUUAGCAGCUAUGUAAAGAUCAGUAUCCAUGUCUUGACAAUGGAAAUCAGAAUCCAUGGGGAUGCUUGCUAGGAAUCUCCUUCUUUGCAGUCUACAUAUAUAUUACUAAAAGAAUAGACCAGUCCACAUCAAAUGGGGUACAGAGCCUGCUCAAAAAUAAUUGCACCUCUCACCUACUGCAUUAACAAAGCUCAUAUCAUCACAAAAACUUUUUAGUACAUAUAAAUAAUUUUGUUUCAUAAAGUAUCAUUAUUAUUACUUCAAUAUAUAUUAGUUUUAUGAAGGGUUUAUGAUUGUAGACGAGUCAAAAUUCAUCCAUUUUUGUUUUGUUUAUCACCUAGUGUGGGCAUUUUGGCUCUUUUACGGUGUGGCCAUCGAUUCAAAUGCUUACACAAAGCUUCAAUGAAUUUUGUGGCACCUCCCGUGGAAACUUGCCACCAAAGCUCCCAAUUCAGAAAUGUUGUUUUUAAAAUAAUAACAGAAUUGAGUAAUUUUCUUUCUUUCUUAUCUCCAACGUUUUUGCUAAAUACUUUCACUUUUGGAGCUUGGUUUUAUAUCUGAUUUCGUAAGUCCUAAGAUAUCUACUACCAUGUACCUUGAAAGGUUGGUGUUGAAUCUAUUGAUUAAUUGUAUAUGUUAGGACAAUGAGUCUUCAUCAUAAGUUAGCAAUUUUGUUCCUUUUAAUUUUUGUCUUAGGAAUCUUUUUAAAUAGUGACUUACUUUCUAUUAAAAGAUUCAAGGUUAUUGUUCGAUCAACUGGAAAGUCAUAUGUAAAUCUAAAAAGGUUUAGUUUAUGGCAAAUUAGGUGUUUAAAAGGGUUAAGUGGAUUGGUAUAUUUUUUAUUGAAUUAAAAAUGUUUUAUUUAAUAUUUUGAAAAUGCAAGGGAUGCUCGAGUGGUGGAAAUAGUGCUCAAGCGUUGGGACCACUCAAACACUUAUCCAACACUUAAGUGAUCAAGGCACUCAAAUGGUAGGUAAGUGCGCUCGAGUGCUCAUCCCAAAUCUACGAAAAUAUGAUAGAAUAUUUUUGGAUAAUUCAUGCAAAUUGAGUUUGGAAACUUCACUAUACCAAUCCCCUAAAGCUUGGAGGCCUAUAUAAACCCAUCUAUAACCCUUUUAGUAUGAAGUGUAUUAAAACCAAAUGGAAGAAUAAGACAAUUAAGGAGAAAGAUUACAUGAAGAUAGGACCUUAUGCUUCAACAAUAAGUAGCCUUAUGUAUGUGAUGUUGUGUCUUAGAUUAGAUAUUUGUUUUACUGUAGGAAUGAUGAGUAGAUAAUAAUCCAAUCUAAGUAUAAAGCAUUGGACAACGGUCAAGUAUUAGAACCAUAAACAAAAAGCUAAAACCAUGAUCAUUGAUUCUAAUUUUCAUAUGAAAAUUUUAAAAAUUUUAAAAAUAUAACAAUAAAAUAAUAUCGCAGGAUAUUUUUAUUUAAUUUAUACAUGAUUAGAUUUAUAAAACAAAUAAAUAUUUUUUUAGUAUGAAUAUAUAAAAUCUUAUAUCCUAAACCUCUAAAAAAUUUUAUUAUAUAUUUAUUUUUAUAUUAAAUUUGUUCUCAUUAAUUAUUUAUUAUAUAUUAUUAUUUUUUAUUUAAAAUAUCCAUAAAUAAUUGAAAUCAAUAACUAUAAAAAGAUGAAAUGGUGACAAAUUUUGAAAUUAAAAAGAUUUCAUGAAGCCUAUACAAUAAUAUAAAAAAAACAUUGCACAGUGAAAAAAAAAUAAAAUUCAUAUGGUAUGGUUGAUUGUCACACGAUAAAGUUUUUAAAAAAUAAAAAUUGUUAUAGUUCAUGGUAGGUAGGAGGACAAAAGGGUAAUUUUAGAAUUUUGAUGAAUAUAACUAUUUAAGUGUAUAUUUAUAGGAUUAGUUUUUGUAAGCGAGAAGUCAAGUCAAACCUCUCAAAAAAAAUCUUUUUUUUUUAAGGUGCACAUGAUUAUAUGAUUCUUCCUAUUCAAGGCUGGGGGCCCAUGCUGAAAUGAUAUGUCAACAACCCUCCUUAAAGUAGAGUUGUAAAAGCUACUUCCCUUCUAUGUCUCCGGCCGAUAUUUCAGUCUAGCGUGGCGGCUUUUAACGCUUCAUCUACCUAUCUUCUUUUACGUUGAGCGUGGAAUCCACCGUCAUCUCUAGCCUCAGCAUAUGAUUUGAACUUAGGAGAUACCCACACUGACUUUUCAAGUUUUGUCCAGUUGAGGAAACUUUGAAAAUUAUUUAGCAGAAGACUGAUAAUGCAACCUUCUUCAUAAGAUGGGUGAUUUUUGAACACUACUGUACUCUAACCAAAUACCAUUUGUGCUUAUAUGUGAUACAGUGGAUGGAAUAUCUUUUCCCCUUUAUUACGCAAAUACUUGUUUAAUAGGUAGGGAAUUUUUUUAAAUUAGUCCCCCAUCCAUGCCCAUUAGAGGUUCUGAAAUUCAUUUGUAACAUUUAUGAUUUUUUGGAAAAUAAAAGUACCUACUCCAAUAAUACCAAUAUGAAUGGUACCACCAAACUUUCGUACGUAUCUAUAAAGAAGGAGAAGGUGCCCAAACAAUGUAUCCAGAAAAAAACAUUCAAGAAAAUAAUCCCAACUACUAGAUUUCAACAAGUAGGAUUUUGAGCAUAAAAGAAACAAAAUAAAAUAAAAAUAAUGACGGCUUCGAAUGACAUCACUGACCCAACGCAGGCAGAGGAGUUAGGAGUUGCGUGGAAAUUGUGAAAGGCGUAGAUCACGCCACAUGGAAGCAGUGGAGACAUGGCCAGUAGGAUAAUUAAUAUCCAUGUGGAUAACAGAGUGGAUCAAAACAAUGCCAUUCCCAUCAUGAAUGAACACUCAUUAACUUCUGCGUUUACUUGACUUUUGAGAGAUUUGCAAAACAUGUAGAGAGAGAUAUCACCGGAAGAGUUUUCUUCUCAUUAAUCAUGUUAUGACUUUUAGUAAUAAAAUAAGUAUGCAGCUGUUUAGAAAGAAAGAUCAGCAUGGGUAGUAGCAACGCGCAACAAAAAGUCCCAUCAGACUUCUCAUCCCUGGGAAUCUUACACACUCGCUAGGUAGACUAAUCAAACCAGGACCCAACUGGUACAAGCUACUGUUUCAACCACUCAAUAUUUAAGGAAUCACUUCCUAGUCACUAAGAACAUAAACUAAUCAAACCCAACCUGGCACAGGCUACCUUAUCGACUAGUCAGUACUCAAGGGAUCAUUUCCUAGUCACCAAGAUCGUUAAUUUAGAAAAUCUUACACUGAAAAAUGACCUAUUCAUCUGCAUGAGCAUAUGCCUUUCACAUCCCACUGAAUAUAAUCUUAACAUCUGUUUCAUUAGUAUGAUUCUCUUAAGCUAUUGACUUCAAUAUUUACUUGGAAAUGAUAUCAAAGGGAAAAAGAUUACCGAUUCAGAAAAAUGUAAAGCAAGGUACAAAAUACUAGAUGGAGAUAUUUCAAAGAAAGAAAUUCUUUUCCUAUAGCUAAACUAAUGCACACGAUCAAAUCUAACACUGACAUUUGUUCUUGGAGCCAGACAGAAAGCCAAGUACAGAUACAGAGUGUUUUCAAGAUGGGAUUAUUUGGUGUUUUUAACUAUUUGAGUUGAAUGAUGAAAACACAUGACUUCAACAAUGACAAACCAAAUUGGUUAGUAUCCUGCUUAAUAACCGUAGUUUGCUCCAUUCACCGGGCCAUAGCCUCCAGUGUGGCUUGCAUGUGCUGGGUUGGAUGCAGGAGAUGCAUACAUCGAACCAUGAGCUGCAUAAGAAUUAUAGCCUGGGUCAGCAGAUCCACCAGUUUGGGCCUGUGCUGGUGCAGCAGCUUCAGCCAUAAAAUUCUGCAACACAAACAAUCAUUACAAGCAGACAAGUCCAAUUUGAUUACAUAAUGAAGCAUUGACAAAGAAUAAACAAAAUUUUAAUGGAAAAAUCGACUUUUUUGGUUGAGUAAGAUCCCAAUAAAACAAUAAUUAAACAAUUCUAUAUUAUAAGUAAAAAUCAAUGAUGAAGCUAAAUGGAAAAGAAUGAAGUCCAACUGUCUGAAUUGCUGACCACACUUAACAUUUCAAUAAUAUAUAUCCUAUAAAAAAAAUUCUUUAAUUCUUUAAUUCUAGUAAUAAAGUCGGUCCCACCAUACCUACCCCCACACGCACCCAAACACCACAUACAAGGAGACAUCAGAAACAAUGAUCUAAUGCUAAGCAAUGUCAUUAUGCAAAUGGAAACUGCAAUAUUAGCAAAGACAAACCAACAACUUGGUAUCAAAAACAGGGAGGAAGAGUGCCUGUAUCAGUUGCUGAGCUGCUUGGACUUGGGAAGCAGUUCCAUUGAUUCACGUGGCUACAAAAGACUCUUUAGGAGAAAGUUGAGGAGUUCACAUGUGUAUAGGAAGAUUGAUUCACAAGGCCCUUGAAAAUUUUCUAUUUAAAGCUCUUGUAAGGAAAAUGGGAGACAUAUCUUCCUUCUCCAUCAUUCCUUCUUUUCUCAUUUCUUUUUUCUUGAUAUAAAGCUAAGGAUUCUCUCAUUUCUUUCUUCUUCAUUGUAAGUUACUUGAUUGAAGCCAAAAUAUGUGCUCCAAUGGCACAUAUAUGAUGUUAUAAUUUAUGUAAUAUAAAAAGUUCAAAUCAUCCAACUUAACUUAAUUUCAUGCUAUGGCCAUAGUUAUGGAUCUAACUUUUAUUUUGAGCCUAAUUCUAAGUUUAAGGGAUGACAUAAAUGGAUAAGUGCAAAAGUCAUUAUCAACCAAGAAAGUAGAAGGGGUUAAACUAUAACUAAGAGACUCAAGACUUAUGAACCAUGAAAGUCCAAGAAAGGGUGUAAGAAGCAAGCCAUAGGCAUGAAAUACCAAUAGUAGAUGUUAUGGAUUGAGAUAGCAACUUCCUCAUGAUCAAAGACUGGAAAGUUUUUUUAAAGAACUUAGAAUAAAAUGUUGUUUUUAGCUACCAAGGCACAUAUAUGACCAGAAAAUUCAAUUAAGGCAACAUAUUUCUUCUGUCUUUUUUUUUUUUUUUCUUUUUUUUCAAGUUUCACAUAUGUAAAGAGAAAUAAAGCAGUGGAACCAAUGCAUAAUCUAAAAUCAUCGAAUUUCGAUGCACAUACCUUUUUUAUUUUCUCCCAGAUCCAUAUUUGAUUGGACAAUGUCGAUAGCCUUCAAAUAUUUCUUGUUUGAUGCCUUCUUAUCCACUCUACGAUCUCCGAGCUUUGACCCAAAAUGCUACACUUUAAAAAAAAAAUCCAUAAAGUAAACCUAAUGUGAAAAUAAUGCCCAAUCUAGUGCAUUUGUGCCACAUAGAUUGCCACAUCAUAAAACCGUAAUUGGUAACUACGGUUUUAUUUUUUUAAAACAUUCAAAACUGUAGUCACCAACCACGGUCUUAACUUUUUUAAAGUUAAAACCGUGGUUGGUAACUACGACUUUGACUGUUUUUACAAAUAGUCAAAGUCGUAGUUACCAACUACGGUUUUAACUUUAAUUCUAAAACCGUAGUUGGUGACUACAACUUUGACUAUUUUAAAAACAGUCAAAGCCGUAGUCACCAACUACGGCUUCAACUUUAAUUUUAUAUAUAUAAAUAAUUAUAUUGCUUGAUUUAAAAUAUUUAACUUUAAUUUAUUUAAAUAAAAAUAUUAUAUUAUUUUGAUUUUAGAUUGACUAAAAAUAUGUGAGUGGUUUAAUAAAAAUAUUUAACUUUAAUUGAUCUCAUUAUUUAAAGAAUAAUAAUAUAUGAAAUUAAAUAAUUGAUGUCUUUAAUUUAAUAUAAAAAUAUUUUGGUUUAGUUUUAUUAAAAUAUUUGACACUAUACUCAAUAUAAAUAUAAUUAGUUAUAAAUAUACUAUUUUAUGCCCUCAUAAUGAAGAAUAUUAUAUUAUUUUGUAACUUUGUACAAAAAGUAAAGCCAAUUAUGCAUUUGUACAAAACAUAAUAUGACUUCAAGUGGGUAAAUAAUUGGAAAAUUACUUAAAUACAACAAAAAUAAUUUUAUUUUCUCCAAUUUUUUCCUUUCAAAAUGGGAUCAAAAUGGAAUGGAAAGGCUUAAAAUUUUAAACUUAAAAUGCCAACCUAAUAGAAUUUGUUUUUCCACUUCUUAAAAUAUAGAAUUGUAGAAAGAAAAUACCUAUGUUUUUCCAAUCAAUUCACCAUUUAGUUUAACUGUUUUGGUAAAUAAAUGAAAAUGCUUUUAGAACAUUUUUGUAAAUUCAUUGAGAAUAAGAAAAAUGUUCCUUAUUGGGUUUUAACGGGAGUUUUGGACAAAAAUGAUUUCUUCAAAACAAAAAAUUCAUAAAUUAAUUUUAUUCUCAAAAUAAUUUUCAAUGUGAUGUGUGUCUUAUUCAUGAGGGUAUUUACAUCAUAAAACUGUAAUUGGUAAUUAUGAUUUUUGAUUUUUUUUUAAAUAGUCAAAAUAGUAGUUGGUGAUCAUAGCUUUAAAUUUAAACCUAAAACCAAUUUUUUUAAGUUCAAAUUUUAAACCAUGCGAAUGUUCAAUUUUUUAAGAAUUAUUUUGAUUGGAGGUUAAGAUUGUAAAUUAGUUUUAAUGCAUUAUUUUUUCUAUAUUGAUAUAGUGUUGUUGUAACUAAUUAGUUACAAAAUUUUAGAUUGUAGAAUUGCUAUAUAUAUAUAAGUUCAAUUUAAGUUUAAAAUUGAUCAUAUUUUCAUUUAAAUAUAUAAUAAUUUGUUCAUAAUAAUAAUAAUAAAAAGUUAACAAUAUAAUGCAAAUGAAAAUAAACACAAAAACUAAAAACUAGUCCUCAAUGAGUGCCACAUGAUGGGGUGGGUCUUCCUCUUUCUUUGCGGACACCUAUGAUACACAGACAUCUUUGUGGAAUCUAACUGUGCAAUCUGCCAUGUCUUAGUAUGUAUAGGUUGAGAUGGAGCUGAUGGAGGCAAGACUCGACGUCUACGUGGACCACGAUGUCUCCUAGGUGGACAUACAUCUAACUAUGUAACAUGUGUAAGGGUAUGAUGCAUGGUAGUCUCUAUGGGAAGAGGUGUAGGUGAUGGUAAAGUGGUAGAUGGUGGGGUGAUCUCAGGUACAGUGAUAUCUGAUAUGGUAGCAUCUAAGAGAGGUGAUAUAGGAGAUGAAAGAAUGACAUCUACUAUAGUGGUAGCUGGUGCAAUAACAUCUGAUAUAGUAGGCUCGAGGAGAGAAAAUAUAAAUGAUGAUGGUGAGGUGACAUGUGGUGUAGUGGUCUCCUCGAGACAAGGUAGAGGUGAUGGUAGAUUAGUAGAUAGUGGGGUAGUCUCUGGUGUAGUGACAUCAGGUAUAGUGGCGUCUGUGGGAGGAAAUAUAGGUGAUGGUAGAGUGCUAUCUGAUACGACAUGCUCUAAGGGAGAAGGUCUAGGUGAAGGUGAUGGUAGGGGUGAAGGGGGAAGUGUGGAAACCUCAGGCGCAAAUGGGGUAGAUGAUGUAAAUGGUGCUAACAUGGUCUCGGGUGGAUGCAUAGAUCAUCGAGGUUGUCGACCAGUUCGCCCACCAUCUCUCCUACUAUCUCUCCCUCGGCCUCGAAUAGGCUACAUCCUAACUGUAGUGGCUAACACAGGUGGUCUCAUAGAUGGGUAUGAUGAUGUAGGCGACUGACGGGCAAAAUGUAUGCGAUGGUCCUCACCAAUAACAUGCAAAAUAUCAAUAGCAAUCCGAUGAAUGUCGCCUAAUGCACCUGAAGUAGGCUCAGCAGAUCGACUAGCAAUCUCAACCAUACCAGUGAUCUAUUAAAAAAAAAAAAAGUUAAACAAACGAAGAUGAUUUUUAAUUAAUUAAAAUUUAAUAAACCAUUUAUAAAUUAAAAAAAUCUUACCAACAACUGAGUAGUUGCUGCUGUACUAUGAUACCUCAUCUGAUCUCUAUAGAGAGGGGGUGUGAUCAAACGUCGUGUAAUACGUCGGUACCACUCCAUAUAUGGAUCAUGAAACUGCAUAGCACCCACCAUAGGUGGUGCCGUCACAAUACGCUCCGCACAACUAGCUCAUAAGGUAAUAUACUGUGCAUGAAAUGCCUCCCAAUCAUACUUAUGUCGUCCUCGCCUAUCCACGGAAUGGAGGUGUUGCUCUAUGGAACAAGAUGGAGGUAUCCCUUGUUGGAGGCCAAACUGUCGCAACACUCGCUCCAGUCGAUGCCACUCGACAAUGUCAAAGCAGAUAAGAGGUGUCAUCAUCCUCCAAAUCUCCUAGUCUGCUAGAGAUAUCGCUGGAAGAUGGGCAACUAAGUCUCCCAUGUAAGGCUCCCAUAAAACUUGUUAAAAUCAAUAUUUGAAAUUAAUAAAGUUAACGUUUAUAUGGUUAACAAUAGCACAUUAGAUCUUAUAUGUACCUGGUCAUGGGUCUGUGCAUCUAAUUGGUCUCGAUAAAAUGUCAACACACGUGAUGGGUUUUGAGCCCAUGAUAAAGGUACUUUCCACCUACAUCCUAACAGAUCAGCUAGUAAACCCUCGUGUAACAAUGCCUCAUCCUGUAAUCCCUGCUCUAAAUGCUCAGUUGGUAAAUCAUCAACUGCAUCAUGCUCUAAAUGCUGGGCUGCUGGAGGGGCUGGUGGUUGACCAAAAUCGAGUUGACCCAGGUGGAGUCUCUCCCAAGACCAUAACUGCAAAAAAAUGUAACAUUAAAAUUUUACUUAAAUUAAAAACUUGAAACAACUAGAAAUUUCAAUCUAAUGUGAAUAAUUAAUUAUACCUGUAAUAGUGUGACACAUCCAGCAAUAUCGGUGGCACCAUCCAAACUCACUCGACACAACUCCCUAUAUAGGUGUGCUAAUACUGCACUACCCCAACUAUACAUAGAUGUUUGAGUCAAGUCUCUAAGAAGUGGGAGAUAACACAUAUGUAUGUGAGUACCCUUCUUGUCUGUGAAUAGCGUUGAACCUAUGAGUCCUAAUAUGAAAGCCCAUGCAUAUUGCUCUAAUGUGGCAUCAUCUAAAUCAAUUGGUGGAUGAGAGAACUGGUGACAUAGUCAUCGUGUCGAUAUCGCUGAUCCUUUAAUCUCAGAUGUAAGGGGAGUCACCCCUAAAAGUUCAUAACAUAGCAAUGACCAAUCUAUAUCACAUGUGCCAGUGAUGGGAAGCCCAUGAAUACGAAGACCUAAUAUGACAGCAACAUCCUGUAAAGUAAUGGUCAUCUCCCCAACAGGUAAGUGAAAUGUGUGUGUCUCAGGACGCCAUCUCUCAACUAGACUAGUGAUCAAUCCGCAAUCUAGUGUAAUGUGUCUAAUACGAUAUACAUCAUAAAAUCCAGAUCGAAUAAUAUAAGGUCAAAGACGAGGAUCCAUCUUCCACUCCUGCAUAAACCUAGAUAUAUGUUGUUGACAAGUCAAGAUUGAAGCAAGCUGUAAAAAUACAAAUAAAUCAUUUAGAUAAUAAACUGCAAUUUUUUUCAUUCUUUAAAGAGAUAUUAUGUGUUUUCAUAUACAUACCUGACCAGAGUCAACUAAAUGAGACCUAUGUCUAUCAUGUAGAACCAAAAUAGACGUAUCUAAUGGAUCUGGAUCAGAACUAUGUCCUCUAUACUCCAUAUCUGUAACAAAAUUGUGAAGAUAAAUAAACAAUACUUAUUGUUUUUAAAUAAAAAAUAUUUUUAAUGGAAAAGUUUUAAAAAUUUAUGGAGUUUUCCAUAUAUUAAGUAUAUAUCAGUUUGAUAAAUUUAAGUAGAUCAAUUCAUUUAUGACCAAUAAACAAGUCAUACUAGUUUAAAAUAAAAUUAGAGAUACAAAUACAAUGAAGCAUUUUGUUAACAUUUUUAAUAGAAAAUUUCAAAAUUUUGACAGAGUUUCCCCUAUAGUAUGGAUAUUAUUCCAAAUACAAAUAACAUGAUUAGGCAAAUAACAUCAAUAUUUAUAAUCAAACCAAAGCCAAUAAUUGAAUAAAGGUAGUAUCAUAGUAGCUUACAUCACAAUAUCCAAGAAAAUUACAUGCACACAUCACAAGGUCUAAUCAACUCUAUUACUGUUUUGACAAGAAUGACGAUUGUGGCCACUUUGUUUGCAUAACCCACAUGUAAUAGAAGUCUUGCCCUCUCUAACAUCCAUUUCAUUAUGCAAACGACUUGAUUUAGGUCGUCCACUCGAUGCACGUUUCAUCGACUUAGAAGGCAUGAUAAUCGGGCCAUCAUAAGGAGGCCACUCAUAUACAUUGAAAAUGGGAUGGAACAAGGGUGCCCAAGUAUUAUAGUACGAUUGUGUACUGUAGUAGUGUUGAACAAGUGGUCUAAAAUCAACUGAACGAAAAUGACAUGCUGCUAGAAUAUGACUACAUGGGAAUCCAUAUAUGAGUGUUUUACCACACAUGCAUGCAUACUCCUGUAAGUUGACGCGAUAUGUUCGACCACGAGUUGAGCUACUCUUAGUACCCCUAUUACUCUUCACGUGGAAUUGUCCUUAGAUGUGAUCAUAUAAAAUAAUCUCAUAAGAUCCCACCUUAACCACAUUUGCCUUCAUCUUAGCAUCAACAUAUGGAGUGUAUUCCUCACUUGAAGCAAGUCGAUUAGCACCUUGUUCCCUUCUCACAACAAAGUAACUAUUUAGCCGAAAAAAUGUCAAUUGAACCAAAGCAGUUACGGGUAAGCUACGAGCCCCUUUAAGCACACUAUUGAACACCUCCGACAUGUUUGUAGUCAUGAUGUCGUACAUUCGACCUCCGUCAUGAGAGAGUGUCCAUUUCUCAAAAGGGAUUGCUUCCAACCAUUGUUGUGCGGCUGCAUUAAUCCUCCCAAUUGUGUUCAUAUGUUUAUUGAAUUUUUCAAUCUUGGUUGCUAAGGCUCCUCUGCACAUAAGAUUUUUCAAUAUUUUAUCCUUGAAUCGAGUCAUAAAAUUGCUAGCAAGAUGACGCAUACAAACCCUAUGAUAUGCGUAUGGCUCAGACCAACCAAGAUGAACAUCGCUCAUUGCAGCCAUAAUGCCUGGAUGUCGAUCUGAUAUAACACAAAGUUUCCUCCUAUUAGUGACUCUUGUUCUAAUACAUGCCAAAAACCAUCCCCAACUAUCAAUAUUCUCACCCUCUGUUAGGGCAAAAGCCAAUGGGAAUAACUGAUUAUUUCCAUCACAACCCAUAGCAAUCAUUAAAGUGCCUUUAUACUUCCCAUACAAAUGUGUACCAUCAAUACUGAGUACAGGCCGACAAUGCUUGAAUCCUUCAAUAGAUGGUUGAAAUGUCCAAAAAACUCGUUGAAAUAUUUCUGUAUUCUCCAUAAUACCAGGAAAUGUUUUUGAAAUUACAACACAUCCUGGAUUUGCCUGCUCUAAGGCAAUGAAAAAAUGGGGCAGCUCUGCAUAUGACUUAUAAAAAUCACCAAAUAAGUUUGUAAGAGCUUUAAGCUUUGCUUUAGAUGCAUUCUUGUAUGACAUUUGGUAUCCGAAUUUCUCCACAAUACUUGCUUGAAUAGCAGCCACUGAUAAUGUGAAUUGUGCCUUAAUCAUUCCUUGGAUAUGAGCAGCAAUCAAGUUGGAAUCUAAUUGUUGAUGAUCCCGAUUCAAGCAAGGAUUUACACAUUUGUGGGGACCAUUGUGUUUAUUGAUUGCAAAUGAAGUUGUACCUUUUACAACCAUAGCAUGAAGUUUCCAUGGACAUUGCGAUUGCUCAGCCUUCUUGCAUCUUAGGACCAACAACUUUGUAGUUGACGAAACAACAACGUACUCUUGGUGUUGACUUAAAGAGUACAACUUCGCAGCAUGUUGUAAAUCUGCUUUUGAAUUAAAAACUUGGCCAACCAUGAACUCUCCACCUGAGUUUCCAAUAUUAGUGUUCCCUCAUGGGGUCCAGUCACUUGAAACGGCGUUACCAAUGUUUUCUACAUUUUCAAACUGCAAUGAUGGUGCCGAGUGAUACUGAACAGGGGAAUACUCUAUUGGAUCAUCAGGAUCUGGGUUAUUUGACAUAUCACAACAUUCCCCAUCCACGGAGACAUAUCUCCCUUGUUCACUUUCCAUUGCUUCGUAAAGAGCUAAGAAAGAUGAAACAACAUUAACAUUAUUGUUUUCCUCAUCAAUAAAUUCAAACACCCCAUCGCCAUCAUGUUGAACAUCUUCUGCUCUCUCACUUUGAUCAUCACCUUCUUGGGAUUCACAUUCUUCUUCAUUUUCAUUUGCUCUACACUCAUAAGUCAUUGCAACUGGGGCACUACUAGGUCCACAACCAUACUCAAAUUCCUCAACAUUAUCAUUUUGUCCGAGUAAUAAUUGUGUGAAGUUACCCAAAAAUUGCCCCCUCUCCCGUGGUUGUAUUGGCACUUGUUCAAUAUACAAUUCAAUUUCGUCCAUUCCAAAUGUGUUAACCAAUUUCAACAUUUGAGAUAAACUAUUAUCAUCCCAUAUUGGACAAGGUUGAAACCUAUUUUCCCUUUUUAAAGGAUAUCUACAGUUGAGGACUAAUUGAAAUUGUUUUUUGUCAAUGCCAGUUCUCGAGUAUAUCCUAGAUAACAAGUGUUCAUAGGUUGAACUAACAGGCACAUCCAAAGGCACAAUUACAACUAGAUCCCCAAUAUACUUUACAUCUGUUUCUGUCCUCAACAUUUUUCCUUUACAAAAGCAAAUCACAAGAACAAUAGAUUCAGACAUGAUUUACCUACAAAAAAUACAAUAUCAAAUGGUUUAAUAAUCAAUGAAAAUAAUAGCAAGAGAAAUUGCAUAUAAUAUUUUAACAUGUGAAUACACAAUUAUAUAAUAAAACACAUUUUUACACAUUAGGAGGAAAAAUAUAAAUCACUUCAUAAUAAUAAUUUUUUUAUUUAAAUAGUUAUCUAUGAUACAAAUAUAAUCAUAGAUAAAUGUUUUAUAGAAUUUUAAUUUAAAACUUAGGUAGUGGGCUAUAAAUCAAUAAAUGUUGAGUUAAAAAAUUACAAUAAUCUUAAAAUUAAAUAAAAAAUAAUCCAUCAAAAAAAAAUUUUAUUAUAAAAUAUCAUAUAUUAAAAUAAAAUUGAACGUUAUGAACUAUUAAAUAAUACAUAAUUUAAAUAAUUAUGUUAUUAUUCAUGAAUCAAUUGAUAUUUGAUUAAAGCUAAAAGUCGAAAAAAAAAUCAAAAUCAAAAUCAAAUGAAAGUAACUGACAAAAAAAAAUAUAUUAAUAAAAUAUCAAUUACACAAUUAUAAAAAUUUGAUAUAUGUGUUUAUUCUGUUUUUGGAAAGCUAGGUCCCUUCUUUUGACUAGUUUCAUUGAUCAGGAGCUGUCUAGAUGAGAAAUUGUGUGUGAAGAUGAAUCAAAAACCUAGGAUAAAUCAACAAUUUCAUAUGAAUUACCAAAUUGCAGAUCUAAAACAGGGGACAACAUGGGAUAUGGGAAGCAUGACCUCAAAAAGAUAGUAGAACCAAGGAUGAGACAUCAGUUUUCAUGGAUAUAUCGGUAGUUGGAUUUUACGAAUAUACUAGGAUAUAUCGGGAAAUAUCAAUGGAAAUUUUGACAAAUAAAUCGAUGGAAGAAAUUUUGAGGAAAAAAAAAAAGAAAAAACAAGAAAUAAUAUGCAUAUUCAAGUUAUUACUUUUAAAUUAUAUAUAUAUAUAUAUAUAUAUAUAUAUAUAUAUAUAUAUUAUUUCUAAUAUUCGAUAAUAAAUUAAUAAUAUAUAGAACUUGAAAGCACAUUUUACAUUGAUAUAUCUAAAAGAUACAAAAGAAAUGAUGAUAUAUGUAUGAUUUUUAAAAUAUUUGAAAUUUUUUUUUCUAUUAAGUUUAAUUAAUAAAAAAAUAUGAACAAAGACUCAUUAAAAAAUUUAUGAUAAUCAUUUUUAUAUUUUUUAUACUUAAAUCAAAUUUGGAAAUAAGAUAAUUAAAAUUAAAUUAUUUAUUAGAUGUUUAUUUUAAUAUCUUAUGUAUGAUAAAAAUGUAUUAAAAAUAUAUUUGUCUCCAAAAUUCCUUUAUUUUUUUUAUUAAAAUGAGAAAAAUAAAAAUUUGUGUGUGUGUAUAUAUAUAUUUAUUAACAAUUGUAAAAAAAAAAAUCACAUUAGUCCCACUGGUCAUGAACUCUUUUGCCAUGUAUAAGAACAAGGGGGUUUGAGUUUUUAAUAUGGUUUUCCCAAAAUUUAAAUUAUUUAUGUUGUCUACCAUAUGAAGUAACAACCAUCUGGAGUGGCAACAAAAAGGUCAAGAUCAGAUUCUGAUGGCUAGGAUAAAGGCCUUGAACCCACCUUAAUAAUAGCAACCAUUACUUUGUUUUCGUGUACACUCUUUCCUCUCUAAAUACAAGGCAAAAAAAAAAAAUUGUUUAAAUGAAGGGCUCUCAUUUUUUCUUCUUCAAAAUUGGCAACUUCCAUACAUAUCAAGAAGAUAACUAUUAGGCAAAUACUAAGUGGAAGGAAAUUAACAAAAGUUGAACUGUUACAAACUUAUACUAGAGGCCUUCUACUCCAAGUGUACUAAGCCUUUCAUUGUACCAUGUAUAUUGUGAAAAGAUCAUAAGCUUAAAGCUACUAUACUUUUUCUCUUUUUCACAUUAAUUACUUUUCUGCAUGGAAAAUGAAAGCAAAAGAGAAAAACAUGUCCCUUGACACUUUCCAUACCAAACAAUCCAUGGUCAGCGUUUUUGUCUAUUUUACUUGUAACUUUUAUGCACUGCACCUCAUUUACCAUUUUUGUAUUUCUCAAAAACUAGCUAGCUAGGUUCUGUUUGACAGCCUUUAAUUGGUAGGAAUAAACUUCUUUUUGAGAACCCAAAUAUAGAAGUUUUUUUUUUUUGCUCGAGAUACUGUACACUUAAGAAAUAGUACAAAAUUUUCCAACUUAUUCUCAUUAUUUUUAGAUUAUUUUUCAAAACACUCUACAAAAAAAAUAUGUGAAAAAUCCUUAAACUUAUUCAAACAAACCACUCUAUGUUUAGAAUAAAUUUUCAAAAGCUAUUUCCAGUCUACAACUUACCAAACAUUGAAAAACCAUUGUUUGUUCUAAAAACAAAACUUUUUUAGAAAAUAGGCCCCCUAAAGGAUCCACAAGAUGAAUAGGGCAAAGAUCAAGGAGAUCAAUAAAAAAUGAUCAGACAGUGAGAUCUAUUAACAUAGUGCUCAAUCUAAACAACCUUGUUCACAAAAAAAAAUAAAAAUAAAUAAAAAAAUAGGUCUAGUUUUUUCAUGAGUUUUACAGUGGUAUGUAUUCAAAUUUCCAUGGAAUGUUUUUGACAAUGAGAAACGUAAGAUUGAACCCACAAGAAGAGAGAAAAACCAAGCUUUGAAGCUUACCUAUCCACAAAUACAGGAGAGCAACCUCAGAAGAAGAAGAAGAAGAAGAAGAAGAAUAUGCUUGUACUAAAGCUUUUGAUUAAGGUUUAAUUUGGAAGAGAAUGGCAAAGAGAUUCUUGAGGUAAACCAAAACAGUAGCAGGAGAAGGAGAAGAAGAAGAAGAAGUAGAAAGAAUAACUAAAAAGGAAGUUGAUCAUGAGCCCUGCCCUUCAUUCAAUUCAUCUGUUUCCCAUGAAAAUAUAUAUGAUGUAAGUCCGAAUAUUGGCUAAAAAUCCAGAAACACAGAUAAUAAAUUUAAAAAUUAUUUUUUACAUUGGGGGUUUCAAGUAAAAUUUUGAAAAUAACUGACAGAUAGUUUAAAAAAUUAUCCUCAAAAAUUGUUUUUUAUAACAAUUUUUAAAAACAGUAUUAGACAAGUUCUAAUAAUUUCUUACUGAGUGGGAGAAUGAGAGAAAAUACAAAUAAAAUAAUUAAAAAUCUUAUAUAUACCAACUGAUGAAGGAUUGAAUGUUCUAGUUUUCAACUUUUCAUUAGUUCAAUAAAAUUACAAUAAAAGGAAUGAGAAUUUCUGCAGAUGCAAAGAAGAGAAUAGAUUUAACAAUAAAAAAUCAUUAAAUUAUGUUUAAUCAGAAUCUCACAGGAAGUUGAAUGGAAAAAAAAUCAAGUAUCACCAAACUAAAGAACUAUAUAAACAAAUCUCAAGGUUCCAGGAAGUGGAGAACUAAACAACAAAACAUUUUGCAUAUAUUUUGAGAAUGGGUUUAAGAUUCUUGUUCAGAUAUUUGAAGAUAUACCAUCUGAGUGGUCCCCUCACUCUUGGUAACAAAUAUUUGAAGAUAUUUUCUAUUUCUAUAACAAAAAUCAUCGGAGUUUUUUUUAUAGUGGUUCCCUCCAUUUUUGGUAUCUUUAACAAAAAGAAAUCCAUACUGGUCCCCCAUUCCAUAUCCGUUUUCUUUACCAAAAAAACCAUUUUCUUUCUGCUAAGCUCAAAAUCAAAAUAAAAUCAAACAUGUCUUUACCAAACAGAAACCAAACAAAUCUGUAACAACAAACCAAACAAAUUUACAAAAAAAAUAAAAUAAAAUUUACGAUUAACUGAAAAAUUCAUAAAUCUUACCUGACAACGACUUCCAAAAUUUGAAUUUGAACCAAGGAUGCAAAGGGAAGGAUGAAACCCUAAAGGGAAGAACGAAACCUUAAAGGGAAGAACAAAAGCCUAAAGGGAAGAAAGCCAAUCGGGGAAAUGGAGAAACCUAAUGGGAAAGGGACGAAAAAGGAAUUCAAAACUGUAGUUACCAACUACGGUUUUGACCAAUUUAAAAAAAUUCAAAACCGUAGUUACCAACUACGGUUUUAUGAUGUGGCAUUCCACAUGGCCCAAACGCACUAGAUUGGGCAUUAUUUUCAUAUUCGGUUUAGUUUAUGCAUUUUUUUUUAAAUGCGGCAUUUUGGGUCAAAGCUCACGAUCUCCGGCCAAAAUCCGGAUGCUGUUGUACUAUCCGUACAUAGCAGCUAGAUGCAAAGUCGUGUUGCCUUGAUUAUCUAACUCAUUUAUUAGGCUUUCCCAUCUUGGUUCUUUUAGAGUAUACUUCAUCACUAUAGACUUCCCACAUUGGGCUGCAACGUGAAGAAUGGUCCAACCUUUAUUGUCAACCAAAUUAUUAGCACAUGGACAGCGUUUGAUGAUCUCUGCCAUCAUAUCAGGGUAGCCUUUUUUAGCUGCUAUGUGAAGAGCAGAACUAUCUUCUUUAUCCCACAAGUAAGCAACUGAUUUAUCACAUUCCAGCAAUUUCCUAGUCGCUUCAAGAUGUCCCAAUUGUGCAGCAUAAUGAAGGGGAGUCCACAUAAAUAUGUCUGUUUCUGUGACCAUAUCUUUCUUUUUGUCCAGUAGUAUUGCAAUAAUGUCAUCUAGCAAUUUAGACCAAGAAAAAGAAAUAUAAUUAAAACAGACUUUUUCAUCCAGAGUACUUUUAGAAAAUAUAUUACGUUCUUUUUAUUUUAAUAUCAGAUAACGGCUCAGGAUUACUUCCCCAUGAGAAGGAUCAGGCAUUAUGCAAUGAAUUUUCCCAUCAAUUAUAAAGAGGGUAGCUACUAGCCAGUGUGGCAUAUAUUGUAAAAGUAAUUGUGUGAUUUUCUUUCCCUGGUCUUACUACUUUUCUAGUUUAGUUAAGCUCUCCACCUAUCAAUUAGAAAAGCAGAAGUAAAGGUUUGGGCUUGGGUAAGUAUUCUUCAAAAAUAAUUCUAAAAAAUAAUUUAUAAGAACUAUUGAAAACCAUUUUCUGAUGAUAUUUUAUAAAACAAAAGUUCUAAUGGCUGUAUUAUUAUGCUUGGUUGGAACUAAUGAAUACAAUUCUGAUGACUAUCUGUCAUAAGUAUAGGAAGGCCAUGCACUCCAUGUAGAUUUGUUCGGCGUCUGUCAGGAAUCAAGAAUCAGUUAAUGGGGCUCCGAAUGUUCUACUAGCCUUGCCAAAAAGUACUUCAUGAGGCUAAACUCAUCCACACUAAAGUGGUGUUUUUUUUUUUUUUUACUUAAUUCUAAAUAGAAGUUUAAUGCUUAAUAGCGUUAAGUAUUAAGUUAUUUAUUUUUAUAAUACUUUAUUUCUAUUAAGCAUUAAAAAGUAAAAAAAAAAAAAAAAAUCAACAUAUCACUUUUUCUAUUCAAUAAAAAGUUUAUAAUAAAUCAUGAAAAAAUAAAAAAACAAAUGAUCUAAAGUUUGAAAGCAAAUUGCUUUUAGCAAAAAACUAAAAAAAACGCUCUCUAAGUCUAUAGAUUUAUGUGUUCUUGGCUUUGUAUAUCUUAGACAUGUUGGAUAAUGGUGUAACAAAGAUUUCUCCAUUUUUUUCUUAUGCAUUUUCUUCUACAAUAUUUUUCAAGCAUCCCGUUGUAGGGAUAUUUACACAUAGUGCAAUUUUGCUUUAUUUUUGUUGGCAACUUCUUCUCUCUGUUGUAUUAUUCCAAGUACCUUAUGUUACGUCUGACUCUAAAAAAUUAUUAAAUGAAGGAAAAAUAUCAAGAAACUUAUUAUUAUUAUUAUUAUUAUUAUUAUGUUUAGUUUAUCAAAAAUUAUUAAAGGAAGGCAAAAAUUGUUAAAAAAAAUAAUUUUUAUUAUAAAAAAAUUAGAAAAAUAAAUACAAUUAAAAUAGGUUAAAAAAAUUAUAUAUGUCCAAAUUAUUUUACAGUUGUGUAAAAAGGAAGAAAAAAAAAAUGAGAAAAAUGAAUUUGAAAAAAUAUUAUUAAUAAUUUUUUAACUUUCAAUUAAUUUUUCAUCUUCCUUUAUUUUUGUUUAUGUUUUCCUUGUCUAGUAUAUUCCUUCAAAAUUUCUAAGAAUCAAACAUGUGGGUUGCGGACUGGUUCGCUGGCCUGCUGGCCUGCUUGCCCGCUUGCCUGGUCCAAGCAUGAAGUUGGGUUGACCUCUAAUGGUCCCUUGGUGGACCAACCCACCAACCUAACCAAACGAAGGUUGCUACCUUGGAUCAAGUGUCUGGGAUUUGAGUAAUAUCUUCUCCUGGGUUAUUAAAUUUUUAUUAGUUUUCAACGGUUUUCUAUUUGUAAUGAUUAAAUUUUUAUUGUAAAAAUGGCUCAUAAAAACAUUGAUUAUCCUAUAACAAUGUUCCAGAAGCAAGAGAUUAUUUACCAUAGCUUUGAACCGCUAAUUUUGAAUAUUGAAAUAAGUGGAAAUAGAAAUAAAUACUAUUAUUAUGUUUAACUUUAUGAAAAUUGUUGUAAAUGAAGUGGUGAAUGACCACAUUGAUGGUCAUUUAUGAACUCCAUUCACUACUACAAAAAUAGUUUAUGGUGUCACUAUUUACGGUGUCACUUUUAAAAUAAUGACACCAUAGGAUUUAUAAUUAAUAAAGGUGACACAUCAUAUAAAAAAUCUUCAAUUGAGGUAGUUAGAUGAUAUUAAUUUUAUAUUUAUAGUGUCAUUUUUUGGGAAGUGACAUCAUAUAAAAUAAUUUUUUUAAGUAUUAUAACCCAUUUUUAGAAUUAAUAAUGAUGGAUACUAUAUAAAAAUCCCAUUGUUUCCAUAUCUCACCCACAAUCCAAAAAAUCUCAAUAUAUAAAUCCUAUAUAUAAAAUCGUGAUCUUCUUCAACCUUUUCUCUCACCCAUAGUCAACAUGCUCACAACCGACAUUCUUCACUUUGUGGACUCCCAAGUAACCCAAAAUCUCUUGGAUCUAUCAUUUUUUUUUUCUUUUAUUAAUGUCAUUAUAUUAAUUGUUUCAACAUCUUUGUAUUAUGAUUUUUGUGAAUUGUGUAUUCUUGAGUUGUAGGGAAGAAAAAUUUAGGUUUAAUCUUCUAGCGUAGAAGAAAAAACUGUAGAUUAAUUGAUUUUUUAAUCUAAACCAAACACAUGAUCAAAUCCUUAAAAAAAGUGAAAAACAGAAAAAAAAAAUGAAUGAUUUUUAAUAUCUAUUUGUGUGAGAAUGACAGGCACAGAAUUUUUUUGAGAUAUACUAUCACAUAAUCUUCAUCCUUUCUAAAAAACGAGAGAGGAAAAAAAAUGAUUUUUCUGUUUGUAUCUAAGUGGGAAUGAGAUAUAGAAUUUCGUUGAGAGUAUCCAACCCCAAAAGGACCAAUUCGGGAAGGCAUGUGUGGUAUUGGCGGAAGAUGAUAAGAUGGAAAUCAUAACCAUAGCCAUGUUCGAUCUCUCUAUGUCUUUCUAUCCUCUUCAAUUAAUUCAUGGGCAUAGAUAUUUUAUUUAGUUUUUAUAUUUAGUUUAUUUAGUUUCUAAAAUCCAAUUAGCUAGAUUUUUUAUUUGAUUUUAUUUUUAUAUUUAAGUAGUUGAGUUUUGGAAAGUUUUUAUAUUUUGUUAAUAGAAAUAGAAAUUUUUAUAUUUUUUAUUAUUAGGAAUUUCUAUUUUGUUAAAUUGUAAGUAUCUAUCUCAAUAAGAGAUUAUUAAUAUUCAAAUGAAAGUGAUGAAAGAGAGUAAAUAUUUUAAUGCUCAAUUAUAUUUUAAUGUUUUUUUUUUUUACAUAAGGGUUUAUUUAUGUUUUCAAUUUUGAAGUUCCCUUUCCAAGUCCAUCAACAAAAGUAGUGUCCAACCUUAAAAUGGGCAUGUGUGGUAUUGACGGGAGAUGAUAAGAUGGAAAUCAUAACCAUAGCCAUGUUCUCUCUGUGUCUUUCUAUCCCCUUCAAUUAAUUCAUGGGCAUAGAUAUUUUAUUUAGUUUUUAUAUUUAGUUUAUUUAUAGUUUAUUUAGUUUCUAAAAUCCAAUUAGCUAGAUAUUUUAUUUGAUUUUGUUUUUAUAUUUAAGUAGUUGAGUUUUGGAAAGUUUUUAUAUUUUGUUAAUAAAAAUAGAUAUGAGGACUUAAAAGGGUUUAUAUUUAGGUAGUGCUUGAGCCAAGGAAAAUGAUAGUCCACUAUCUUGACCCUAUGCAUCACAAACCAUGUGAGGACUUAAAGGAUAUCGUAAACAUGUAAGUUCUUCCUAUUAUUUUUCAUAGUAUUAUUUUUAAAUAAAAAAAAUACAUUCACCUCAAACACAUUUUUUUAUUAUUUAUAUAUAUUAAAACAUAUAACAUUUACCUAUUUUUAAAAUGUACCCAUUGAACUUAUUUACAUAGGACUCUUCGAAUAUCUGCAAAGAAAACAUCUAAGAGGGAGUCAUCUUAGAAACUAGUGCAAGUGACAUCCAAAAAAUUUUCUUUACACAUUAGCUUAUGCAUUUGCACCAUUUAUAUAUGUGAGUACUAAUGUUAUUUUAUAAUUGAUCGAUUAGUGUCCAAGACAAGGAGGGUUCGAAUGUGGCUACUUUGUUAUGAGAUUCAUUAAAGAGAUAAUUUUUUAUCCUACAAUUAUUGCUUCAAAGGUAUUACUUAUUAAAUGAAUUGUACAUAGUUUUAGGCUUCCAAAUGUUAUGCAUUUUAAUGUUAUUUUCUUAUUUGAUUUCAGUUUUGUGAUAAAAAAAAACAUAUUCUCAAGUAGAAUUAUAUUUCCAUUUAUUCAUUAGAAGAAGCACCCUUCGAUGAAAUUAGAGGAGAAUGGGCUACUUUUGUGCUACAACUAAUCAUGAAUCAUGUUAAUGCAUCAUGAUCACCAUGCAUGGUGAGUCCCUUAGCUACUACAUGAAUUUUUCCAUAGGUAUUGUAUAGUAAUGCUUAUUCUUUGAAUAAUGUUUCUAUUUGAAAAAAAAAAUAGUUCUUAGAUUUGUUCAUUUAUGAUAACAUCGAUCCAUGUUUAUUUUCUUCAAUAAAAAUCUCUAAAACUCAUUAAAUUUUGAAAUGCAGGUAUACACUCUUGGGAUGGUGAAAUGGAGAAUAAAAAGAAAGAAGAAGGCAACAAGAUUUUGGGUUUUUAAAUGCAACUCUUAUGUUAUACGUUGUAGGACAUAAACGUUACUUUAAUUGCAACUGAGAAAUUUAGAUUUUUAGAUGGGACUUUUAUGUCAUUUUAUGGUUAGCCGGUUUUAUGCUUAGGAAAUGGAGGUAUACAUGAAUCUUGGGAUCUUUAACAUUUCUAAAUCAUGUUUUGGUAUGUAUUCACUCUUCUUUUUUAGUUUUGAUGGGUUUGAUAUGUUGGACGUACUAUCCUUUUGUGAACAUUUGAUAUACAAAUAUUAUUAGAUGAUCAAUGUAUUAUGAGUUAUUCUAGAAACAUUACAGAAAAAUGAGUUAAAUAUAAUAUGAUUGUUAUAUUUAUGGACAAAAUAUAAAUAGGUUAAUCUUAUUAAUUCAUAAGCAUUACAAAAAUCAACAACUAAAACCAAUCAUAUCUUCCACAAUAAUUUACAAUGAUGUGAUACCAUAACUUAAAGGUGAUGCAUUUAAUGUGACAUCAUAACUCAAAGAUGAUGUAUUUAAUGUGACACCCUAUCAUCACUAGAAAUAUAUGGUGUCACUUCCAAAUGGGUCACCAUUUAUCUACUUUGGUGUCACUUCCAAAUAUGUCACCAAUUGGUACCCUCUAUGGUGUCAGUGGAGAAAGUGACGCUAUGUUGUAGUGACACCCUAUGUUUAUGGUGACUCGUUAUAAAUGUCACCAUAUACCUUUUUCCUUGUAGUGAUUUACUCAUCUUUAAGAUGAGUAAUGGGAGUUCAUAUUAUGAAGCCUAUAAAAGGCUUUUUACAAAAAAAAUAAAAUUCUCUUCCUCUCAUUCUCUCUCUCUUUCUUUCAUUCUCUCAAUUUUCUCAACUCUCUUCUCUGAUUCCUUCUUCCCAUUAUAUAUAUUGUUAAAGUAAGAUAUAUUUUAUCUCUACUACUUUAUUUGUGUUGCAUUUAUCCUUGUUUUACAACAAAAAUUAUAUUUUAGAAUAAUUUUUAUAAAAAUUAUGGUGAAUAUUUGAAGGCACCCAAAGCAUAUUAACUUGUACUUAAUAAAGAUAAGGCCAUAUUGAAUGUUUUGAUAUUGGUUUAUGAAACUACUUAGAGGAGAGUGAAUAGGCGGUCCUCUGCUUACAACACUCAAAUUGAAGUUUUAAAUAUUUUUAUUAACUCUUAAUUUAAUCAAUAUAUGUAAUUAAUAAAUAGAGCAAAGAAUAAUCUUACACUUGACAUGUGAUGUACAUGGAAAAUCAUCUACAGAAUCUAUAAAAAAAACUUGACGAUGAAAAAUUCAUGAGUCAAUUGAUCAUAGAGCAAAUUCACUAAUUUUGAUAGAAUAAAUACAUAAUCUUACCUAGAUGAAAUACUACCUUCCUUCAAGCAUCUUACACAGGUCAGUACUUACACUUGCUUUCAUGUUCAUAAUGCAAAACCCAUGUAUUCCUUAGUGAAUACCUUAAAACUUUAAGAGAUGUGAUCAACCACCAUGAACAACUUCAAACAAGAUAUGAGCUUUUGGAGUAUCAGGAAUAUGCAAAAGAUAAUAACAAUAAAUUGUAGGGUACGAUGAUGUAUGAAAGUACAAAGUUGAGCAAUGUAUGAUGGCAAAAAACUAACUAAAAAAGAUUUGAAAAGCUGACAAAUAUAGGAUAUUUAUGCAUAACAUCAAGACCGCUUAAGCCCAUUUUGUGGGCACUCGAGCGCUCCUUGUUAAUUUUAGCUUUUCUAAUUUAGCUUCAAGCCCAUUUUGAAUCUAAGUCCACUUUACACCUUAUUCAUGUCAUUAUAUUGUGAACAAGAUAACCCUACUUACCUGAACAAUCAUGUGAAUGAAUAAAAAAUGAUCACAUAUCUUCAAGGCCAGUGCAUACAUAGAGUUGAGUAAAAAAAAUAUUUGGAAUAAAAUUGUUAACUUAAACUAAUUAGUCUAGAUCACUAACACAAAUAAUAUCAAAUUUAGUUAAAAUACAAAUACACCUUCCCAUGAGCAACAUUAUUAUGUUUUACCUUCUUCAUCUUUUACAAGUUUUUAGUUAUAGAAAUAAUGAGAUUAAAAAAUUGAAGGGUAAAUUGCUCCGAUGACUAACUUGAGUGCCUUGGGGCAAUUUUUCUUUGCUUUACAUAUCUCAUAUACCUUAUUAUUGGGAGAUUAUUAAAGAUCGAAUCACAAUAGGACCAAUCCUAAAAUAAAUUCCCCAAAAUCAUUGAUAUUUGAGGCUAUGUAAUUUUUUUGCUCCAACAAGUUCAAUAUUUUGAAUAAGUUUAUCAUACAUGCAUGGAUGUACUUCAUUCUACUACUUGACUAGGGUAGCAAUCAAAAUAGAAGCAAACCUAAAAUCAAUGCUCCAAUAACGUUAAUGUUUGGAGCUUCAUAAUUUUUUUGCUCUAAUAAUUUUGAUAUUUUAGACAAAAUUAUUUUACAUUGAUCGACUUGCUUCUUUAUGUUUAAGUAAAGGGAGAGUUUUUCUUGCCUAAAUCUUGACACUUAAAGAUACUAAUAUUUAUGUUUUGAACAUGAGAUAAGGGACAAAUCACUAUCUUUAACUUGAAUUUAUGUUAAUGCAUGCUUUGAGAACUAAUACGCCAUCUUUCUUUUUUUUUUUAGUAUAAAAGCAUAAAAAGGGAGGAAAUGUAAGCAACUUGAUGUAAUUCUAGCAUUUGGGAUGGAAUGGAGGAGCAAAUAGGCAGCAAGAUGAGCCCUAGUGCUUGCUAAAGUAAAUAAAUAAAUAAUAAAAGCGAAAAGGCAAAAGAAAACUACAAAGGCAUUCUAAAUUGGUUUAGGAGUAGCUAAAAGUGAUUUGGAGAAGCCAAAAUCGAUUUCAAAAGGUUAUUUAAUCAAUGUUAAAACCAAUUUGUGAAUGAGAAUUUUCAUAUUAAUGGAGUCUCACAUCAUAAAAGCGAUUUAAAGGAGGUUGAAAUCGAAAUUCCAAUCUUAGGUUAAAAGUUAAAAUUGGUUUCCAUAUUGAAAUUUUGAUUUUAUCUUGUUGAAAUCAGUUUUUCCAAAAUUUACAGCAUAUGCCAAAUCAAAAUUUCACACUUUGGUUAAUUUGGUAUCAAAAUCUAGAUUUUAGGCAAUUUUGAUGUAAUUUCAACUAAUUAAGUUAUACGUUUGCUAUGGUGGCCAAUGAGAUUAGGCCAAGUGCCUUUUUAGGGUUAAGAUAUUUAUAUUUUCAUUUUUUUUUCAAGGUUACAAAGAGAACAUUUUUACAAUUUUGUUUGUAGUCACACUUUCUAGACUUUUGUUUCUUUCUUUUUAUUAAUAUUCUUUUUUUUUUCUUAUGGAAUUUGGGUGUGAAAUCUCAAUAUAAGAGAUUAAGAUCUUUAAUUUUGGAGAUGUAGCAUGAAGAUACAUGGAAGAUUUGGACAAGGAGCAUAAGAAAAGUAAUGUCAAAUUAAUUGAUCAUUAGGUUUUCAUUUUUACCUUAUUAGAAUGAGAUCAUCUAUGAAAUUAUGGUUAGACUAAGAUCCUAGUGAUACUUCUAAAACCAUUUGAUCACUAGUUAACAUAAUUUGAUAUACUAUCAUGAUUGAAUUGAAAAUUGAUUGUACAAGAUAGAUGAGUGGUACGAAUGUAUAAACAUAAACCUCAAUUAACCAAUCUAUAUUAUUUAUUUUAGUGAAUCAUGUAAAAAGAGUAUAAAUGUCUUAAAAUUCAAUUUGAUCCCAUAUUGACUUUGGUCUUAAACCCUAGAUCUAUGAUUUACUCUCUCUCUCUCUCUCUCUCCUUCUCUUCUUAUGAAUUUGAAGCUAAAUUUUGAAAGCUCCAGAGUUGUUAUCAUAGAUUUGUCUUAAUCAAUUUAAUCUAAAUUCGGUCUUUUUAGAAAAAUUUAUCUAUUAAAUUCACAAUUUUGGGUAUAAGAAUACUUUGUUCAAUACAUAAAUAGUCAAAUGUGUUAGUCUUUAAAGGAUGACAUCUAGAUACCAUACACCAUAACUAUCCUCUCUUUGUUUUUUCUUGGCUAUGAUUUUUAUAAUAAUAAAGAUUUUCGUUCUAAAACAAAGAGUAUCGAUAAAAAAAAAAAAAAGUGUCAUUUUUGUUAGAGAUUGACGACUAUUUUGAAUUGAUAGAUUGUCUUAGUUUUUAGGAGCUUAGAGCUUGUUUUACGACGUGAUUUAAAAAUAUCUUUCUAUUUUUCUAAAAAAAAUGACUUCUAAAAUUUAAUAGCAUUGUUUAGCAAUUGUUCUCUAGAAAUGGUUCAAAAAAAAAAUUAUGAACGUUCUCUUAGAGAACAUAGAGAAAUAAGAAUAAUAAUAAUUAAAAAAAUGAUAAUAUAAGAUUGUGGACCCCGCACUUCUGCACAUGCGUUCCACUCGAUGACGAAACUCAUUGUUUUAUUUGUUUAGUGAAAUUUUGAUUUUUAGAAAAGACUUGGAGUCACCACUUAUUUUUGUUUUAUUUUUAAGGGAAAACAAAAUAAGAAAGAAAACUCUAAGUGUGACUUCUUAUUUGGAAAAGAGGGUCUAUGGAAAACCAAACUUGGGUUUGGGGGUCAAGUUACUUAUUGGGAAGGUAUGGUAAGGACCAUAACAUCCCUCCAAACCCCUAAAAAUGAGUCUCUACUAAAUAAGGUGAAGCAAACGUGGAAAUUGACAAGGAAAUUGUUAGCCCAAGGGUUCUCCUAAUCGGGUUUUGAUGGUAACAAACCAUGGUUAAGUGACUAAUUGGUUUAAAUGUUUAAGAAUCUCAGGUACAAACCCGAAAAUUCAUCAAAGAACCAAAUGGAUAAAAGAUCGAGACGCUUAGAAGACUUGUGAUCAUAGGAAACUAAUGCAAAAUGAAUGCAUGAGUGCACUUAGGAUUUUCAUAUGUUUCAUGCACCUUAGUGAUAACCCGACUCUUGGUAGCUUGGCAUGUAAGGGUAUCAACAAAAUUUAUACCUAACGUCCUUACACUAAAGUAGCAAAGCUACUAUAGCAUAGUGGCUCUAGGAUCGAACACUGGGAAGGGUUUUUACUUUAACUGAUGAAGUUCGGAGGAUGGAGUGAACUUUUCUUAAUAAAGAUUAGGUUAAGAUGAAAACAUAAAAAGAUGAAGGUGUUGUAAACUAAACUAACAUGCAAAUAGGUUAAAAGAUGGGAAAAGAAGUUUCUCAAAGCUUUGGAUAGCCAUGCUUAACUCACCGUGUAAAAAUAGAGAUUUUGGAACUUUUCACCUCGAGUUGGGGAAGCAACUCAGGUGAUGCUUACUUCUCGAACCGGUAUGUGUUUAACAACUGAGUUUUAGUCCUUCAAAACUUACAAAAAGGGUAGCUGAACCUCAUAAAUGCCCUUUUAAUGAUAUAGGUCAUCUCCUCGACUUGCAAUACAAUGGCUCGUAGGAGAUAACUAAUGAACGUCAGUGGAUCUAACAAUAAGAAUCCACUGAGACCAAAAGGUUAUCAAGUAUUGGCCAUUCAAAGCAAGUCAGAGGGAUUAAAAGCUUUACUUUGAAUGAAAACAUUUAUGAUGCUCAACUACUUACAUUUAUGGCUUGGAAAUCUCCAUCCUGACACGGGAGCUUCACAUGGCAUCCAUUACUUCAAGAAACUAAAAGGUUUUAGCCUCUCAUCCUUGGGGAUUUCAUCCUCCAAGGAUGUUUGGCUACUAAGAAAAUAGAAAAUAGUAGAGAGAAAAAGAAAGCAAAAGAUAUUAUGUAUUUAGCUAAGUGUAAAAUUUUACAAAAGAUGGUCCCCUGGAGAAAGUUCCCCCGACCAUCCUAAAAUGAAAAUUACAAAACAAUAUAUAACAGGUUGUUUACCCCUGUAUCCUUGCUUAACAACUAAGGAAUCAUUUAAUUGGUGGAUUACAAGGAGAGAAUUGGGAUUUAGACAACAAAUAUCUGAGGCAAAAUAACAAAAAACGUUGGUCGCAAAUAUCUGGAAGCACUCAGGAGAAUUUCGCAGGCGCACAAAAUGGCUGCGAAAUUUCGCAGAUGAACAAGAUGGCUGCGAAAUCAUUUCGCAGCCGAAGGCUGAUUUCGCAGCCAAAGGCUGAUUUCGCAACCCUGCGAAAUUGGCCUUCAGCUUGGAGUGAUCUGCUUCCAUUGGCUCUAACUUCUUCAUUUCAACUCUAAUUUGCGAACCGUUUGAAGCAUUGGAUUGUUGACUUCCCGAUCUUCGAAACGACAUAAAGCAUGCAUAAAUUGGACUAUAGGAAGUACUCCAAAAGUGGCUGAAAUGACUGUCAUCAAGAAUGCUUCAAGGUAGAUUCUCUCUUUACUUCUCCUCCUUGCAUUCCGGAUUGGUUAUGGCAAAGGACUUUAAGGCUUCAAAGCUCUGAUUCUUCAUGUUCCUGAGCUUUCCAUUGCUUUACCAUGGAUUCCAAAUAACUCUCCUCCAUCUUGGAUUGCUUUGGUGAUCAAAUUACUAACAAAAACACCAAAACUUACACAAAGUGAUUAGAAGUGAUUGCAAAGGUCCUUAAUAUGUUAAUUGGGUUAAAGGGCGAUAAUUACUACUCAAAAGUGUUUAAAAGAGUUAAUUACAAGCUAUCAAAUAGCCCUUUUUGAGUAGUAAUCACUUAGAAAACUCGGUUUAUUCUUUAAAAUGUCGAUUUCAUUAAAACUUGAGUUUUUAACUAAUUUACCUUAGGCAAAAUGUUUCAAAAUUGACUUAAUAAUUUACCUAAAGACCUUGCCUAAGUGUUAGAAAAAAAAAAAAGAAUCAAAAAAUAGGUUUUUCCGGGCCAAAAAGGCUCAACCGGUCGAGGCUAUGGCCAACCGGUCAACUGGUUAAGGAAUCGGUCGAUCGGUUGAGGUUGUCUGGUCGAGGACCGGUCGAGGAAGGUCAAAAACCUUCUCUCUCUCCCAUAGCCUUCUCUUCCCAAUCGAGGUGAUUCCCUUACCGGUCAAGGUCCGGUCAAGGACCGGUCAAGGUCCGGUCAAGGACCGGUCAAGGUCCGGUCGAGGACCGAUCGAGGACCGGUCGAGGACCGAUCGAGGACCGGUCGAGGACCGAUCGAGGACCGGUCGAGGUCCGGUCGAGGACCAGUCGAGGUCCGGUCGGGGAAUCGGUCGACCAGUUGAGGUUGUCUGGUCGAGGACCGGUUGAGGAAGGUCAAAAACCUUCUCUCUCUCCUAGUAGCCUUCUCUUCCCAGUCGAGGUGAUUCCCUUACCUGUCAAGGUCCGGUCAAGGACCGGUCAACGAGGUCCGGUCGAGGACCGAUCGAGGACCGGUCGAGGUCCGGUCGAGGUCCGAUUGAGGCAACGAUAACCUAUCAUGCAUUAAAUGCUCCAACGGCUAGUGAACCGGUCGACCCCCAGCUCAACCGAACGAGGUUGCCUUUUGCUGUUUUUGACUCCCGAGCUUAGAAACCUAUAAAUUGAGAGCUCCACUUCAUUUAUUGAUAAGAUAACACUUGCAUUCAAAGCCCACCUACCUGUUCUUGAUCAAAAAGCUCUCAUUUCUUUCAUAGUGCAUUAAAUUACCACUUACAUAUCCUUUAGUGCACUCUUGUUUGUCAUCCUAGCUUUGUCUUGUAUUUGAGCCAUUUUUAAGCUAGGUUGAGUGAUUAUAUCUUGUAACAAUCCGAGUGUUAAAGUCUUCAAGAGGGUUGAAUCUUGAAGAGGUUGUGUAAGAGCCCAUUGGAUUCGGAAUCCAAGUGUAAGAAGAUUGGAAGCUUGGUUGAAGCUUCAAAUUAGUGGAACCCUCACUCGGUUAGAAGGUUGAAGAGAGUGGACGUAGGCAAGGAAGUGACGAACCACUAUAAACCCAAGUUUGAAUUCUCUAAACUCUAUCUCUUUACUUUGUUCAUAUUUUGUUUAAAUUUGUUGUGAUUGAAAAGAUUUUAAAAACCCAAUUCACCCCCCAUUUUGGGUGUUUUUCUUAACUAAGCAUAGCCUUUGUUUUCUCAUAAAUCAAUAGAUACCAAUAAAAUGAUUGAAUAAUAAAACAAAUCGAGCAUGAGAAUGAAUAAAUAAAUGAAGUAGGAGUGAGAGCGUACCUUAGCAGCAAAUAAUAGUGCACUAUCAUGGAAAAAAUGUUAGCUCAAGUACAAAAUUUAUCGCAUGCAUAUCAAAGAGCAAGACAAAGAUCAAGCAAUAUUCAUUAAGGUGUGGCUCUUAUAAAGGUGCAAAAAGAAGUUUGAUAAGCCCACAAUGCAAACAAAAGAUUCUCUGACCAAUCCCGAGAAGUCUCAAUCAUCCUCUGCAAGAUCCUCUUAAUAUUCUUAUUCACAGCCUCUACCACUUCGUUAGUCUGCGGCCUAUACGCAGAUGAUCUAUGAUGCUGGAUAUCGUAUCUCUGUAAUAAAGUGUCAACAUCUACUCUAAAAUGUACUUCUAUGCUCAAAAUCAGCUCAUGAGGGACUUCAUAGCGACAAAUAAUGUGUGAUAUGAUGAAACUAGCGACCCAAAAUGAUUUCAAUCUCGCAUAUGAAGCAGCCUCCACCCACUUGGUAAAGUAAUCAAUGACGACCAAGAUGAACUCAUGACUACUGGAAGACUUUGGCGAAAUCUUCCCAAUAAUGUUUAUACCCCAUACUGAAAAUGGUCAUGGUGAAUUCAGUGCAUGUAACUCUAAAAAGGGUACGUAGAUAAGGUCUUUAUGAAUCUAGCACUCUCGACAUCUUUAAACAAACUGGCAAUAAUAUUUCAUAGUCAACCAAAAAUAGUCGGUCUUCAUGACCUUACAAGCUAAUAUAUGUCCUCCCAUAUGUGGUCCACAAACUCCCACAUGAACCUCUCUCAUCACUCAAUCGGUAGAGGCGUGGUGAAAGCACAAUAGUAAUAUCCCAUCAACUGAUCGUUUGUACAAUGUCUCCCCACAGAUCACAAACCAGGUGGCUAACUAUCUCAAUGCUCUCUUAUCCUUCGUUGUGGCAACCUCAGGAUAUAUGUCAAGUCUCAAAAACUGAUAUAUGUCAUAGUACCAAGGCAAACCAUCAUCCAACUCUGCCUCAUCAAUCAAGCAACAAUAGGUAGGAACUAAUCUCGACUCAAUCAGUAAAGGGCGAACAAUGGUAUCAGCGGGAAUAUCAAUCAUGGAAGCUAGAGUAGCUAAGGCAUCAACAAACUGGUUUUGUGCUCUAGGCAGAUGAGUAUAACUCAAAUCAUCAAAUCUCCCAACCACUAGCUCUAAGCAUGCAUGGUAAGGCUUAAGUUUCACAUCUUUAGUCUUCCAAUUGCCUUAAAUCUAUCUCAAUACCAGAUUGGAGUCACUAAACACCUCCAUCUGUCUAAUCCCAAGCUUAAGAGUUGUCUCUAAUCCCAAGAUACAAGCCUCAUACUCAACAAUAUUGUUCAUGGCAAGGUGUCGAUCAAAGAAUGCCAAACGAACAAAUCUAGGAAUGUGGUCACCAUGAUGGGAUAUCAGUAGAACACCUAUCUCGUGUCUAGAAUGGUUGGCCGCACCAUCAAAGUACAUGCGCCAACCUGACGAAGUAGUCACUGCAGCAAUAUCCUCAUCUAGAAAGUCAUCAUCAAUAGCUCUACCAUCAGAAAAACUAGUAAUGAGGCUAAGUAAUCUACAACAAUGCUCCAUCUGAUAGACUUUUGAGUGACAUAAUGAAUAUCAAACUCAAUCAAGAGUACCAACCAUCUUAUGAGUCGAUCAAUCAAAGCAAGCCUGUCAAACAAAUAUCUCAGAGGAUCUAGACAAGAUAUCAAGUGCACUAAAUACUCCAUCAUGUAAUGUCUCAAUCUCUUAGUAGCCCAAACCAACGCCAAACAGAAGCGUUCAAUCAUGACAUAUCUUGUCUCAUAAUCAAGCAUCCUCUUACUCAAAUAAUAAAUAGCUCGCUCAUUUCCAGAAUCAUUAAGCUGAGCUAGCAUGCAUCCCAAGGCUAUAUCUGAGACUGACAAGUAUAGGAAUAAGGGACGACCUGGUGUAGGAGGCACCAAGACUAGAGGCGAAAACAAGUACUCCAUGAUCCUCUCAAAUGCACGCUGACACUCAUCAUCCCAAACAAGAGGUCGACUCUUCCUCAAGAGUAAAAAAAUGGGCUCGCAGAUAUCUGUCAAUCUGGCGAUGAAUCUACUGAUGUACUAUAGUCUACCUAAAAAACCUUUGAUCUCUCUCUCAGUUCUCGGCGCAGGCAUGUCAAGGAUGGCUCUAAUCUUAUCUGGAUCUAUUUCUAUGCCUCUCUCACUGACCAUGUAUCCCAGAAGUCACUUAAAAAGUGCACUUCUUAGGAUUCAGUCCUAAUCUGAACUAUCUGAUCAUAUCAAAGAAUCUCUUUAAAGCUACUAGGUGAUCUACUCUAUCUUGGGAUUUCACUAUCAUGUCGUCUAUAUAGACCUCGACAUCCUGAUGCAUCAUGUCAGGGAAAAGGAUAGUCGCUGCUCUUUGAUAAGUAUCUCCUGCAUUCUUCAACCCAAAUGGCAUAAGUAGCAGUAAGUACCCCACUCAGUAAUCAAAGACAUCUUCUCCAUGUCCUUUAGAGCCAUCAUAAUCUGAUUGUACCCAAAAAAUCUGUCCAUAAAGGACAACAUCGAAUGACCUGUUGUACUAUCAACUAGCAUGUCAAUGUGUGGGAGAGAAAAAUCAUCCUUGGGAUUGACCUUGUUGAGAUCUCAGAAAUCAACACACACUCUCACCUUGCCAUUCUUUUUGGGAACAAGGACGACAUUGGCCAACCACUCAGGAUACUCAACCACUGAUAAGAAUCCCACACUAAGUUGCUUCUGAAUUUCUUCUUUCACCUGCAGACUCCAACGAGGAUGCAAUCACCUCAACUUCUGCUUAAUCGGUCUAGCAAGGGGUAGUAGUGGCAAGUAAUGUUGGACUAUGGAUAGAUCAAGGCUAGAUAUGUCCUCAUAAGACUCUACAAGUGAUGUUGGACUAUGAAUGGAUCAAGGCCAGACAUGUCCUCAUAAGACCAUGCAAAGACAUCCAAAUAUGAUAUGAGUAACUGGGCAAGGCCACCACUCUCAUCUGUAAACAAAUCCAAUCCAAUCCUUAGCUCCCUAGGCUGGUCUGUUGUACCAAAAUCAACAAUCUCAGCGUCUCCUGUGGUAGGUGAAACUCUCUGAUCACUAGGACUCAAAUCAAAAGCAGAAGAAGAGUCCGCAUCUGAAUUGUGAUGUACAAUCUCAUCAUCUAUAUCAAAUAUUUGUGAUGUGGGUGAAUGAGGUGCAGAUAAAGUGUUAUCACAAGAAAUAGGCAAAUACUCAAAAAGACUCAUAUCCAUAUAUGAAGAAAGAGUCAGUAGAUCAUCAGAAUGGGAGACAAACCUUGAUAGUAUAUCAAAAGAAAGUGGUGGGUCCACAUGUUUGGACUCUACCAUGACUGGGCUAUUCACACACACAAAUACAUCAUCAUCAACUAUAUCAUCCUCUGAAAACUCCAAAGCAGGAGCAAUCUGGAUCUCCUCAGCAACCUCGAUGGCGGACACCCCAAAUAGAUCAAAUGGAGAAGCAAACUCAGGUUGGACUAUCCCAUCAAUCUGACUCAUACUCAUCGCGAGCAUCUCAUCAAUGUACCUGUCAUGUGGAACAACUCCAUCCACCAUGUCCCUAAUCUCAGCAAAUGUCCCAUGCUCGUCAACCUCAUCCAAGAAAUAGAGUGUCAUGAGGCUCAUAUGAUCUGGAAAUGAUGGGGUGGCUAAUGCAGAAGCAGAAGUGCCAGGAGCUCCAUCACUCAACCGUAGCUGAUGGACAAGACGCUGAAGCUCAACCUCCUGAACAGUGUUGAAUCCAUCAAUAAUCACACUUGAAUGCGUCUAUGGCUUUGACGCCCUCACAAAGUAGUCCGCCAAGCUCAUGUUGCAUGAGCAAAUAGGAUAGUCAAAUGGUGUGUGAGUCAAUCGGGCUUUCACUCUCUCUUUGCUCAAUCACACCAUAUAUCAAUAAUCGGCCUCAAUAGAAAUAAACCCAAAUCCAAAUGGUACAUCACGAUAAAAAAUAGUUAUAAACUCAUUGGGCCCAUGCUAACAUCGCCCUAAUCCCAUGCUCGGUAGAAAAGACAUGCUCCUCAUCAUGUCAAGCACCAUUGUACUACCGUGUUGAUCAAAUGACAUAGCCAUAAAGUCCCUACAAAAAUCCUCAAUCUCCAGAGUCUACACCUCAUCAAAUGUGAACCCAGUAAAAAACAAAUCAUCCUCAUUGUGACUAAUCUGAAGCAUUGGCUUGGAAGAAGCAAACAUAUCUCCAAUGGACCGCACUAUGAUGACCUGGCCAUCAUGAAUGAACUUCACCUUCUGAUGAAGGAAAGAAGGAAUGGCCCCAGCACUAUCAAUCCAAGGUCGGCCAAUAGUAGGUUAAAAGAUGUAGAAAUCCUCAAAACCUGGAACAGAAUAGGAAAUGUAGUUGGACCUAUCAAUAGCUUGAUCUCCAAAGUGCCCAUGACCUCCCUCUUAAUGCUAUCAUAUGCUCUGACUUUCUGAGUAGAGGGACCAAAGUUUGAGGAUGCAUAGCCGAGGGCAAUGACAUAAGCUAAGGGACAGACGUUCAGGGUUGGGUCAUCGUCCAAAAUGACAUAUAGGACUCGGUGGCCUAAAAAACCAACUAAGAUGUAUAGAGGACAUGUAUGGUCUGAACCCUCGGGUGGCAAAUCAUCAUCUAAAAAUAUAAUACAAGUGGCUCUGCCAACCGUCAUCAUGUGAAUCAACCCCUCGAGAAUAGUGGUAGUCUCGACUCUAAUCUAACUCAAGGCUCAAAUCAAUGCAUUUUUAUGAGUGCUAGAAGAUGCCAAUAAGCUCUAAAUAGAUAUACAAGUCUGGGUACUCUACAACUGUCUCAGAAUAUCAUCAUCAUCUCUCUUGACCUCCUCAUGAGAGGCUGCACCCUCCAAGGGUCUAGCGGUUGUGAGGGGUUGUUGUCAUACUACCUUACCUCUGUGAAUAACAUAUUGUAUAUCUGGAGUAUGAACAUCAUCAACAUAUGGAGUAUGUACCUCAUCAACGUCUGGAAUCAAAACAAACGGAGUCUGAACACUAUAACAUGGAAAAAUCAAUGGCUCGACUAUAGUCGACUGUAUUGAUGUCACAUCGGGAACCAAUUUGAAUAGUGUGGGCAUCCAUGGGCCCAAGGUCAUUCUACUUACCUCAUAAAUCCCAUCUACUACUAUAGGCUCUAGCACUGACUCAUCCCAACUCAGCAUGUGGAUAUGAUCAUAUGGCUUAGUGAAAUCCAUGAAAUGUAUACCGUUGGUUGGUAGAGAGACUGCAUGUGAAGUAUAAGCUGACAGAGGGUUAGUGGUUACACUUGGCUGACCCAAGUGAACCAAACCCUGAUCUAUCAAGUCCUCGAUGGCGUGCCUCAAAGCAGUGCAAUGGUCCGUGUCAUGCCCUAGACCUUGAUGGUAAGAACAAUAUAAAUCCAUCCUGAAGAGAGGUGGCAUGAGUUGAGGUAUAUGUCGAGGAGCUAACUGAGUUAACAAACCACCCUCCAUGAGCUUUUAGAAAGCUCGGUUCAAAGGCAUACCUAGUUGGGAGAACUAUUGUGUCAACCUUUGUACAAAAGAAAUAAUAGUCUAUGGGGCUCGGGGCUGAGGGUAUAAAGUAGGAGGCCUAUCUAUGACAUGUGCAGCAAAAACAGGUUGUGAGACCAGAUGUAGAUAAGUAUGAGUCAUAGGUUUGGAGGAAACAGGUGGCCUAUACUGUACAUGAGGUGGUGGUGGGUAGUAGAAUCCAGAAGGCUGCCCAACUGUCUGAUAGCACUCACAUCUUUUAGUCUCUGUCCUCCUAAAGGCUUCUUUCCCUAAGAGUCAGUAGGGGAAGACUCGGACCAUAAUCCUCUAGUUAUGUCCUCCUCUAUACCAUAUAAAUCCUGUACCAAAGAUCCAAAAUCCGUAUGAGGAAAUCCCAUCAAGUGCCUAGCAAAUCAAGGCUGCAAGCUCCUCGUGAUCAUACUAAUCUAAUCAUUCUCUGAAGGAUGAUCAAUAACCUAUGAAAUCUUCUCUCUUUAGCGGGAGAUAAAUGAGGUGACCGACUUCUCUAGCCUUUAUCUCAAAGCCUCUAACUCUCUCCUCGAAACAUCAAUGACAAUGUUAAAUGCAAACUGUCUCAAGAACUUCUAGGCCAAAUCAUCCCAAGUCCGGCGGCAUGAUACAUCCAAUGAAGCAAACCAACGUUAUGCCACACCACUCAGGGAUAUAGGAAAAAACAUAACCAUCUAGGCCUCAUCCAGUCCAUGGGCCCUCAUAACCGUACUAUAAAGCCUCAAAUGGAUGCGAGGAAAGCCAAUGUCCGUGUAUCUCUCAAUCUUAGACAUCCUAAACUUGGUUGAUAAACUGGCCACUGGUGCUCCAUUAAAAUCCUCCCAAGUAAUAGCUUCAUCUGAAGUCUUCAUCUGUCUCAUCCUCCGCUCAAGUCUAUCCAUACGAGCAUGUGGGUCCUCUGAGAUCGGGGUAGGCACUAUGACAGGAAGCAAGGCAACCUCAGUCUGACUCUAUAAAGUAAAUGAUAUAGGUUGUGAAACUAUCUAACCAAGUGGGAGAAGUGGCGGAAUAGUGGGAUCAUACUGCACACUCUCCUGAACUAGAACCUUUUGGGUUUGCUACCCAUCCAUCAUUUGAUCAAGACUAGUUAUGGCCUCCUGGAUCGAAGCCAUAGCAGCAACGAACUAAUCAAAUGUAACCACCUACGAAUCCAUAUCUGCCUAAUCUAACUGGUCUGACACUCUGAUCAAUCUACCUUUAACUCUGAUCUAAGAAGUUGAACUCAUAUCAAACAUAUCAAUACACCUACAAUAGUGGAAAUACUAGAUAAGAUAUUGUGUAAGGGAAACUCUACAAGGAGUGUUUAUCAACUAUGCAGGAAGGUAACCUGGAAGUAUUGAAACUGAUAUCUAAUUCUGAGCAAAUAUAUAAGAGACUACUACGAAGGUAACUAAAUUUAUCACUACUGACCCAGCUCUGAAGGCCCAUAGAUGCACCCACGUGUGGGAAAGGAAAUUCUGAUCGAAUAAUCUAAGGCUCAACCUAUAAGGUCAAGGUGGCUCUAAAAAAAAAAAAAGAUGGACUUUAAAGGAUCCAUAGCAGAAGCGAUCAUACCCUUCGACGGUAUGCAACCCUUUGCACGCCUUUGAAAAGACGAGGCUCUUCCAUGCAAGAUGGUCAUCACCUCUACACAUGCACUACCUCGACAUCCUAAGGGUAUUUGCUAUAGUGAAAGCUCUCACAACUCUCAGCACUCAGUAGUCAACUAAAGUGCAUAGUGAGUGGUGCAGGUGCAUCCGAAAAACCUAUGAAGCUAAAGUAGAAAAAAAAAUACAUUAGUCACACAAAUAUCCAUGAAACCUAGCUCUAGGCUAUUCAGGUCUUCAAAGAUCGGACUCCAAUCAACAUCAAUGUGUCGACCUCCUCAAGAAUGCUCCUAAACAUCAAUAUAGCCCAUCACUAGACCUUACUCCUAACCACUAGCUCGGUCAUAGAAACAAGUACACACAAGGCCUCACACUUGCAAAUAUAAGAACCAAAAUGAAGGAAAUGACCGAAACCAAAGGGUUGGAGGUAAGGGGAUAGAUGUGUGAUCCACACGGACAACCAACAUACAAUCACAUAGGAGAAGAUUAGUUAUGCAACAAGCAGUCAAGCAGAGCGCAAGUAUAUCAUCCAUGUCCAUACACAAGCCAAACAAAAAUAUGACAAUCAAAAUGACUAGCAACAAGGAUAGCAUGCUCAAAUAUAAUCAAGAUAACAUACAAGCAAGAUAAUCAACACUAAGACAAAUAAAAGAUGCAGCAAAGUGAACAUACAUGUCAAAGUAAGUAGGAUAAUCAAGGCAAGAGCAAGAUCGAUCAAUACCAUCAACAUGCCAAUGUUGCAAAGGGAUAUAACAAUUAAGCAUAGAAAAUCGUUGCAUCAAAAUCCUCAAUGUGCUAUGAUCACUCAAGCAUUGAAAAUUGUAAUUUUGAAAAAUUAUUUGAAAAUUGGAGUUUUGAAAAUUAAAUUUAAAAAUUAGAAUUUUGGAAAAUUAAAUUUAAGAAUUAGAAUUUUGGAAAUUGAAUUUGAAAGAAAUUGGAGUUUUGAAAAUUAAUUGAGAAUUGGAGUUUUGAAAGUUAGUUUUAAGAAUUGGAGUUUUGAAAAUUAAUUUUGAAAGAAAUUGGGGUUUUGAAAAUUAAUUGAAAAUCGGAGUUUUAAAAAUUAAAUUUAAGAAUUGGAGUUUUGAAAAUUAAUUUUGAAAGAAAUUGGAGUUUUGAAAAUUAAUUGAGAAUUGGAGUUUUGAAAAUUAGUUUUAAGAAUUAGAGUUUUGGAAAUUAAAUUUAAGAAUUUGAAUUUUGGAAAUUAAAUUUGAAAGAAAUUGGAAUUUUGAAAAUUAUUUGAAAAUGGAAGUUUUAAAAAUUAAAUUUGAAAAUCGGAAUUUCAAAAAAUUAUUUGAAAAUUACAUUUAAGAAUUGGAAUUUUUUUAAAAUAGAAGUUUUGAAAAUUAAAUAUGAAAAUCGGAAUUUCGAAAAAUUAUUUGAGAAUGGAAUUUUUAAAAGAUCAAUUUUGUUAACAUAAAAAGAUGGAUUAGGAGGGUGACAUGUUAGGCUUGGGAUUUGGGUCUAAUAGAUAGGCUUUGAUAGAGGUUUUGCAAAGGUGGCCAUACAGGAGUUAUUCACAUGCUUAUGAAUGGUGGGGGAAGAAAACUCAGACCAGAUUUGAAAAUAAGAACAUAAAUAUGAUCUCCAAUGCAUAAAAUAGCUUAAAUUAAAUCAAAUUAUUCCCAAGCCAAAAGCCAAAGUAUAAAUAAAUAAACCAACAACAGCACACCUAUGAAUGGCUCAGAAAUCCAAUAAAUUCAAACACAUAACCUAAUGUUCAUGCUUAGCAAACAAUCCACAAAAAAGAAAAUAACAAAAAGGAAGAAGAGCAUAUUAUGGUGAAGCAGAAUCAAACCUAAGCAAGUCCUCUCACUCUUUCUGUUUUUCUCUCUUAGAUACCGACUCUCUGUUUUUUCUUUUUUUCACUCAAGCUCUCUUCCUCAAGCUCCGUUUUCAGCUUGUUUUUCUUCCCCUUCCAACUUUAAAAAAAAACCUCUCCUUGCUCCUCUUUCUUCCUCCCAACGGCCACCUCUUGCUCUUGCUAAAAAAACCUCAUUUUCCUAUCUCCACACCAGCUCAUUUUUCUUCUCAAAACGUCUCCUGUUUUUUGUCCAGCUCUCAAAACCCCCACCUGUUGAUAACCUCUCCAAUCCGGCUCCCCCUCUCCAUCCCUUUUUUUUUUUUUCUCUUCAAUCCUCCCCUCCAAGCUUCAGUUUUUCUCUAAAAAAAAAACCAUCCUCUCCUAGUCUCAUCUUCCCUCUUAAAAACAGCUCACCCAUGGACAACCUCUCCAUUUUUCUCUCCCGUUAGCUUCCACCAGCUCUCUGCUUCCUGUCCACUCCUCUAUUUUUCAUUCAGAAAAAGUCUCAUCUCAACCACCACCAUGGCAAGGUGGUGGUGUGUUCUUGCCACACAUCCCAUGCAACUUUGAGCACUCGUGAAAAGGUCGUCCCCCACUUUUCCAAAAAAAAAGCCCAGCUCACUGUAGCCAAAUAUGGGUCUACAAAUAUGAUUAUUUUAUUCUUUCAUUUAUUUUCCACCAAUCAAUACCGAAAAUCUUAAAAUAUAAUCAUUUUCUUAAUUACAUGUGGUUUUUAUAUUUUCUUUAAUUUCUCUAAAUUUUGUCAUUAGGAAAAUAAAUUCUAAAUUAAAUAGUAUUUAAUACGUAUGAUUUAGUAAUGUUUUAAAAUGAUUUGAAACUAAAAAUUUAUGUAAUUAGUAUUAAAAAUCAUGAAACUAAUAAUCAAUCUAGGUAAUAUUAGAAAUUUACAAAACAAAAUUCAUUAUAUAUGCCUUCACUAGUUUAUGUUUUUAUACAUAAUCAUAAUUUUGUGAAUUUUUUCACUAGACAAAUAGACUUCAAGUAAGCAAAACUUAAUCUAUUAGAUUCAUGAAUGAAUCUAAUAAAUUUUAAACAUAAUUUGAAACUCAAAUAGUAAACCAAUUCAUACCAUAAAUUUAUGGAUAAAAGUUAAUCAAGAAUAACUCUAUUAGUUCUCUUUUAUGUAGAAUCAUAUUUUUCCAAAAUUUGCUCACCAGAAAAAUGGAUUUCAAGUGAAACAAGACUUAAUACGUUAGAUUUAUUAACAAGUCUAUUAAUUCAAAAAUAUUUAAAAAUAAAAAAUAAAACAAUUAUUAAUAUAAGUUGACAAACUAAAAUUGUUCCAAAAUGACUCUCCUCUACACAUAUCUAUAUUAUUUUAAAAUUUGUUAUUAAGCAAAUAGAUUUAAAAUCAAGCAAGACUUAAAAUGUUGAAUUUAUUAAUGAAUUUAAUUGUUUUUAAAAUAAUUUGAAACUUGAAAAUAGAUAAAAUCACUACCAAAAAUAAUAGAUCAAAACUAGUACAUAAUGAGUCAUAGCUUUAUUGCUCUUUAUAUGUACACAACUAUAUUUUACGAGUUUUAUCACUAAGUAAAUAGAUUUUAAAUUAUGUGAGACUUAAAACUUUAAAUUCUUUAAUGAACCUUCUAAAUUUUAAGGAUAAUUUGAAAUCUAAAAAUUUGAUCAAAUUAAUUAUAUACUAAAUCAAAACUUGUCCAAAAUAGGUCCAUGCUAAAAUACUAAAUAUGUACAUGCAACGGUUUUAAAUAGAAUAUUAUUAACCAUUAUUAUUUUUUAAUUAUUAUUUUUUUAAAAGAAAAAUUAUUAUGCUUUUAUGAAGGUAUUAAUCUCUAUAUUUUUAUAAUAUAUAAUGAAAUAGUAUUAGUUUUUUUAAUAAACAAAAUAUAAUUUAUGAUCUUAAUAUUAGUUUUCAUAUUUUACGAAAAAAAUAUUUAUUUUAAAAUUUUAUUUGUAAUUAAAAAAUUAUUUUUAUUUUUAAUAAGACUUGAAUUAACUUGAAUUAAUAUUAUAAUUGAAUUUAUAAUUUUUUUCUAAAAUCAAAGCAUAAAAACUAUUUAUAAAAACAACUUAUUUAGAUAAGGUUUUUUUUUAUUUCUUUGAAAAGUGUUUUUAAAAGAUAACUUGCCAAAUAGUCUUGUCUUUCGAAAAUAUACAAAAUAAAAUAAAAUAAAUUAUUUUUGUUCUUUAACUUAAAAACUGUUAUUAAAAACAAGUAUAAGAAAAUAUUAUCAAAGUGAGCCGUUAGUUUUUAGUAAUUAGUUAUUUUUGACAAAGUUUAGUGUUUCCACAUUCAGAAAGUUUAAACUAAUUUGUUUUCAUUUUAGUUUAAUAUUCUCAUUAGCUGUUCUUUUCUUUUUUUACCUUAGAAUUUCUCCAAUUUUAUGCUUAGUAGGUAAAUAGAUUUUGCAGGUAGACUCCAAUGAAUUAAUCAACCAAUUCAACCUAUGGUAGAAAACAAUUAAGGUCAAAACAACAAUAACAAUCGACCUAUGAUGUCUUCCAUGAAUACAGAUCAAUGGGAGAGCAUUUGAACCCUCCUCAUCUUAGUACACCUUCAUGCUUCAUCAUGUCGUAGGAUCAUGUGACCAUCAAGCCUCAAUUGGUGCCUUUACUCUUGAUCUUCAAAGACAAUGGAAAUGAAAACCCUCACACCAAUAUCAAGGAUGUCAAAGAAAUUUGCUUCACCUUUCAAGAAGCAAACAUGCCUCUAGAUGCGUUAAUAAGAAUAAAGCUUUUUCCACUUACGUUGAUAGAUCGAGCAAAAACAUGGUUGAACACCCUUGGACCACAAGGCAUUGGGACCUAGAAUAGGUUGCAAUUGAUCUUCCUUAAAAUUUGUUCCUACCACACAAGACUAAUGCAUUGAAAAGGGAAAUGUCAAAUUUUACAACCUGGGAAAACAAUAAAUUUUUCUCAUGUUAAGAGCACUUUAAAUGGAUUUUCAAAGCAUGCCCACAUCAUGUCUUUGAUAAUUACAAGUUGAUUUUCAAAGCAAUGUUAGAGACGAUGUGCGGAGGAAAUUUCAUAAGAGUCUAGAUAAAACUCCUUCAAUUUCUAGAUUAUGUGGUUGAAGCAACAAAGAGUUAGAUAGAUCAUGUGAUUAAGGAAUCACAAAGAAUGCAAAGUUCCAAAAAAAUUGAAAGUUUGUGAUAUCUUCAACUUGUUUGAAAGCAUGGAUUUUCAAUUAAAUAUUUCUACCUUAACUAGGAGAUUAGAAGACUUGGAGACCAAAGGAGUCUAAGAGGUCAAAGCAAUGAAUAAGUUAAGAGUGAUGAGAUGUUUGAUAUGCUAGUUAAAGGAGCACAAGGUUACAAGUUGUCCAACACUUCUAGUAGUGAGGCACAUGUUAUCAAAGUUGGCCAACACUUUUGAUUCAUUCAGAUAGAAUAGUAAAACUCUCCAUUCUCCAACACCUAUAAUCUAGGUUAGAUUAAUCAUCUUAACUUAUCUUGGAGAUGGAGUAGUCAAUUUCGUUAGCAAAAUCAUGCUAUGAACCAACAUUCAAAAUGCUUAAUAUCCCUAAUUAAUGAAAAUAAAUUACACACAAUAGAUAAGUUGUGAUUACUCAAUACAAGGUUGGGUGAUAGUUGUAUUUUCCAACACAUAAUGAUGUAAUUGCAAUAACAAUUUAUGGUCGAUAGUGGCCACACAAGCCCCAAGUAAAGGCUUCCCACCUUUGCAUUCAUCAUUCCCAACAUUAGGAAUUCUAAUUGCAUCUAUGCCUAAUACGUACUCUAUGCAAAACUCUAAAGCUUCCUUUGUAUCAUGGCAUUCAACAAAACAUCCCUCUCAGCAAUUAUGAUUUUGUACAUAACCCUUUAAUACCUUCAUAACCUUUCAAAAGAAUACAUCCAUCUAAGGUAAACUGGCCUACAUGAUCUCGUUUUUCUUGUCAAGUGCAUUAUUUAAUGAAGCAUAAUGUCAAAAAAUGAAGGUGGAAUUUUUUUUUCAAGUAAGCAUAAUAUCACCACCAACUCAUCUUAUAGUCUAUCUAAUUUAAACACAUAGACUACUUUGCUACAUGAGGCAUUGAAAAAUAAGCAUAAUCUAGAUAUAGUGUUUCACAUGUUUAAGUAGAAUAUAUUGUAAUUCUACUAGUAAUAUGUUGCAUGAGUGCAUGAUAAUCAUGGGAUUUAAGACCAUAAAGCUUCAAAUUUUCCAUUGACACAAGUUUUAUGAAGUUAGAGGACUAUCCUUCAAGGACUUUCAAGUCAACUAAGGUUUGAUAUACCACUUUUUUCUCUAUCCUAGAAAGUGUGUAGCAUGUAGGUGGGAGGCAAGUCUACUUUAAGUCAAAUUUUGGUGCCAAUUCAAACCUUAUGCCCAUCUCCAUAAGAUCCAACCCAAAAUUGAGUUCAUCUUUUAUUUUCCUGGAAUGUUAAGCAAGGUGCCAAUGAUGCUUUCGCACACAUUUUUCUCAAUUUGCAUAACAUCUAAUUUGUAAUCGACAUACAAAUGUUUCCAAUAUUCUAGAUCAAAGAAUAUGGGCUUCUUUUUCCAACAAAUUGUAGUAUUCACAUUAGAAGUACUUGCUUUAACCUUCUUUUUUCCCCAUGAUUAAAAAUGGAAUCAACUUCUUCUAGUAUUUCCUCUCUAGUUAAUGGUUAUGGAGGUAGCCCAAACUCUUGCUAACCAUUGAAUGCCUUCUUUUGUUUCCUAUAAGGAUGGUUAUAUGGAAGAAACCAUCUAUAACCUAUAAACAAGUUCUUCUUCCCAUGUUUCGAUCUACAAGAAUAUGUUUCUUUCCCACAUAUUGGUAAGCAUAAUGUCCCUUAACAUGAACAACUCUCGUUAAUGUGCAUCAUAUACUUUGACUCUUACCUCCCAAAGAGUUUUAAGAGCUUCCACCAAUAGUGCCAAGUAAACAUCUAUGUCAUUUCCAGGUUAUCAUGGAUUUGAUAUCAAUAAUGAUAACAUCAUAAAUUUCUAUUUCAUGCACAACCAUGGUGGAAGGUUAUAUGCGAUCAUUAUAUAUAAUUGACUAAAUACUAUGACAACUACUAAGAGAAUUGUGAGGAUUUAUGCCAUCUAUUAAAAUAGUAAGUCUAAGUUUUCUAGUCUUAGAAACAAACCUGGGCCAUAAAUGGUCAACUAGCUUCCAUGAUGGAGAAUCAAAUGGGUAAUGCAAAUUCCCAUCAAAAUUUCUUUCUUGGGCAUGCCAUGUGAGAUUUUUUUUACUAUUUGUGAGGAUUGGAAUGUUUUUUUAAACCUUGAGAUAGGUGGAAAAUACCACAAGACUUUUGCAGGAACACUUAUUCUCCUUUUGUUUCCUUUUUUACUUACCUUCUACCUUGAUGUUCCACAAGUACAACAUAAUGAUACAUUUUUAUGCUUAUUUCUAUAAAGAUAACAAUCAUUAGGGCAAACAUGUAUUUUUUCAUAUUCCAUUCUCAAUGCAUUUAAGGUUUUUUUUUUUUUUUUUUUUGCUUCAUACAUGCAUUUCAUUGUUGAUUGGGAGUGUAUCACUUAACAUUUGAAGUAACUCUAAAAAAAUUUUGUCAAACCACACAUAUCUUACUAUCAAGUUAUACAAUUUUACCAAUGCAGAUAACUUUAUAAACUUUGAACAAGCAAGAUAUAAAGGUUUUUUAGCAUCUUCAAGUAGUCUUUUAAAUGAUUAGGGAUCCUUCAUAUAAUCAUCUUGUGCAGCAUAGACCAUCUAAAUGGUAUUGUCUAAAUCAUCACAAUUAAGUUGAUCAUAAUGAUAUCCUUCACAGUUGUUGCUUCCUUACUAAGAACUACCUCUCCAUGCUAAUACCGUGUGCAGUAACUUUGAUUAAUUCCAUUGAAAUAUAAGUGUUCUCUAAUCACUUGAGGAGUAUGGUUCAUUAAGUUGCUAUAAUGUAGGCAUGGACAUCUAAUAUAGUUCAAAUCUCUAGCAUUUAGACUUAUAAAUUGAAUAAAGCUGUCAACCCCUUCUUCAUACUCUUGUGAUCUUCUAUCCUUAGACUACAUCCAAGAUCAAUCCAUUUUUGGGUUGAUUCAACUAAAUUCCUAUAUAACACAAGUUGCAUGAUUUAUUAAUUAUUAAUUCCUAAACCAAACAAGGAUAUAAAUUGAGCUAUACAACUAAUAAAUAAAGUAUUAAAACACGAAAUAGCAUCAUAAUUGUACCUAUAUUAUAGCACAUGCAACCACCUACAUAUGUUCAAUCUUAAACACUUAAUGUUACUUCAUUCAAUAUAAAUUAAAUAAAUGCAUAACUUCAUUUAUUAGCAUGCAAUAAAUUAUCAAUAGAAUGUAUGGGGAUAAUACCCUAAUUAGUAUUAGUGAUAAAUCAUAUCCCAUGAUAAUCCAUUAUGUAAUAUAAAUACUAAAACAAGAUAGGAAGACUAAGAACUUAACUAAUUUAGCAUCAUACAACUAAAUCUAAAGUACCCAAUUUUAUUGUGUUCACUAAAAGAAAGAAGUAGUAGAAAAUUAAUUUACUUUGCAAUUCUAUAUGAUCCAAGUGUAUAUAGUAUAUCAAAUCCUCAAGUAUGAACUCUCACUACAAGAAAUAAGUUUUUAUUAGUUGGAUUCUCAAAAUUAAGAUACUAUUAAUGUAUAUAGAUUCCAUGAAAAUGCUUGUCUUCACAAGGUUGGAAUUUCUAUCCCAUCUAAGAAUUGUAUGUUUUUAAAAUAUUACACAAAGAAGCAAAAUUUAAAAUUGUCAUGAAAAUUUCAACAACAUUUCUCUCCUAUUCUCGUAGAUGAGCCCAAAUUCUCAAUGAAAAUCCUUAAUCAUGUUUUUUAAGUAACUUUGUAAAUUUGGAAUGGCUAAAUGCAGUUUCUAUAUUUUUAUCUACUAGAAGCCUUAAGUUAUAAAAUUGAACUAAUAAAUGGGUUAGGUCAUGAUUGGGAAGCUUGUUUUAGAUCUACCAUCUAUAUUAUUUUAUUUUAAUGGAGCCCAAACUAAAUAGGGAACCCAACCAUCUACCACAAUACCAUGUCAUUUUACUAAUAUGGCCUUUGUUUAUUGGUCAAAUUGGGUCCUAUUUGUUUGUACAAAUUGACACUGUAUGUGGAGUGCAGUGUUCAAUAGUUGGUGAUCCAUUUCAUAAUUUUAAAAUAAAGAAUUUGUUUGUUGAUAAAACAACAACCAUCCACCACCCAUUCAACUAACAAGAUUUAAGAUUAUUGUUUCUUUCCUAUGGGUGAUAAUAAAAAUAAAAAAAUUAAGCCCUAAUACAAUGAAAAUAGAAAAAAAAAAAUUGAAUAGUUUGAUUUUAAGAAAUUAUUAAACAAAAUGAUGAAAAUUGCUAUUGGAAUUCACCAAUUAAUCAAUUCUUCAACUACCACAAUGAUUCCCAAACAAUAGACAAAUCCUAAGUCUAAAGGUACCGUUAUGUCAUCUAAAAAUCCAAAAUAUUUAUCCAAACCUAAACUCUAAAACCCAAUGUGUUUCAAACCUCAUCUUAGUAGGAUUUUUUUUUUAAACAUUAUUUUAAAAAAUUAUAAUUAAAGCAUUGUUGUUUAAAAAAUAAAUAAAAAAAUACAACACUUUUCAUCACUUGUUUUAUUUUUGCACUAAACUCGUAUUUGUUCAAGAGGCGAAAUCACUUUUUAUAUUGAAUUGAAAGACGAGUUCACUUUUCACCUUAAAUUUUUCUAUACAGAACUUGCUUUUUCAAAAGAUAAGUUCACUUUUCCAAUGUUGAACUCGUCUUUUGAAAAAUACAACUUCACUUGAAAUCUAAAAAUGUGAUAGUUUAAAAAAAAAUAAAAAAAAAUUGGUGGUACAACCUUUUAAAAAAGUACACUACUCUUGUAGAAAGGCCUAUCUCAAUACUCCUUUGACUACUAGACUCAAUAGAGUGUGACUUGGUAUAUCAUUUUACAUGCAAUGUUAGAUUUAUUUUUUUUAUUUUUUUUUGGUUUUCAUAUUCUCAUAAACCAAAAAUGGAAACUAAUGAAUAAAAAUAAAAAUUAAAGAAAAAAAAAAAGCAUUUAAAAUAUAUAUCAAGAAAGAAAGAUAUUGAUCACCUAUUUCUUUCAACAUAAGUUCCUCUAAGUAAAAUGAUAAGGUUGCCACUAUGGUUUAAUCUCAGGAGGUUUAAGAGCACACAUCUUCAAUACGGGAAGGUUUGAGAGCACAUCUUUAAUAGGGGAAGGUUUGAGAGCACAUCUUCAAUAGGAGGAGGUUUGGGAACACAUCUUUGGUGGGAAAAUAAGAUUGAUAACUUCUUCUUUUUUAAAUAUAUACUGCUAUUAAAAAUGUGAGGUGUUUGUCAAUUUUUUCAUUCCAAAAAUGUCUGACAACUUACCUUUUAAUUCUAAAAAUACUUCUCAUCAAUUUAUUAAUAACAAUAUAUUAAUAUUUAAUAUUACAAAAUGUAUUCUAUUAUCAUAAUCUAUUAGUAUCAAAUGACAUUAUACAUUUUAUUCUCUUUAGAACCUAUAAUAUUCUUUGACUCUUGAUGAUGUGCCUAAGCCCCAUAUUUUCAAUGCCCACAUAAGCCUUUUCUAUCAUUUUCUCCUCUCCAUGGUCACAACAGCUUCUUCUUCAAGCUUUUAGAUUUUUCUUUGCAAAAUUGCCAUCGUAACAUUCCUCUUCGCCACAAAUGGCAGUCGAUUCAAGACUAUGUCUAGAGUUAUGGUCAUGGUUCUGGAAGGUUUGGAUUGAUGAAAGUGUUAUGUUAGGGACAAGAGAGAGCUUCAAUGAAAUGUAAUGUUUUGGGGAAAGCUAAGAAUGACAAUGGUGGCAAAGAAGGUGUUCCUGAAAAGAAGAAACAGUUUGUGUGGUGGUUUCAGGAGGGGUGGUUGUAUUUUCACAUUCAUAGGAGUGACACAUUUGUUGUCAAUUCUUACUUGGAACCCAUACUGAAGGCACAUUUUCUAUGAAUUUCUUUUCCCCUGUUAAUUUAGUUUGGAUGAAUAAACUGUUAUUGUGUUUCAUAAAAGCAAUAUGGAGGGUUGGUUUGGAUAGUGGUGAUACUCCACAUUCAGAUAUGUUUUCCUUUUGUAUUUUGGAAACUAAUGAAUCAUAACAUGCUUAUUGGUGAAAGGAGAUUGUUGUUUAUCCCCUAUUUGUUUAUAGAGAAUGAAUUGUGUUUGUGGAGUUGACAAUUGAAGAUGUUGACUGUGAUUUAAAUCCAAAAAGUUUUAGAGAAUUGGUCAAAUAAAUCUCUGAUAAAUAUAUUUUUUUAAUGAAUUUACAACUCUUAUCUAAGUAAUUUAUCGCAUUGAUGGUAUCUAUGUAUAUCAAUUAUUUGUGUUCUAAUUUAUUGUGAUUCUAUCUCUUGUGUUAUUAAUCAUUUAGGUUAUUGGAUUUUAACAUUUUGAUUUUUAUCAUUUCCCAUAUUUUUAAUUCAUUGCAUUUUUGUUCAUUGUGAAUGUUAUUUAUUUAUUAUUUUAGCACUCAUUGGGUUUUUUGUGAACACAAUUAGGUCAACUGUUGUUGCCAUUAGUGUUUUUGAUGAUUUUGCUUACAUGUUUAUUAGGGAAAUAUUAGAAUUCAAGGUGUUUGGUACAUUUGAGAGGUAAUCCAAUUUAGUAUUAGAGUAUACCUUUUUUUUUUAUGAAUCCUGACUUUUUUUUUAUUGGGAUCAAAAUUUGUUACUUACUCUAGAAAUUUAGUAUUUUUGUAAAUACUUUUAAUUUGUCUAAUUAUAUUUUUUUAUAAGUAUUUAUAACUUAAAGGUUUUACUAAAAAGAAAAUGAAGUUAGUAGUUUUAAAUUGAAAUUAGUCUUAUUUCUUAAGGUUUUUUUCCUUUUUCAUUUUUAGCUUAAUUGAAUCUAGAACUUUCUUGUAAAUUAUAAUUCUAAAAGGAGUUUUAAUUACAACCUAUUAAUAUUUAAUGUUACCAAAAUCUAUUAAUUAUUCCCUUUAAAAUCACCCUAUAACAUUAUAAAAUAUUAUAAUUAAUACAUCAUCUAAUCAACAAUUAAGAAUUACCCCUUCACUCUUCAAAUUUCUUAUGAUGACAGUUUCACUUUUCAUUUCUAAAGUUUGAAAACUUUUUAAAUUUCUGAUAACUUUUUCCUCUUUGAAGAGAAUUAAGAAGUUUUUGUAAAUUGGCACUCCCAAUUUGAAUGAAGUGCUAUUUGGUGAGUUGUUAUUUAGUGUUCUGAAUGAUUUUACUUAAAUGUUUGUGUUACUUAUGAGAAUAAUUUGAUUACUUUGUUGAAUUUUAUUUUUAUGAUUUUGAGCUUUUUAAAACAAUACUCAAUUCUUUGAGUUUGUUGGAUGUGAGUUGGAAGAAAAUUGAAAUUUAAGGUAAUUGGUAAAUUUGAGAGGUAACUAAAUUUAGUAUUCAAGUAUACAUUUUUUUGUAAUGAAUUUUAAUUCUUUAUUUUAUAAUUCAAUGUUUAUUAGAAUUGAAGUUUGCUACUUAUUAUAUAAAUUUAGUAUUUUUGUAAAUACUUUUAAUUUUUAUUAUUUUUAGACAAGUAUUCACAAGUUAAAUCUUUUAAUAAAAAAAAUAAAGUUAAUUGUUUCAAUUGAAAUUUGGGUAAAUGUUUCUAGAGUAUGUUUUUCUUCAUUUUUUGUCUUAUUGGAUCUUAAUUUUAGAAUAAUUAGAACUCUCUAAAAAAUAAAAUCCAUAUUUUUUUUAAUAUAAAUUACCAUUCUAGAGCUAAAUGCAUUUCCUUAUUUUAUAAUUCAAUGUCCAAUAAUAUGCAUAGGAAUUGGACAAUAUAGUUUUUUGUUUUAUAAUCCAAUAUCUAUAAUAAUUGGAAACUAUAGUUCCUUAUUUUAUAAUCCAAUGUCUAUAGAAAUUAGAGAUUCUUAUUUAUGCUAUAAAUUUAGUAUUUUUACACAUUCUUUUAAUUUGUCUUAUUUUGUUUCUUUUAAAUAUUAUCUUUAACCAAUAUUCACAACUUAAAUCUUAUAAUAGGAAAAGUAAAGUUCCUUAUUUUAAUUUAAAUUGAGGUAAGUGUUUUUCAAGAUUUUUUUUUUUUUUUUUUUCAUUUUUAGUUUAGUUGGAUCUUCACUUUGGGAUAACUAGAAUUUUCUCAUAAUUUUUGUUUGUUUGUUUUUUUUAAAUACCAACCACUAUUCUAAAAUGAAUUAAAAAUAACCACAUUUAACAAUUCGAGAAUGAAAUAUCAAGUAUAUUUGAGAGAUCAAAAACAAUUUUUAUUCUUACUAAGAUAUUUGUCUUUUUAUUUGCUCAUGGUUCUUGUUAUUAUGACUUUGUAUUACAUUCCAGAAACAUAUAGUUUUUCCUUGUGUAAAUAAAUUAAUAAAAUUAAAGGAAAUUGACAAGGAAAACAUAAAAAUAAAAAGUAUGUUUGAAUAAAUAAUCCAAUUUUUUUUUUUUUAAUAUUCAUCUACUUUUCAUAAAAUUAGGACAAGUAAAAGUUACAUUUUGUUGUCCCUAAAUUGCAAUGAAUUUAAAUUAACAAUAGAUAACGGGUUUAAAUAAAAUUUGGUACAUAUCAUUGCUAAGGUGACAUUUAUUUUGCCUAACUUAGAAAAAUUGAUUUUAAAAAGAAUUUUACCAUCUAAGAUUUUUGGAAUGGAAAAAUGUAACAUUAUUUAUAUUUCAUCUCAGUCCUUUUUCCUUUCUAUUUAUAUUUCAACCCAAUCAUUUUUUUUCCUUUUUUAUGUCUAGUUUGAUUAUUUGACUUUGAAUCUCUUCUUAGUUUCAUACAAGGAUUUUAAAAGAAUAAAUUCACAUAUUUAAUUUUUUUUAUUGGAUUUGUUUUCAUAUUACCUAAUCUACGUCGCAUGUGAACACUUCCUAACAUAUAUAUAUAUAUAUAUAUAUAUAUAUACACAUAUGUAUGGAAGAGUAAGAUGACUGUUUCAAAGAAUCAUUUUUAUAAAAAUGACUAUUUAGAAGAGUUAAGGAGCAAGUCUUUGAGGGGAAAUAAAAUCAAUAGUAAAAGAAUAGGAUGACGUUUCGAAAGAAUCAUCUUUAUAAAGAUGACUAUUUAAAAGAGUUAUGGUCUCUUUCCCAAAGUAGAUAUUUAAUUUGAGAACGAGUGGGAAAAUAAAAUUAAUAGCAAUUUGCCUUUUAAUAUUUACAUAAAAGGGAAAGGAUAGGAUGAUUUUUUCAAAGAAUUGACUUCACAAAAUAGAUAUUUAAAUUGCAAAGUCAUUAUUUAUCAUAUUAAUUAAAGAUAAUGAAUUUUUUUUAAAAAAAGUCAUUGAAACAACUGUCAUUAUCUCCUUUUUUGUUGUAGUGACUUUGGAUUUACUAUUAGAUACAUAAUUAACAAAUCAAAGGAUUGAGUGCAAUUAAUUACAAUAGAUUUUUUUGUAGAUAUUAGAAUGUUGAUAGAGGCUGGACAAAAAGGAGGUAACUAGGAUUAAGGCAUAAUGGAGUAUUCCACAGUGAAGGCCAAGAACAGGGAAGAAAAAAUGAGUCAGCUGCAGGUGUUAACCUGCUCUGAUACCAUGAGGGAAAAUAAGAAGGGGAAUAAUUGGUAUAUAUUUUUCUCUAUCUACUGAUGGAAUGAAAAAGCAUCCUAGCCUCCUACGAGGGUCUAACCUUGUGAUUCUCCACUGUAUCAUAUCAGGGUGAUCCAUGGCUUGGUAGUCUUUUCCCUAAAACCUCUUCAUAUUGGCUCGUAACCGAUUCAAAAUUCACGAAAUUCAUAUAGAUCGUUCAAUGAAGUCCCCUAAUCAAGUUCAAGGUAGCCUUUGGUUAUUCUGAAAAUAGAUUUUUUUUUUUUGUUUUUUGUAGGUAUUAGAAUGUUCAUAGGGGCUGGACAAAAAGGAGGUAACUAGGAUUAAGGCAUAAUGGAGUAUUCCACAAUGAAGGCCAAGAACAGGGAAGAAAAAAUGAGUCAGCUGCAGGUGUUAACCUGCUCUGAUACCAUGAGGGAAAAUAAGAGGGAAUAAUUGGUAUAUAUUUUUCUCUAUCUAUUGAUAGAAUGAAAAAGCACCCUCCUACCAGGGUCUAACUUUGUGAUUUUCCACUGUAUCAUAUCAGGGUGAUCUGAACAAAUAACCUUGUUUUAACAAUUAGUCAUCCAUGGCUUGGUAGUCUUUUCCCUAAAACCUCUUCAUAUUAGCUCGUAACCGAUUCAAAAUUCACGAAAUUCAUAUAGAUCGUUCAAUGAAGUCCCCUAAUCAAGUUCAAGGUAGUCUUUGGUUAUUCUGGAAAUAUGACUAAUCUACUUCAGUACAAAAUGUUGAAGUUACAGAAGAAACAAGCCAUGCAUAAAUCACCCACACCCCUCUUCCAAAUUAACAAGCCAUGCACAAAUCAAAUUCCCAUACAUCAAUAUUAUUUUACAUGUCUUUUUAACAGACUGAAUUCAUUAAGACAGAAGAGUACAUAACUCAGAGGUGAAUCCUACACAGCCACUUCUACAGAACCCCAAAGAUGUAAAAGGUCAGGAACAGACACCCAAGCACAAAUGCAGAGGUUGAAAGCUCUGAGGAACUGGGUAGCACCAAAUAAAUGCCAGAAGUAAAUGCUAUCACCAUUCCUAGGAUGGAAACGUAUGUGAGUAUGGCUG